ACGAUUUAUGUUUAAUGAUUGUAAUUAGCGUCAGAAAACUUUUAUUUAUGUGGUCCCGUUGCAUGUUGAGAGGUAAGAAAAGUAGUUGCCAAGAGGUUCCAUGAACACUCACUAAUUCUCGUGGGUGGGGGUAAAUGUAUAUUUGUCGAUUAUCCAUUGUAUAGUCCUAGCUAGACUUCUUCUAGUAAGAAAAAAAAAGAAAAAAGAAUUGUCGUGUGGUCCUCCUAUAUCGUAGCUGAAAGUCAUAUAAAUUAAAAUUUAGUGGGUGGGACGAAUGAUAUUAACAUAAUAAUCCUUUUUGAUAAGGUUAAUAUAAAAGAUGCUAUACGUUACAGAAUAUUCUCAGUUAACCACAUACGUAGUACUGUAGAUUGGUCGCUGCUGCUACCUACAUAAGUAUCUUCUUCUAUAGUCCUAUACUAUAGAGUUAAACUGUUAAACACUAAAGUCAUAUCAAUAAUAAUAACUCGAUAGGUUUUAUUUCAUUUAUUACAAUAACCACAAAAUUACACAGCAAUUCUGGCCCAUUACUAAAAGUUAGCAGGUUAGGAUUUACAAAUGGGCCUAAAGACUUUCGUUGCUUUAUAUUUUGAUCGAAUGGUUACGGCCAAGCCCAAAUAGACCGAAGUUCCUUCCGUAGUUUCUUCAUUAAGACAAAACCGAAUUCAACUUCGUCUUCUCAACUACUUCCACUCGGAAGUCUCUCGCUGGUAUCUAAUGAUUCUUUUAACAGCAGUAUCAAGGCGUAUAACCCAUCCACUUCAUAAGUCUGAUCAUCUCUAUCCACAAACAAAGCAUCAUCAAACUACAGUAUUCUCAUGAGAGAGGUUCAUUUCUUUCUCUUUUUGUUAUAUAUAUAUUUUGUAAGGUUCUUCUUUUAAAAAAAAAUUGUAGUAUAAAAAAAAACAAAAAGAAGAGAAUUGACAAAGCUGAGCAAUCAUCAAUUGUAUUUUAUCAAAGCUGGAUUAGAUAAAAAUCCAAAAAAAAACAAAGACAUUAACGUGUGAAGAAGAAAGAGAAAAGAAAAAGAGUUGCUUUCUUUAGUUGUCCGAAGCAGAAACACGUGCAAGGGGGAGAGCUAAGAAACAGCCGUUAACUUUCUUUUGCCAUAAUGGGCCAAAACGGCAUCGUGUUCGUGGGGGACUCCUCAACAAAAAAAAAUAAGAAACCGAAACUACCCUUCACGUCUCUCCUCGUCAUCCGGGUAUAUAUUAUAAUAUUUUCUACAUAAAAAAAAAGUAACUAGUAAAGAAGAAGAAUUAUAUAUAAAAUAAAAAUGUUAUUGAUCAGCUUUAUUCUUGAAUUUUAUAUGUAUAUAAAUCCACCACUGGUUCAUUCGUGCAUCUUUUCUUCUUUCUUUUUUUUUUUAACACAAAAAAACUUGUAAAUUAAAUUAAAAUAAUAAUAAAAAUGCAAAUCGCAGCUCCAAAUAUGCUCUACCAAUUCAGCUAAAAAUGUGAGCCGGGAUGCGAAGAGGAUUGCAAUAGCAUCAUCAUCAUCCAUAGCCCCCCCACAGCCACAGGUUUAGCUUGUAUUAUAUAAUCUCUGUUGAGUUUUUUUGAUUCUUUCUAAUUAUUUCUCUUUUGAUCCUGCCUGAAACAAAACCCCAGUUGUGUUUUGUGUCUGAUUUGUUUUGUUGAAAUCUAAAACUGGGUUUCUGUCUGGAUUUCUUUAAACUUUUUCAGAUCUUUAAUCGGCUCUGCUUGACUAAUUUAUUGAGGAAAAAUCUGGGGGAUUAUUACUUCGAUAAUAACUGGUUAGUCGUGAGAUUGAUUUAGUGAAUUUACUACUCUUGUUUCACUUUUGCGUUUUUUCUCUUUUUCUUUAAUCGAAUUUGAGAUCCGAUGAUGUGAUUUUCAUUGCAUGUUUUCCUGAUUGUGAAAUUUGUAUUUUUUGAUCUGAUCGUAUUGCGGUUUCGACCAACCAAUAUCUGUUUCUGUGAAAGUCUAAUGAUUUGCUUUUGCUUAUAAUUAAGAAAAAAUAGUCAAGAAUUUGUACUUUACCUUAUUGAUGAUUUGAUUGAUGGAUCGUUGAACAAAUUCUCAUUGAAUCUGAAUGAAGAAGAAGAUCACGUGGAAUUUGCGUGUGAUUUUUUGGUAUCAUAUUUGUUUCUGAGAUGAUUUGAUUGUUUCUUUCUUUCUCUUCUUAGCAUCCAUCCAUCAUGUUGGAGGCUCCGAGUUAUCUGGUGUCAAGAGAUUUACCAUCUUCAUGUGAAGAAGAGAGCAAGUGGAUCUAUAACGUACACUGCGUGCUUCAACUCUCCCUGAGAAAGCGGUUGUUGGAUGAUGAAGAUGGAGCUUCUGCUAAGAAAAUGUUACGCCUUGAUCAUCGAAGCAGAGAUGAUUCUGACAAGAUUACAGAUACUCUUCUUCAGCUUUCUCAAACCUAUCAGAGUUCUAACCAGAGCCACCAAGGCACUCAACAGAGUCCACCAAUAACUCGGCUUGACCAAAACGCACUUCUCAACUGCUUGGCUCACUGCUCCUUGUCUGAUUUCGGGUCCAUUGCCUCGACCAAUAAAACAUUCCGCUCGCUUAUUAAGGAUAGCGAGCUGUAUAGGCUGAGACGGUCAAAGGGUAUUGUGGAGCAUUGGAUUUACUUUUCUUGUAGGCUUUUGGAAUGGGAAGCUUAUGAUCCAAAUGGAGACCGCUGGUUACGCGUACCCAAAAUGACGUUCAACGAAUGUUUCAUGUGUUCGGAUAAAGAGUCUCUGGCGGUUGGCACCGAGCUUCUUGUUUUCGGUAAAGAAAUCAUGUCCCAUGUGAUUUACCGAUAUAGUAUCUUGACCAAUACAUGGACAUCGGGUAUGCAAAUGAAUGUUCCGAGGUGCUUGUUUGGAUCAGCGAGUUUAGGCGAGAUUGCGGUUAUAGCUGGAGGAUGUGAUCCUCGUGGCCAGAUAUUGAGCUCAGCUGAGCUUUAUAACUCGGAAACCGGGGAAUGGACGGCAAUUCCAAGCAUGAAUAAGGCGAGGAAAAUGUGCUCGAGCGUGUUCAUGGACGGGAAUUUCUAUUGCAUCGGAGGUAUCGGAGAGGGAAACUCGAAGAUGCUGAUGUGCGCUGAAGUCUAUGAUCUGAAGAAGAAGACGUGGACAUUGAUACCUGACAUGUUACCAGAGAGAAACAACGAAGGUGGAGGAGAUAAUGCAAAAGAGACUGCCGCAGCUUCAGAGGCGCCACCUCUUCUAGCAGUUGUAAAAGACCAGCUCUAUGCUGCGAAUUACGCGCAGCAAGAGGUGAGGAAAUACGAUAAAACGCUUAAUGUAUGGAAUAAAGUGGGGAGUUUGCCGGAGAGGGCUUCUUCGAUGAACGGUUGGGGAAUGGCGUUUAGGGCAUGUGGGGAUCAGUUAGUGGUGGUUGGAGGGCCUAGGGCAAUAGGAGGAGGGUUCAUAGAGAUCAAUGCUUGUGUCCCAAACGAAGGAACCGAACUGCAUUGGAGAGUUCUUGCUUCAAAGCCAUCGGGAAACUUUGUGUAUAAUUGUGCGGUGAUGGGAUGUUGAUGAAGAAAAAGACUUGAGAGAGGCACUUUCAAAGUGAUUGACUUCUUUACUAGAGGUUUUUCUUUCUCUUCUUGUUUUUUUUUUUUUUAAACAGUUUCGGUUUUUCUUCUUCUUCUUUUCAUGAUUGGGGUCAAAAGAGAGUCUCUCUGUUUCCUUCUUUGUCGUUGUGGGAUUAUUGUUGUUGUUCAGGCAUAAACUGGAACUGAAAAGUUCCAAUAAAUUUGAAGAAGAUUAAGAACAAGCAUCAUGUUGUCUUGUCUCUCAACAUCUUAUAUUGUAAUUUGGUUCCAUUGUAAGAACUCCUUUUUUUAAUAAAUUUUGAAAGAUACUUCUUUAUUCUCCUAAACUUCUCAUUCUAUUUUUUUUUUUUCCUUGAAGAAAUAGAUUGCAAGUGUUAACAAUUUACUGAGUUUGGCAAAGCAAUCUUGACUCUUAAAAUUGCUAAUAUCUUCAUCCUUCAUUAUAGCAAAAUUUUAUUUGAAAGCUUGAAAUAUGCCGCAUAGGAAUAUGAAGAAAUUUCGAUUCUAAGCCUCAAAUUAGAGAAUAAAGUAGUUCACUUAAUUAUCAACUUUUUUACAUGACAGAGAUCCACAAAACUAAAGCAAAACAAACAACAUCAAAGACAUGAAAGUUGCUUCACACAUUCUAAAUUUAAAAACUUUUUCAAGCUCCCUUAGUACUGAUACUGAUAACCCUCACCAUACAUGGUUUCAUAACUUUCAUGUUCAUGUUUAUAUUUUUUUGAUUUAUCGGCCUGCGCGAUACAAGAAAAGAGAAAUAUAAGUAAAAAAGAAUCGCAUUUUAUAAAUGAGAAGAAGAGAUCUGGUAGAACAAAAUGACAUACCCGGCUUAAGAUCUUCUCGAAAGCAUCAGGUCCGUUCUCUGCAAUGUACUUCUCAGCAGCUGUUAACACGUCGUCUGGUUUCCUGAAGAUAUCCAUUUUCUUUGGCACAUACCAAAUAUUAAUGCUCCGUGGGUUAACAAAGACAGGUCUCACAAAAUGUUCAUAGACAUAGGCAGCGCCGCUGAAGUAGGGAAUGACAAGCCAACAAGUCAAGAUCAGCUUCAUGUAUGACCAUAUGGGUAACCUGAUCACACAACAACAACAUUGUCAGAUAAAGGAACUAGGAUUCACUUGUUCCUGGUAAUGGGUAAUGGGUCUGAAUCAUCAUCUUAUUCCUACCACUCGAUGAGUUUGGCAAAUGUGAGCUCGAUGAGUGUAAGUAGAGAAUAAAGAACCCAAUAUGUUAGCCAUUGUUUGUCAUCAGCGUGAGAUUGAGUUUCAAUCGCUUGGACUGAGGCAUAUCUAGUCAUUGAAACAUUCAAAGAACAAGAAUACUAUUAGAUCAAAGCUUCUACAGAACAUUUUAAAACCAUGUAAGUUACAGAUGAAUUCAGCUUCUACAUGAUGUAACAAAAAAAUGAGGAAUUGUGAAUUCAGCUUACAGAGGAUAAACGAGACUAACCACAGGCCUGCAAAAAAUUCAAAACCAGAGACUGUGAUUAGUUCCACUCCUAACAUUCCAAAAGAUGAACAAUUUAUAAGGAACCAAUCAAUCAACUUCCAGAGAAUUCGUAACUUGAACUAGGGCUAUGUCCAAAAAACUAGAAAUUAGACCAUAGGCUGUGAUGAACUGAGUAUAAUAUAUCAGAAGUUAUUCGGCAAAAGGAGGGAACUUUAAAGAGAUUUAGGUGUCUCUGUGAAAGCAGAAGAAAUUUUAGUAUUACCCAGCAAGAACAUCGAAGUUCCUGAGAAGAACCUUGAGGAAAUUUCCAGCUCCAGAUCCCAUCACCAACCAAGCUUUGAUUUUUGGCUAUGAAUCUGAUUCUCCACUAAAAAACACUAGAUUUUUGAUUGAGAGAGAGAGAGAGAGAGAGAGAGAGAGAGAGAGAGAGAGAGAGAGAAAAAAAAUACAAUUUAUGUGGUAGACCUGUUGAAAGUUUUUAACUUUUUAAUGGUAUCAAAAAGCGUGAAAACGAUAUGAAUUGGAAAAAAAAGCUAGCCAUUAAUUUCCUUUUGGAAUAAUCAAAAGCUUUUUAGGAAAUUGUUACCACAAAGAAGAAUAAGAAAAAAUGGAAACUAGCUUAAACUAAAGUUACUAAACGUUGUUAACACAAGAAAGUAAAAAAUAGCAAUCUUUUUGCUUUGGGUAAUAAGGAAAUUAGCCAUCUUAAAUUCUGUAUUUGGAAAUUUGGCGAAAAAGGCCUAAAUAUUUUGCCACAUAAAAAUACAAGGUAUCAUCUCCAAUCAAUCAAGUAAGCUUUUCGACAGCCGACAUAAGAAAAUAGCGUUUUGAUAUACGUAAGAAGUUAAAUACAACCUUUUUUUUUUUUUUUUUCUUGUCUUUGACUUGAAUAAGAUAUUUUUCUUCACUACAAUAAGUUGAAGAAAAUUUACAUAUGAACAUGACAAAAUGGUUUUGAACUUCAUGAUGGUUUUGAACUUCAUGAUGGUUUUGAACUUCAUGGUGAACUAAUAAUCCCUCUUGAUUACAAUCAGGUAAACUUUUAGCUCUUUGCACAGCCGAGUGGGAAUGAUCGAACCUUCAUUCUUCCUCCCAGUGCGAGCGCCAGCAGAUCAAACUCUUCUACAUACCACAGCUCUGUUACUAUUGCCUGUGUCAACAAAUAGAUUUCUCAGUUCUUGGUCAGAGGAUAUUUUUGCUUUCGUUGUAAGUUUACCUUGAAUCCUCGGAUUUUGUUGUUUAGUCUUGUGACCAACUCAUGAAGAAGCUGGAGAUGGUCUUCAGUACCAGCCUGCUAUACAAAGAAACAACCACUAAGUCUUGGAGAUUCUCUGCAACACUGGUUUAUUUAGUUUGUCGACCAUAAGUGUAAACUUGCCUCAGUUGGAGAUAUUGGAGGACCAAGCAGCCUUGCCAAUGAUGUAUGAAGAAUUGCAGUAUCAUACUGAAACAAAAAUCAUCAGACAAGUGGUUUGUGUUCAUUGAGAGCUAUAUAUAGUUUAUGAAAUAGAUAUUACAAGUUGCUUUUUCGGUGCAUGUGGAAGAACAGAUCUCAGUUUCGAGCGGAUUGUUAUGGGAUCAUCUCCAGAAUUAACCUGGUGAAACAUGAAACAGGGUAUAAGUCCCAUAUAUCUGAUUUAGCCAUUUCUAAAGGACUUGUUAGCAUAGUUUUUGGCAAGGAGGAUGGAAUUCCUAAAGUGGUAUAAUCAAAACAAAAUGGAGAUCUGACUCACAUUUGUUGAGGAAAAGUGAAAGCAACACAAUUACCUUCCAGCAUCCAAGAAGAACACCAGUCGAGGUUAAUAGAACUCUAUCCAAUAUAAUCUCCAAAGGACAAAGCUUAUUAGCAACUGCUUUAACAGCAGCUGCUUCCCCAUCAACCUGAUAAUAAAGAAAAGAUUCAGAGACUAGAAUCUUCACAGAUAAAAAUUCUAGUAGAGUGGUGAUAAGAUAAAUGAUAAAGUAAAAACAACAAACCUCAUCUUCAGUAGCUGGAACGGAGAAAAUGUGAUUUGAUGCAUGAAACAUGCUAAAGUGGUACAUCUCAGAGUCCUGAAACCAGAUUGCUAAAAAACAACCCAAAGUAAGAAAGACGAAAAUUACCAGCAUUCUAUAUAAUUCAUAUAUAUGGUACUUGCGGCAGGCUUACUAUUUUCAAAGUAAGGACUGAACACAUCUUCUACGGCUUUGCUGCAAUAGAACAUAUUAUGACACUUUUUUAGUUGUAGAACAUUUUGAAAACAUGAUAUUUUUGCAUUGAGAUUGGGAAUGGGGCAAGUUACACACUCACGAGACUAGGACAGAGUAUUCUGUGCUGAGAUGUAAUACAUUAGCUCGCACAGGGGGAUUCGCAACCUAUAAAUGAGGAAACUGGAUAUUUUAUACAAUCAUACAUGAUAUUUAGCUAUCGCAAAAACCAAUUAUUCACUUCACUAUACAAAGCCACUAAUCCAUUCUAACAAUAGUAAAAGUAAAGAUGUAUCAUUCUACCUUCAGGACAGGUGAUAUUUUCCCAUCUUUCAGUGUGAAGAGAUCUGAGAGUGACAAUGACUGAGACGUUUCACCUUGCUUAAGGAAGACCGGUCCAUUUUCUUGUAAAUCCCGUUCCAUCUUAUCAUACAACCUUGUGCUUUGCUCGGCAUAGGUGACAAAGGAAUCUGAAACAUAUGAGACUUAUUAUUGCUAUGAAUGGUAACCAUUUACUUCAAAUACAAUCUUGAUACAGAUAAGAAAACAUUUAAAACAGAGGCACUGGAUCCAAAAUCAACCAUUGCCCUUUGCAUCAGAUAUUCACUCUACCAUGUAUGUUCUACAUUAGAACCACUAAAAACAUGCUGGCUAAGAAGCAUACCAUCAAUAAGAAACAUGUUGAGUGUUUCUUUUAAGCUCAGGACAACCAAUUCAAGAAUGGUGAUUUAAGUACCCGUUUGAUCCCUAAACAAACACUAGAUUCAGCUUAAGAUCCCAAUGCAGACUUAAAAUUGAGUACCAAAACAGAGACAUUUCUUCAGAAAUACAUAAAAACUAGUUCUUUACGCAAACACUAACUACACUGAAUGCUGAUGAAUCCUUCGGUUAGCAAGUCAACAUCGAUCUUCCAUUUACGAAACCCAUAUUCAGUAUACAGAAAAACACAAUUCAGUUAGUUUAAUCAGAUCGGUUAUUGUAAAAUUAACACAUCAACGAAAUCUCAGAAUAUGGAAAGGUACUUAAUUUCGAGACAAGGAACGACCUUUAAGAAAAAAAAAUUAAAAGGAUUUUUAGACCUGAUGAAGAUGAAGAAGAUGGCGAAUUACGAAGACCCAUUUGGAAAAGAGAGUAGAAAAUAGUGAGUGAGAUGCUCCAAAAUAACACAGUGAUUCUCCAAUUCGGUGCUCUAAUCGCAGACGUCGUCGCUGUCGCCAUUUCUCCUUUUGUUUCGUUUCUUUGGAAAACUCCAUUACUCUUUCUCCGUCAGACUCUCACCAUUUACGUCAAUAAGCUCUCUUCGCCGUGAUAAUUUUUUUGGGGUUAUUUUCCAUUUAAUUUUUGUCACUCAAUUUCAGUUUUUCCCUUAUUAUUUAUUUAUUUAUGUGUUUAAGUCCAUAAUUAUUUGUUAUAGAAUAAUUCUCCAAUUUUCUACAUAACAUUUCCCCUAAACCUUUUUUAUUUAUUUUUUACAUCAAUUGGUAUCCAAAUAGUCUCAAUAGAUAUUUUUUUAUUGGUGAAAUAUUCUCAAUAGAUAUAAAGAAAGUGUUUUUUUUUUCUGUUUUUUUUGAGUAAACAGAAAAUACAAAAAGUGUGAAGGGACCAAUUUACGGCAUUUUUAUGCGGAUGCCAAAGUUGUGUGUUUCUCUAAAGUUUGCGUUAAGUAAAUAUCAAAAGCUUUCUUCUAUGUUUUACAGUUUGUAUAUAAAACUUCAGGGUAAGGUUUAGAAUGUUAGAAUGUACAUCAAACUUAUAUCAUUACACUGUUUCACAUUGUCCAAACAACCAUGGUUCUAUAUCUGAUUUCGUUACUUCCUAUCAUCGUCGCCACCAUUAUGCUUUAUCAAAGAUGGUGGAGAUCCAACAUACCGCCGGGACCAAAACCAAAGUUUCUUAUCGGAAACCUCCACCAAAUGAAACCACUUUGGACGCAUUCUUUCUCGGAGUGGUCAGAGGCUUAUGGUCCCAUCAUAUCAGUGUGGAUAGGCUCGCAGCUCACGGUCGUGGUCUCGAGUGCUGAUUUAGCCAGACAAGUGCUGAGAGACAAAGACCAUCAAUUGUCUAACCGACACAGGACCGCUAGCAUGACUCAGACCGGUACUGAUCUUGUUUGGUCCGAUUACAGUCCACAUUAUGUAAAAUUGAGGAAACUCUGUACCCUCGAGCUCUUCUCUCUGAAAAGCAUUGAGAAUUUCAGGUCGUUGAGAGAGAUGGAAGCAAGAUCGAUGGUUGUGUCGGUUCUAAGGGACUUAAUGAGCAAUGCAAACGAUGGCCAGGCAAGAAAACCGGUGAUCGUGAGGAAGUACCUAGCUGCAGUUGUUUUGAACACUAUCUCAAGACUAAUGAUCGGGAAAGAGUUCGGGACAGAGGAAGGACAAGAGUUUAAAUCGAUCGUUGAGAAAGAACAUCUUCUCAGUGGCUCAGGGACGCUUUUUGAUCAUGUCUGGUGGCUCAAAUGGGUUUCGUCUUGGUUCAUUAGCGAUAAGGAAUUCUUAGGUCACAAGGAUCGGAGAACAAAAUGGUUUAGAGGAGCUAUAAUGGUGGAAGAAGAUGUACCAAUAGAGGACCACAAGGGUUUUGUUAGGAAAUUGCUGGUUUUGAAAGAGCAGAAAGAGCUCAGCGAAGAGACCGUUGGGGGACUAGUAUGGAACAUGUUAACUGCGGGUGCUGAUACAACUGCGGUUGUUAUCGAAUGGGCUAUGGCAGAGAUGAUCAAAUGCCCUACCGUGCAACAAAAGGCACAACAGGAGCUUGAUUCCGUGGUCGGAAAGCAACGGUUAAUGUCUGAAUCAGAUAUUCCAAAACUACCAUAUCUGCAAUGCGUGGUUAAAGAAGCUCUCCGGCUUCACCCAUCAACACCGUUAAUGCUUCCGCACAAAGCAAGCGAAACUGUUUGGGUAGGUGGCUAUAAGGUCCCUAAGGGAGCCACGGUUUAUGUCAAUGUGCAGGCGAUUGGGCGUGACCCCGCAAACUGGAGAAACCCGUAUGAAUUUAGACCAGAGCGGUUUCUUCAGGAGGAAACCGAUGUUAAAGGUCGAGACUUUAGAGUUCUUCCAUUCGGAUCGGGGAGACGGAUGUGUCCAGCGGCACAGCUCAGCAUGAACUUGAUGACAUUGGUGAUGGGGAAUUUGUUGCAAUGCUUCUCAUGGAGUUCUCCUAUUCCUGGAGAGAAGAUUGACAUGAGCGAGAAUCCUGGAUUGCUUUGUAACAUGAGGACACCAUUGCAGGCUAUAGCUUUGCCUAGAGCUGCCUCAAGAGUUAUACCUUUACCUUUAGAUUUAAAUAGAAAUGUAAUCACAUGAGAAAAUAUAAUGAAACUCCAUAUAUAGAUCAUGAUGACUCUAGUUAUGGAAACGAAGAUGUAGCUAUGUCAAACCGAAGAGGCAUAUGUAGUGUAGCUAUUAUAUAUGGAAAUAAAAGAGUAAAUAUAUUCACAUGGAGAAAGCUCAGUGUCAUGGUGGCCAAAAACUAAGUAAUGCUUUAUGCUCAUAACACAAAUUUCACACAUCUUUUAUAAAAGCGUCAUACAAUCAUUGCAAUGUGGUUAUCUUGAGCUCCCAUAAUGUGAUAGCCUGUAGUUUCUUCUGAAACUGUUCAUCAGUAGAGAGAGAGACUGUUUCUUCCAGGAACUCACCUUGUCAUAAAGAUCCGGAAGCUAGUAGAGUGACGGGAAAACGAGUUUAAGAUUGUUGUGUAUAGCUGCGUGUCGUAUAUAUCCGUGAAUUGGUGACAAGUCUUCUGAAUCGCAGUUUCCUUUAACUUCUUUUUUCCCACGAUAAAACUAAUUAGCCUUUCAAAACAGAGAUGCACAUGUUAGUACUACUUUAAUCAUACAAAUAGCCUAACUUGUAUUAUUACUUCUUAACCGAGCUUGUUUCAUUAAUCAAUAACGGAUCAAGUUUAAUCAGAUACACCAUUAACUAUUAUGUGCACUUGUAGACCGGGAUAAACCAAACUUGGGCAUUUUAACUAAUACCCGAUCAAUUUCAAAACAGAGAUCCACGUGUUAGUACUACUACUAACGUAGUUUUGAAUUCAUUAAAAUUAAUGUUUUUAACUCAAAAGCCAAUUAGCAUACUUCUUAACAAAUGUCAAAUUUUGAACUUUGGAUACAUGCCUGCAGGCUACAACAAGACAUACAUAUUGUUUACUCCAAAAAAAAUAAGUAAAGAGGCAUGAAAAUGUCUAUCUUACAACAAAGAAAGUUCUACUAAAAUUUUCAACCGAAUAGAAAAUGCAAAUAGUGUGGGAAAGCAAAAGGGAACCAAUUCAUGACAAUUUCAUGCAAACGUGCGUGUUAACUAAAUAGUCUAUUCAAUAACCAUGACUCUAAAUAACAAUAAUUCAUAGAUAAUUUAAUAUGAAGACCAAACAAAAAAAUAAAAAUAAAAAAUGAUUUAAUAUUUCGUGUAUAAAACAAAAACACUUCAGUGUAAGGGAGCUACAGACAUAUGUAUUACACUUUGUCGAAGCAAAAUGGAUUUAUUACUGAUUACACUAAUCACUAUCAUAAUUGCGGCCGUCAUACAAAAUCUAGGACGUCGGAGAUCCAACAUACCGCCUGGACCACCACCGCGGUUUCUAAUCGGAAACCUUCAUCAACUGAAACCACUAUGGACACAAUCUUUCUCCGAGUGGUCGCAGACUUAUGGCCCCAUCAUAUCGGUGUGGUUAGGGUCACAGCUAGCUGUUGUGGUCUCCAGCUCUGACUUAGCUAAACAAGUGUUGAGGGACAAAGACUACCAACUUUGUAACAGACACAGAACAGCACGAAUGACUCAGAAUGGUAGCGAUCUUAUUUGGUCCGAUUACGGAGCACAUUAUGUGAAAAUGAGGAAACUAUGUACACUCGAGCUCUUUUCUCUGAAAAGCAUCGAGUGUUUCAGGUCAAUGAGAGAGAUGGAAGUGAGAUCCGUGGUUAAGUCAAUUUUCAACGGCUUGAUGAGCGAUGAUCAGAAGCCGGUGGUGCUGAGGACCUAUCUAGGUUCGGUUGCUUUGAACAUUGUUUCAAGACUAGUGAUCGGAAAAACGUUCGAACCAAAAGAAGGAAGAGAGUUUAAAUCGAUUGUUGAUAGGGAGACUCGCUUGCCUGGUGCAACCAAGAUGCUUGAUUACGCAACUUGGCUUAAACGGGUUUCAUCAUGGUUCACUAGCGACAAGGCGUUCGUGAAGCACAUGGAUAGGAGACAAAAUUGGUUUAGACGAGCUGUAAUGGAUGAAGAAUACGCAGGAAGAGACAAAACGUGUUUUGUUCAGAGUCUAUUAGCGUUGAAAGAGAAGAAUGAGCUGACUGAGGAGACUGUUAUGGGACUGGUCUGGAACAUGUUAACCGCAGGCGCCGACACAGCUGCCAUUACUAUUGAAUGGGCAAUGGCAGAGAUGAUCAGAUGCCCAACCGUUCAAGAAAAGGUGCAGCAUGAGCUUGAUUUCGUGGUUGGAACCGGACGGUUAAUGUCUGAUACAGAUAUCCCGAAACUGCCAUAUCUGCAAUGCGUAAUCAAAGAAGCGCUCCGGCUUCACCCUCCAACACCAUUGAUGCUUCCACAUAAGGCCAGUGAAUCAGUUCAGAUUGGUGGGUACAAAGUUCCUAAGGGAGCCACAGUUUAUGUCAACGUGCAGGCAAUUGGUCGAGAUCCAGCAAACUGGAGUAACCCAGAUGAGUUUAGACCUGAGCGGUUUCUUGUGGAGGAAACGGAUGUCAAAGGUCAAGAUUUUCGGGUUCUACCGUUUGGGUCAGGAAGACGGGUGUGUCCAGCCGCACAGCUCAGCCUCAAUAUGAUGAUGUUAGCACUAGGUAAUUUCAUGCAUUGUUUCUCAUGGACAUCCUCUACACCUCAGGAGCACAUCGACAUGACCGAGAAGCCUGGACUAGUUUGUUACAUGAAGACUCCAUUGCAGGCUCUAGCUUCGUCCAGGCUGCCACAAGAGUUAUACCUUUAACUUUUCACUGAAAUAUAUUAUAUUAAUCUACCUAAGAUAAGAGAGAUUCUCAAUUGAGAAAAACAGAUGUAGCAAUGGCAAGAUUUAGGACAUGACUGAUGAAAUGGUUCGUACAAACAGGAUGUAGCUAUGAUAGUAAAUAAACUAGAUAUUCCAAAAGAGAAAGCUUAGUCUCAUCAUUGCUAAAAUUGGGAACCUCAUAACACAAACUUUACACAUCUGUUAUAGAAGCAAGCCAGCAAUGUGUUAUCUUAGGCUCCAAUCAUUCCUCGCCAUCUUCCUCCUCUUCAUCUUCAUCAUCGUCGUCUUCGUCUCCCUGAAGAGAUUAUAGUUUUCAAAGAAUUUUCAGGUUAAAGGAUGGACCACAGUAACAAAGCAUGUGACUCAUAAUACAAGUGUCUAGACUAAUACUCAAUUAAUCAAUGUAUUUUGAGGAGGAAUGAAAUUAUUGUUUUACCUCUUCGUCACCAUCAUCAUCUCCAUCAAAGUCCUCUUCAUCAGCAUCCUACGUACAUCAAAAAUAUUUCUUUAGUAACUUUUUUCCACUACAGAAAGAGGACUGAAACUUAACUGACGAAUAUAUUACAUUGUUGAAGUAGGUGAGAGGGUUGGACCACAGAUCUUCCUUGAUAAUAUCAGCAACCUGCUCCAAAGGAGAUUCCCGAGUUCAAACUGGGCAAAUAAUAAAAACGGUCUAUAUUUUAUAACAAGUCAGAAAGUUGAGUACCUCAUCAUGAAUCUCAUCCCCAGCAUCUUCCUUAUGUUGAGCAUCAGUAAACCAAGUAAAGAAACUGAAGAGAAAGUAAAAUGGAAAGUUGUUAAUCAUAUGGAACUACUAAUAAGAAAGAAUCUAAAUUUUGUAUAAUGUGCAUCAUCUAUCCAUGACCACAAGAAUUUCACUAAGACUAUGAUCACUUAAUAGACUCCUGAACAAUACCUCUCCUCUGGCAAUCCACGUUUGUUUCCUUUCUUAUCAUCAUGGUUCACUCCAUUCGGCAAGCCCUGCAUAAUUGAGAAGCAUCAUUAAGAAUAAUGCCGAAGAGAGACAAAUAAAGUUGAAACUUACUAUCUUGCACAAGCAGAACUAUACAUUUACCUUGCCCUCCUUCCAUUUGAUAGGAGUUGCCGUGAUUUUUGUUGUUCCUUCUUCAAAGAAGGUAAACGUCUUAGUAAGUUUGGCAUCCUCAAAGAAAGGGUUGGAAUUGAAGUGCUGAUAGAUUCCCAAUUUAACAAGUAAGUUAACAAUACCCAGUAACUUCUUAGAUAAAUAGGUAAAGACAGUAAAACGGUAGUAAAAAUGAGCUGAAUAAAGAAACAUACAAAAGUUAUAGAGUAUCCAGAUUUCACAUCUUUGGCAUCCUCCACUUCCAGAGAGCUCAAAUACUUAAAAAUCUGUAAAUACAGGGAAAUAAAAUGAAGAGUUAUAAAUGAUGUAACUGCAGAAAAUAUGAAAGUCCAAUGGGGAAGUUAUCUACGUAUAAUGAUACUUUAUAAACAUUAUAAUCUUGAAAGCAAGCCCAAAGAUAGCUCAAACCUUUUGGUCUUCUUCAGUCAAGAGGUCACCUAAUGCUGGAUGACUGAAAAACUACAAAGAAUGUGGAUCGUCAAUAAGUCGAAGAUGUUUUGAACAGUAAUUGGGAACUACCUUGAAAAUAGAACUUACAGCAGUCAACCAAAAGUCUGGAAUAGCUUGGAUAACUUCAUUACGCUUGUCAUAGACAGGUUUCCGUAUCUCGUUAUAUUUCUGCUCCACUUCCAAGACCUCAUCACUGGCCUUCUCGUUAAUCUAGAACCAACAAACCAUCAAAGUCAAAAAAAAAAGGAAGAAGAAAAAGGAACACUUUAGAGCUAAUGUCAAUUCUAACAGUACUGGUGACUUGAAUAUAUGCAUCUGUUUAAGCUUCAACUUCACAAAUAGUACUCUUUCCAUUAACUCCUCUACAGGCAUUGCAGAAGCUACUAAUUGCAGAGAGCAGUCACAUGAACGAAUUUAUAUAUACAUAAAUCUCACAAAACGUUCUCAAAUUUCAUCUGUAGCAACAAGACAAAAAGACAAUCUUUCAUGCGAAAUUCAGCAAAGUCAAAAAUAAAUAUACUGACUUCAUGCGUAAUUAGCAACAGAAUCAUCAAACAAGAACUAGAAAAUAUAAAUUAAAAUUGGAAUCCAUUCAACUUAACCAGGAUACAGAGCACAUAAACACUGAUUAAAAGAAACAAAAGGGGAAUUAGAGCAAAUUAACGAAGAUGUGAAAGGAUAGAGUUUUAAAACCUUCUCGAGGUCGUCUUGAAUCUCCUGAAGCUUCUCAAUUGAGAGAACAAGCUCUCCAUCGAUUUGCUCUAAGUUCUCAUCUUCGACUUUCUCUUCAAUUUUCGACUUCUUGCUCUUAUCCGCGACCAUUUUCACUUCACUCCCUUUAAGGAAAACCCUAAAACCGAAAGAAAGAGAGGAUUUCGGAACCUCCUCUUGGUUUCUUCUCCGCUUUUGUGUUCCGUCGCAAGAGAAUCAGCUAAAACCCUAGUUCCUGACCAAGUUUAUGCUGGUGAAGUGUGAGUGUGGGCAAAGGGGACUUAGGGUUUUGAGGGGUUUAUGUGGACCAAUCAGAUUGCGCCAGCUGAGGCUAAUAAGGGUAUUAUAGUCAAUUUCUUAACCAACCUUAGGGUAGAUUUAUAAUUUUCUCCUUUCACUUGCUUUUUUAAGUUAUCCUAUUAGAGAAUAGAUUGAUUUAAUAAAAGAGGAUAUUAAGUCAUUUAAUUUUUCUCUUUUUUGUGUCGUGUGAUUUACUUCUGGACCACUUUAAAAGUAAAACAUUAUUGCUCAUUUGCUCUAACCAUUUGAGAAAAAUAUCCACUUAAAUAAAACUAUUGCUCUGCGAUAUCACAAUUUAAGAAAAUUAAAUAGCAAAAAGAAAAAAGAGAAUUGUUGACAGUGGGAUUUGAACCCACGCCCUUUCGGACCAGAACCUUAAUCUGGCGCCUUAGACCAACUCGGCCAUGUCAACGUAUUUGUUCUAGCUAAAAUUAAAAACAAUUUAUUGACAUUUCUCACGCGCUUCGUCGCCGAGUCUGAUUUGCGACUAAGUACUACCGGCGUAGUAGCCGUUGUAGUUCGUCGGUGAAUUUUACUAUCCCAUUGUAAUUGAUUGUUUUCUGGGUCUCCUCGGCGAUAAACAAUCUGGCUUUUCAAUCUUAUUCUGUCUCAUCAGGUUUUUCUAGGGUUGUUCUGUCUUCUUUGCAAUGUCUCUGUGGAACGGAAUCAAGGUUUCUGGAUUUUAGGGAUUAGGUUACGCUUAUUUCUCUUUAAUGGGUUCUCGUCUGCUUCCGAGACAUGUAACUGCAGUUAUAAAAUGUCAGAGAGAUCCUAUGAAAGCCUUGGAAAUGUUCAAUUCGAUGAAAAAAGAGGAUGGUUUCAAGCAUACUUUAUCUACUUACCGCAGUGUGGUUGAAAAGCUUGGCCUUCAUGGGAAAUUCGAAGCCAUGGAAGAGGUUUUAGUAGAUAUGCGGCAGAAUAUUUGUAACCAUGUGCUUGAAGGGGUUUAUGUUGGGGCAAUAAAGAAUUAUGGUAGGAAAGGUAAAGUUCAAGAAGCUGUGAAUGUGUUUGAAAGGAUGGAUUUUUAUGAUUGUCAGCCUACGGUUUUCUCUUAUAAUGCUAUUAUGAGUAUAUUGGUUGAUAGUGGUCACUUUGAUCAAGCUCACAAGGUGUAUAUGAGGAUGCGUGACAGGGGAAUUACGCCUGAUGUGUACUCCUUUACUAUUAGGAUGAAGUCGUUUUGCAAGACGAGUCGGCCUCACGCUGCUUUGAGGCUACUUCACAAUAUGUCUUUUCAAGGCUGUGAGAUCAAUGUGGUUGCUUAUUGUACCGUGGUUGGUGGGUUUUAUGAGGAGGAUUUUAAGGAUGAGGCAUAUGAGUUGUUUGGGAAGAUGCUUGGAUCAGGUGUUUCGCUUUGCGUUAGUACGUUUAACAAGCUUCUACAUGUUCUUUGUAAGAAAGGAGAUGUUAAGGAGUGUGAAAAGCUACUGGAUAAAGUUAUCAAAAGAGGUGUUUUACCAAAUUUGUUUACUUAUAAUUUUUUCAUUCAAGGGCUUUGUCAGAAAGGUGAGCUUGAUGGUGCUGUUCGUAUGGUAGGUUGUCUCAUAGAACAGGGGCCAAAACCUGAUGUCGUCACUUAUAACAAUCUAAUAUAUGGCUUAUGUAAGAAUAUCAAGUUUCAGGAGGCGGAGGCUUACUUAGGCAAAAUGGUUAAUGGUGGGAUUGAGCCUGAUAGUUUUACCUAUAACACACUAAUAGCUGGAUAUUGCAAAAGUGGAAUGGUGCAACUUGCAGAAAGGAUUCUAGGUAAUGCUGUUUUCAAUGGGUUUGUGCCUGACGAGUUUACAUAUCGCUCCUUAAUUGACGGAUUGUGCCACGAAGGUGACACAAAUCGUGCUUUAGCUUUAUUUAAUGAGGCCUUAGGGAAAGGAAUAAAGCCUAAAGUCAUUCUUUACAACACACUGAUCAAAGGACUGUCUAACCAGGGUUUAAUUCUGGAGGCUGCUCAGUUGGCGAGUGAAAUGUCUGAAAAGGGUUUGAUGCCCGAGGUACAAACUUUUAACAUACUCGUAAAUGGAUUAUGCAAGAUGGGAUGUGUUUCUGAUGCUGAUGGUCUUGUUAAAGUCAUGAUCUCCAAAGGAUACUUUCCUGACAUAUUUACUUUCAAUAUUUUGAUUCAUGGUUAUUCUACACAGUUGAAAAUGGAAAACGCACUUGAGAUCAUAAAUGUUAUGCUGGACAAUGGCGUUGAUCCUGACGUGUACACUUACAACUCUUUGUUGAAUGGUCUCUGCAAAACUUCAAAGUAUGAAGAUGUGAUGGAAACCUAUAAAACGAUGGUGGAGAAAGGUUGUGCCCCCAACUUAUUCACAUUUAAUAUACUUCUGGAGAGUCUUUGCAGAUACCGAAAACUAGAUGAAGCCAUGGGGUUGCUGGAGGAAAUGAAAAACAAGAGUGUGAAUCCAGAUGCGGUUACAUUUGGAACGUUGAUCGACGGGUUUUGCAAAAACGGAGACUUGGAUAGAGCAUACACGCUAUUCCGGAAGACGGAAGAGGUUUAUAAGGUCUCCAAUUCAACGUCAACAUAUAAUAUCAUCAUUCAUGCUUUCACUGAGAAGCUCAAUAUUACUAUGGCGGAAAAACUUUUCCAAGAGAUGGUUGAUCGUUGUCUUCUUCCUGAUGGAUACACAUACCGGGUUAUGGUUGAUGGUUUUUGCAAAACGGGAAAUGUUGAUUUGGGGUUAAAGUUUCUACUGAAAAUGAUGGAAAAUGGGUUUAUUCCAUCGCUCACGACGUUUGGACGUGUAAUAAACUGUCUUUGUGUGGAGGAUAGAGUUUAUGAGGCUGCCGGUAUUAUCCAUCGGAUGGUCCAGAAAGGACUGGUCCCUGAGGCUGUCAACACCAUUUUCUAUGUUGACAAAAAAGAAGUGGCUGCUCCUAAGCUUGUCUUGGAGGAUCUGUUGAAGAAGAGCUGUAUUACAUAUUAUGCUUAUGAACUUCUUUUUGAUGGUCUUAAAGAUAAAAGACUACGCAAGAAAAAGGCUUCACAGUGGUAGGCAUAUGAAUCUGAUGCAAUGGUCUUUUUGGUGAUGCUUCAAGAUAGAAUUGAACACAGACUGAAAUCGCCACUACAGGAGCAUACUCCAAGUCGUUCUCAACUUCAAAUUCAAUCAAAAAUUUGCCGGCACCUGUGUGAAAGAAGCCCUAGGGGAGGAACAGCUAACCACUCUAAAGAAGCUGCACGAGGUAUGUGGAGCUUCCUGAGUACUAUACCCUUUUUGUUAUGUGUAUUUAGCUGUUUACAAUCUCUGUGAGAUAGAGCUUACGAUGAUCGAGUCAGAUCUUGAUUAGAAAUGUUAUCAUCGCUGUUUCCAACUUAUUUCUCGCAAAAGUAAAACACUAAAGGGUAUCAGGUGGGUUAUAGGAAGAUUGGAGAUACCACAAAUGCUUUAUUUAGUUUCAUUAUCAUACAUUAUUUUUCUACCAUAAGUCCAUAAAUAAUUGUCUCAAGGAAUUAUUUCUUACUUUAAACGCUAAUCUAACUCUUACUCUGUUAUCCUCUGAGACAAUACUGAAUCUGGAGAUUCGGUAACCUGACCAACAUCUUGAUCUAAUUACGCACUUGCAGCCUGCUGGAGACGCUUUUGUCUAUAGCUCUGGAGAAAGUUCACCAACUUAUCACGAGGCACUUCGACUUCUUUCAUCACAGGCAGAUCUUGCAGGCACUCUAUCCAGUUGUAUAAAGUCGGAGUGUUCACUGGAUCAAUUAUCUCUACACCAAUUGCUUCACGAUAAACUUUGUGGGCUCCAAAAGUAGCAAUGAUGAUGAUUUCCAAAAGCCCUACAUCAUCAUUCUCUCUGAUGAUUUUAUUUGAGAAAUGCUUCUUGAGUCCCUCUUCAAGAACUUUGAUUCUCUUUCGAGCCUCUUCCACAGACUUUGCUUGAGCUUCACCCUCUUGGAACACAACUUGACCCAUGACCUCAAACACCUGCAACAAGAAAAAUAGUCAUUAGUCUGCAAAUCAUAUCAAUGUAUGGGGUUGAUUUCGGAUGAGAGAUUUGGGGAACACACCUGUUGAUUGAUGUAGCUGACCCAGAACCUGACCUGGCCCCUUUCAUAAGGAUCCUCUGGGAAGAAAUGAGGAGAGUUCUUCCACGUCUCAUCGAUAUAUUCAAGAAUCACAAGUGACUCAGCCACUGGUUUCCCAUUAUGAACAAGAACCGGAAUCUUCUUGUGAACUGGGUUGAGUUGAAUCAGCGAUUCACUUUUGUUCUGAAGAUCUUCUUCGACAUACUGAUAGAGUAUGCCCUUGAUUUUAAGGGCGAUUUCUACCCUCUUUGAGUAUGUGCUUAUCCACAUCCCAUGUAAUGUCACUUUGUUGCUCUGGUCCUCCAUUCUCUCAAAACUCUGUUGUUUUAUUUCUUACACUUUUUUCUUAGAAUCUUGUUGGUGAUUGUGAUUUCUGCUUCGUUUUCAAAUUCUUAUAUAGAUGUUUAAGACAAGAGUCUUUACUUUGGAUCUUGUUGUCUUGUUCAUCAAGUAUAAUGUGGGCAUUAAUCUUAUUUAUCUUUUCAUUUAAAGACAAAAGUUUGAACUUUGAAUGUUCAAUUAAUAUUACAAUAAGAUUUGUUUAUUUCAUGAUGUCACUUUUAUCUUCUGGAAUCUGGAAUAAAAAAUUCAUGGAACAGAGCCAAGAGAUAAACUAUUGAAUUAUCUUUGACUCUAUUGCCGCCCAAGAAAACUGAAAUCAGCAAACACUUUACAACCAACUAUUUCUCUGGAAUGGUCUAAAGAGAUAUCUACUACCCACACUGGAAAAAAAAGAACAAUUGAGAAAAAUAAAUAAAUUAAAAUUGUUCUGAGAACUGACUGUUGUCCAGGAAUUUUCUCUGAACAAAUAUACGGAAAGGCUUGUCUUCAACAAUGCAAGCAAUCUCCAAUUAUCUUCAAUUGUUCCUUCAUCAUUAACUUGUGGCAGAACUGCUGCGCAUCCAUGUCUAUGUCUGAACAUUUUGGAUUAUCCAGAACAUAGGACAGUAAUCAACCUCACGGCUUUUCAUCAGACUGAACUCCAACCUGGUUCCUUCUGUACACCUAUUCCUUUCAUCAGCUUACGAGUUUCUUCCACUACGUCCCACUCACCAACCUCUGCAAGGAUGUUCGAGAGUGAAAUAUACGCUCCAGCGUCUGAUGGCUCUAAUUCUAUAGCCAUUUUCGCAGCUAGCUUCCCGAGUUCAACAUCCCCGUGAAGUCUGCAAGCAGAAAGCAAUGUUCCCCAGACCAAGGCAUCCGGUUUUAUAGGCAUACCGUUGAUAAAACUCUCAGCUUCUCUAAGUCUUCCUGACCUCCCUAGAGUAUCGACCAUGCAAACAUAAUGUCUGUUCUCAGGUUCGAUACCAUAGUCUUUUACCAUCGAUUUAAGAUGAAAAUAGCCCUCUUCAACCAAACCACCGUGACUACAAGCAGACAAGACUCCCACAAAAGUAACUUUAUCAGGGUUGAAUCCUUUUUCCUUCAUAAGAUUGUACAUUUGCAACGCUUCAGUGGCCUUUCCAUGUUGAGCAUAACUUGCAAUCAGCGCUGUCCAUGCUAUUAAAUCUGGGACAUUGAUCUGGCUGAAUGCUUUACAGCAGUCCUCAAUGCUUCCAAAUCUCGAAUACAUUGUCAGUAAUGAGCUUCCUACAGAAGGUUCUGUGUUCAAUCCAACUUUUGUGAUGUAGGCAUGAACUUGAGCUCCCAGAGAUGAUUCGUCUGAGAGAGUAGUGGCUUUAAGAAUGGAUGAAACUGCAAAUGAAUCCAUGGUAAUACCAGACAUGACCAUAUUACGAAAUAAGAGGAAGCCAUCCUGGAUUAACCCAUGUUGUGAAUAUCCUGAAAUUAAAGAUGAACAUGACACUGGAUCCAGUUCAGGGAGCCUGUCAUAGACCUGUCUCGCCAACUUUAGUGAGCCACACUUUGAAUACAUGUUUACUAGUGCAGAACCGAGAGGCAUUCCCUUGUCGAUUCCAGCUCUUAGUGUGUACCCAUGUAUCUCUUUACCUCUUGGCAGAGAAGGAAGUGAAGAACACACAGUUAGAACAGCAGCUAGAGUGCUCUCAUCAGGGCUUGUUUCAUCAGCCAACAUCUCCCGGAAUAGUCCAACAGCUUCUCUAAGACAACCAUACUCAUUGAAACCAGAAAUCAUGGAAGUCCAGCAAGCAUUGUCUUUAAAACGUAUCUCCUGGAAUAAUUUAUAUGAUUCUUCCAAACUACCACAUUUGGAAUACAUUGUAAAAAGAGAACUUCCAACAGUGAGAUCAAGGACUAACCCACUUUUAAAGGUGUAACUGUGAACCUGCCUACCUAAAUUCAAACAAUCUAAUACACUAAACAAACUGCAUACACUAAACUCAUCGGGUCUCAAACCUUCCUGAAGCAUUCUAGUAAACAGUUUUAUUGCUUUACUAGGCUUCUUACUUUGCGAAAAUGAAGAGACCAUAACGUUCACUAUAUUUUUCCUCUGAAUGUCGUCCAAAUCCUCAAACACCCGCUCAGAGAGACCAAUAUCUCCACUCUUUGAGUACAUACUAAUCACGGCGGCAGCCACUGAGGAAUCAAAACAGAAACCACUCUUAAAGACCCAAGCAUGUACCUGGCUUGCUUCACAGACCAUAGAAGGUUUACCACAAGCAGAAAUCACGCUAGUUACGGUAUGGCUGUUGAUCUCAGCACCUGAGUAUCUCAUUGCUCUGAAUAUUUCAAGAGCAGAAAUAGCAUCGUUACUCUUUGUGUAACCAGACAGCAUUACUGUCCAAGAGACAACACUAGGGUUGGGGAUACGGGAGAAUACUUCCCUAGCAUCAGCCAUAAGUCCACAUUUGGCAUAUAAAUCAACAAUCGCAGUAGAAACAAAUACAUCUUCUGCUCCGCAUUUAAUCACCUGACCUUGGACAGCUUUUCCAAACAUAAGCUUCUCAAGGGAAGCACACGCAGCCAAAACACUGGAAUACGUAUAACUAUCAGGUUUCUGAAACCCAACACACAUUUCAUGGAAAAGAUCAAAGACAGCACCAUAAUUUUGGGUUCUCAAUGCCCCUGCUAUAAUAGUGUUCCAACAAUACAAAUUAGCAGAUAGAGUAUCACGGAACACCUUAUAAGCAUCCCCAAAUCUGAGAUUCUUCGAGAAUGCGUCUAUCAAAGCCGAUUGAACUACCUCAUACAAGAAAUAACCCAUCUUUAUUGUAUGACAACACACCAGCUCACUGAACAGAGGGGCCUGAAGAGCACUACAAGCCGAAAUCACGGACCCAUAACUAAUCUCAUUAGCCUCAGGACCUAAGGAAUGCAUCUUAGAGAAAAAUCUCAAUGAUUCUGCAAACAAUCGAUGCUGUUUGUAACCAGAGAUCAUAAUAUUACAAGAAACAACAUCUGGUUGGGGAAUUGUAUCGAACAGCUUAGCUGCGUCAGCCAUUGAACCAGAGUUUGAGUAAAAGCUAAGCAAGGAUUUAGUAAGGAAAACAUCAAAAGGCAAAAGAUAUCGUCUAAGCAAAUGGGCUUGCAGAACUCUGGUUGUUCUGAGGUUACAAAACCUAGAAUUUGAUUGAUCAUUAAAGAAUUGAAAAGGAUUAAAAGGAGCUGAAGAAGUGCAAUCUUCGCUGGAAAGAGAUAUCUGGUUUCUGAAAUUGGUAAGGGAAGAUAGCAAUCGUAACGAAGAAAAAGGAGAGAUCUUUAAGGAGUUUAAGCUCUCCUUCGCUAGACAAUUCAUUCUUAGCUCAUGAGUUAGUCUGUAGUUGACAAAGGAAACAAAACAACGGGAAUGAAUGAAAUUUUCAAAAACACAGAUAUAAAUAUAUUAUUAAUAGUCUUUUCAGUCAACAGAAAGUCAAGAUGGCCGAGUUGGUCUAAGGCGCCAGUUUCAGGUACUGGUCCGAAAGGGCGUGGGUUCAAAUCCCACUCUUGACAUUAAAUUUUUAUGUUCACUUUUUCAUUUAGAGUUUUGUUAAUGUUACCAAUCCUAGUUAAUCCCAUGAUUAAUCUACAGAAAUCUUUUUUUUUUUAACUUUUAAAAACGUUUAAUGUGGUGGAGAGAUAAUCACAAAAAAUAUAUAGGAUUCAGUCAAUGAUUUUAUCCAUCUUUUUAUGGUUUUACACUCAUUAGAAUAUAUUAUGGGCAACAAAUUUGUGUCAUUCAUAAACUUAUUGCUUAGUAUAUAAAUAUUAUUAUAAAAAAAAUAUAUAUAUAUAUCAUAUCCUAAUUCGAACAUGAAUAGGAUAUAAUUGAGCUUCCAUAUAAAACCAUCACCAACAUGCCUGAUGCCUCGGCUCAUGCUCUCAAAAUCUCUAUAACAAAAGAACGUAUUGUUAAAUUAUAGUUCUAUCAUGCAUACAACAAGACAUGUGUUACACCAACUUUGAGUACAGUGUCUCUUUACGCCAGGAUUCAACCUCUCCACUUACUGCUGAGCUAACGUGCACUAAAUUCCUUCGCAAAAAAUUCCAUCUCUUCACAGACGAAACACACACGUUGUCUCUACCCGAUCAACCCAUCGAGCUUCAUACCAACUAUAUACCACUGAUCGAACCAAAUUACUCUACAAACACUCAAAUCGUCUUCGGCAUCGUUCGUCAUCCCAACAGAACCACCGUUAUAUCUAGACCAAGCAAGACCAAUGAUUGUUACUCACUAGACUACACCAGAAUCUCAGAUAUCAUGAGCAGCUUCGGCGUCAUCAACAAGCACUGUCGUUCCACUAUCUUGCGCGAGAUCGACAUGGCUGUAAAAUCAUCAUCGAGAGGCAGAGGAGUGGUUGAAAUCAAGAUUUGUAAGGUAAAGACUGAGGUAUAUGAAUUCAACAGAGCUGCAGAGGAGAUGUUGAUCGAGAGCUACCACCCCAAUCCAGCGGCGCCUAGAGUUUACAGUUCAACGAGGAGGGAGCAAGAAUGCGUGAUUUGCAUGCAAGGUUAUUCGAUGGGGUCAAUAGUGACGAAAUUGGCUUGUAACCAUGACUUUCAUGGACUUUGCAUCCACAAGUGGUCGCAAGUAAAUCAUCUCUGUCCUUUGUGUCGAUCGCCAAUUACUAAUAAGGGUGUUCAAUCCGGAUUUAUAUUCUGUUUUGGUUCGCUUUCAGGGUUUUCUCUAUUAUGAGAAAUAGUUAUCAUAUAUACUUUUUUUGCUUUCGAUGGUUUCAACUAACCAUAUAAACAAGGAAUAUCCAUUCAUAUUCCAGAUUAAACUGAUGAAAAUAAUAAUAAUACAACUACAAAUAUAAAUUUUAAAAAUGUAAUCAUCUUGUUGAGAUUAAAGAAAAUAAUUUAAUACUUAUCCAUAAUCAUUAACUUUAUUUUUUCUCAGAUUUACUAAAUUGCUAGUAUAUAUAAACCAGUACUAUAAACAAAACACCAGUUUUACCAAAAAAAAAACAAACAAAACAAAACACCAGCGUCGUUAUCCUCCUCCCCGGAAAGAGAGAGAGAUCAGCGAUGGAUUCCUCUGAUAUUGAGUACACCGUUACUUCUUCCAUGCACGCAAUUUACCCGUUCGCAGCCGAGCUAACGUGCGCGGAAGUCAUCCGCAGAAGGAUUCGUCUCGAAACAGAAACACUCUAUCUUCCCGAUCAAACCAUCGACCAUAAAACAAGCUUUAUCCCCCUAUACGUUCAAAAAGACGUCCUCUGCUUUACUCCUUGUCCCUACGGAACCAUUUAUAUCUCUAAGCCCGUUAGUUUCUCGUUAAAUUGCAGGGGCAUCUCCCAUAUCAUGUGCCGUUUCGGCGAAGCCAAUGACUGCUUCACUAUCUCGCGAGAGAUUGAUGAAGCCCUUGCGCGUGUAUUAUUAAAAGGCAGAGCAGUUACUCAAGUCAAGAUCUGGAAGAUCACUACUAAAGACUACGAAGUCGACGCUGAGUCGGAGAAAUUGCUGACCGAGAGGUGUUGCUCUGUUCCCGCGGAUGAUGAUGAUGAUGAUUCACCAACGAUCAAGUUGCUCCGAUAUAACUUGAAUGGAUCGACGGGAUGUGUAAUUUGCAUGGAUGAGUACGUUGAAGGAUCAGUCGUGGUGAAACUGCCUUGCGAACAUGAUUUUCAUGGAGUUUGUAUCAACCAGUGGUCACAAAUCAAACAACAUUGUCCCUUGUGCCGGUUUCAAAUCUCUCUUUCAUCAUCAUUUUCGUUUUUUCUUUGGAUUUUUGAUUUGUAAAACAAUUAUUAUUUUCUAAAGGGUUUUUGAGCAUAUGUAUAUAACUUGAAAGAUUUAUCUGAUUCUGAUAUUUAAAAAUUCCACCUUUUUAAAAAAAAAAUUGGGUGUGUAUGUGCGUGCGUGUGACCGAUGUCUAUCGUAACGGACCAUUGUCUUUCUCUCCUUACUAGUUGCAAGAGCUUAAGAGCUCUCACUCAAAUCCAUGGCUUCUUUAUCAAAUCCGGCGUCGAUUCCGAUUCUUACUUCAACGGCAAACUUAUCUUACAAUGUGCCAUUUCCGUUCCCGGCGCUUUACCGUACGCUCGACGUCUUUUGUUCUGUUUUCCUGAGCCAGAUGCCUUCAUGUUCAAUACUCUCGUCCGAGGCUACUCUGGAUCCGAUGAACCGCGUAAUGCCGUAUCGGUGUUUGUGGAGAUGAUGAGGAAAGGUUUUGUCUUUCCUGAUAGCUUCUCCUUCGCCUUUGUUGUCAAGGCGACGGCUAAUUUCCGGUCUUUGAGAACCGGAUUUCAGAUGCAUUGUCAAGCUUUGAAGCAUGGGCUUGAGUCACAUUUGUUCGUUGCUACUACCUUGAUCGGUAUGUACGGGGAAUGUGGGUGUGUGGAGUUUGCUCGCAAGGUGUUCGAUGAAAUGCAUCAGCCAAAUUUGGUUGCGUGGAACGCUGUGAUCACUGCCUGUUUCAGGGGAAAUGAUUUUUCGAAAGCUAGGGAAAUCUUCGAUAAUAUGCUGGUAAAGAAUCACACGUCGUGGAACGUCAUGCUUGCUGGGUACACUAAAGCUGGGGAGCUUGAGAGUGCUAAACGGAUCUUCUCGGAAAUGCCUCACAGAGAUGAUGUCUCUUGGAGCACUCUGAUUGUUGGGUUUGCUCACAAUGGGAUUUUCAAUGAUGCUUUCUCGUAUUUCAGGGAGUUGCAACGAGUGGAAAUGAGACCAAACGAAGUAAGUCUGACUGGAGUUCUCUCUGCCUGUUCACAAUCCGGGGCAUUAGAGUUUGGGAAGACGAUACACGGGUUUGUAGAGAAAUCAGGGUAUAGUUGGAUAGUUUCUGUGAACAAUGCGCUUAUUGAUAUGUAUUCUAGGUGCGGUAAUGUCCCAAUGGCCAGGUUAGUCUUUCAAGGUAUGCCAGACAAGAGAAGUGUUGUAUCUUGGACAUCAAUGAUAGCGGGCUUAGCCAUGCAUGGUCAGGGGGAAGAAGCUAUUAGACUAUUCAAUGAGAUGACCAAGUCUGGUGCUACACCAGAUGGGAUAUCAUUCAUUUCGCUUUUGUAUGCUUGCAGUCAUGCUGGACUGAUCAAAGAAGGUGAAGAUUACUUCUCUAAGAUGAAGAGAGUUUACCACAUAGAACCAGCGAUUGAACACUAUGGUUGCAUGGUUGAUUUAUAUGGCCGAUCUGGCAAACUGCAAAAGGCUUACAAUUUUAUAUGUCAAAUGCCAAUUCCGCCAACAGCCAUAGUGUGGCGGACUCUUCUUGGGGCGUGCAGUAGUCAUGGGAAUAUUGAACUGGCAGAGCAAGUAAAACAAAGGCUUAAUGAGCUUGACCCAAAUAACUCGGGGGAUCUUGUUCUUUUGUCGAAUGUUUAUGCUACUGCGGGUAAAUGGAAGGAUGUUGCUUGUAUCAGAAAGUCAAUGAUUGUCCAGAGAAUCAAGAAGACAACUGCUUGGAGCUCAGUUGAAGUUGGCAAAACCAUGUACAUGUUCACUGCAGGCGAGAAAAAGAAGGGAAUCGAUAUAGAGGCUCACGAGAAGCUAAAAGAAAUAAUCUUGAGGCUUAGAAAUGAAGCUGGGUAUGCACCAGAACUAGCAAGUGCUUUAUAUGAUGUAGAAGAGGAAGAAAAGGAGGAUCAAGUGAGUAAACACAGCGAGAAGCUUGCACUUGCAUUUGCUGUAGCUAGAUUGCCUAAAGGAGAAAAUAUCAGGAUAGUGAAAAAUCUUAGAAUCUGCAGAGAUUGUCACGCUGUUAUGAAGCUAACGUCAAAGGUUUAUGGAGUAGAGAUUGUGGUCAGAGACAGAAAUCGCUUCCAUUCAUUCAAGGAUGGUUCUUGCUCAUGCCGUGACUACUGGUGAAAGUUCUGAUAUAAUUGUACAUCAAGCCAAAUAUCAUUUCAUGGUCUAAUUCUUCCAUUAGUGACCUCAUCAAUGGAGAUUUAACUACCAACACAAACUUUCAGAUGUCUCUAUAACUUGAGCUCUUCCAUUUGCGCGGUUUGUGGUUUACAUUGCCUUGAGAUUUGGAUUAUUUUGUCACUUUGCAUUCCUCAUGGCGUACAACGUAUUAUAAGAAAAAGUUUUGGACUGUUAUUGUAAAUGUCCGACAGAUUUUACCAAACUUUGACGAGAAAUAUCAAGCACGUCUUCGUGGUUCCGGUUGCUAAAGUCUCAACCUUUUGAAUCCUUGUUUCCUUCUUUCUCGCUUACCAGAUCUUCGAAACCUUUUGUAUUAUUUCGAUUCCAUGGCUGCUUCAGCUGCAUUCUCCAUAUCAUCACCACCUUUCGUACCCAUUUCCUGCAAAAUCCGCAGACCAUUUCUAUUGCUUACUCCAAAAUACCCCAAACUCGUUUUGGUGAGAGCUUCUGCGCCCUCGAUCUCCAUCGAUGAAAAAUCGCCAGUCCAAACUAAGGUGAGUUUACUAGUAUUUCGUUUUGUAUGAUCGUCUCGCUCUGUAUUGUUCAAUUUAUGGUGACUUGGGGAAGGAAUUAGUAAUUGUAUUAGUCAUAUUGAGAUUUAUCGAGAUUUCUUAGCUCUAGGAUGGCUUUUGAUUCAUAAACUUACUAUACUAUUUUUUAUGUAGAAUUUGAUGAAAGUGAGAUUGGUGUUCUUACUUUAGAAACCAGAAAUGAGAAAAGUUAGGCUCUUUACGGGAUGAUCAUUUGCUUCUGGGCUUUAUUGUAUUGAUACAUUCUGUUUCAGACAAGCAAUUGGCAGUGGAAGUUCAAGGGAAACUCUAUCGGUAUAUACUAUGAGGAGCAUGAAAGGGAGAAGAGUGAAUCAGCUAAGAAUAUCCUAAUGAUACCAACAAUAUCAGAUGUUAGCACGGUUGAGGAGUGGAGAUCUGUGGCUAAAGAUAUUGUGCAGCGUGAUGGGGAAGUCAAUUGGCGAGCAACUAUUGUAGAUUGGCCUGGUCUUGGCUAUUCUGAUCGACCAAAGAUGGAUUAUGACACAGAUGUCAUGGAGAAGUUUGUGGUUGACUUCAUGAACUCACCUGAGAGCCCAAUGAGCCAGUCAGGUUAGUGUGAACCGCUUCUUCUUCUGUUUGGCUUGGAAAUAAUAUUGUUACAAGAGUGAAAAACUACAGUUAUUCUCCAUGGUUUUAGUUCUAGUUCCGCAUAGUUCAAUAUCAAAUCUGUAUUGUAGUUGGUAAUAUCUAUAUUUACUUUGGUGAACAAUUUUGGUUGUACAUGAGCCCGCCCUUGCAGUGUUUAGAGUCCCUUACUCUUAGCUCUUUCUGAAAUUAGGUCUUCUUUAUGGGUCUGAAUGCUUAUAUGAAUUGGGUUCCCAUUGAUCCGCCUUAUUUGCUUCCCCAACUAACUAAAGAGAACAAGCAAUAUCUUAACAUAAGCCAUAUUAAACUGAAACAGGUAAUGAUGAUCUGGUUAUCAUUGGAGGAGGGCAUGCAGCAACACUAGCACUCCGUGCUACCCAACGUGGGCUACUUAAACCAUCAGCCAUUGCUGCUGUCGCACCUACGUGGGCUGGACCCCUUCCUAUUGUCUUUGGCCGUGAUUCUUCCAUGGUGACGAGGUUCGUUGACAUCUUUUCAUGAAAGAGAAAAGAAGAUAAAAGCUUUUCUCUCUUGAUCGCCUGGUUUUUUGUCUCAACAGGUACGGUAUGCUAAGAGGAACUCUAAGAGCACCUGGAGUUGGUUGGAUGAUGUACAACAUGUUGGUGAGCAACGAGAAGUCCAUUGAGUCUCAAUACAAAUCACAUGUUUAUGCAGACCAGAGAAACGUGACCGAUGCCAUAAUCCAAAGCAGAUACGAGUUAACAAAGCAGAAGGGAUCACGCUACGUCCCUGCAGCUUUUCUGACGGGUUUACUCGACCCGGUUUCAUCACAGGACGAAUUUCUUCAACUGUUUGCUGAUUUGGAAGGAAAAUUUCCGAUCAUGGUGAUGUCAACGAAAGGAGCUCCAAAGAGAUCUAAAGCUGAAAUGGAGGUAUUAAGAGGAGCCAAAGGAGUUAGCAAAUUUGUGGAGGUUGAGGGUGCACUCUUACCUCAAGAAGAGUAUCCUUCUCUUGUUGCUCAAGAACUCUACAACUUCUUGCAAGAGACUUUUACUAAAUGUUAGAUAUAUAGAUUAAAGCUCACGCAUACAGACAGACCCAGAAAAUGUGAGCACACUGCACACACUCAUACUAGUGUUACGUUCAUUGUUUGCGGAACUCUUCAGUUAAAAAAGUCUUUCUAUACUUGCUUUUACAAGUUUCAGAUAUCUUUUCAAGUUUUGACUAGCAUGGUUUGUUCAUUGUUGUCUAAUACAGUGCUCUAUAGUCUAUAGGAAUUUACUCCUACUUUAUAUAUUACAAAAAAAAAUACAUCUUAUAUAACAAGUACGAUUUAGGUAACACCGAUUUUGCCUAACAAUUUAUUUAUUUUGGACCAAGCCUCAAAUCAUAUUUAUUUGGUCUCGAAGCUGUUCCUUGAAUCUACUUAUUACUUGGCCUGGAGGAAAAGGAACUCAACGUCACCAGAACUGAUGCGUGAUACUACCAUGGACCGCACGGUAGGCCAGAAAGGACCGUAACUUUCCUACCGGCAAGGAGAAACAGAGCCCAACAGCACCACUUAUGUGAUGUGUGAUAUGUGGAGAGCCCACAUCAUCAACUCACUCCAUGUAAAGUAUUUUUAUUAGUUUCCAGUGGUCCGGAAACAGUGAUUACUGAUAACUAAUACAUUCCUUUGAUUUUAUUCCAUAUUUCGUCAGUUUAUGUAAAUUCGAUUGGAUAAGAAGACAAGAUCACAAAAAAAAAAAAAAAAAAAAAAUCCCAUUCCUACAUUCUCCCACGUGCCACGUAGAUUCAUCACAUGCCACGCAUUUAGCCGACUGGUACUUCUUGGGCCUUAUUUUCAUUAUUUAACGGCCCAAAUUCUAUAUAAACUUACCGGACCCUAUUAUUAUCACUGUCUAACAAUAUACGAAUUUUUCUAAUUUUUUAUAAAGUUUUUUAAAAAUAUAUAUAAAUCAUAUGUAGAUACUAGAUACCGAAUCUACCUAAAAGUAAUCACUAAAAAUUUCUUGUUUUAUUAUGUAAAUAAUAUAAUAAAAUACGCGCACGAUUAUUAUUGUUAGCUUGAUUUUGUUAGUAUUUUCUCUUUAAUAAUUUCCGCAUUAUUUUCUUCUAUGAGUAUUUAUAUAAUACUAGUGAUGGACCCGCACGUACGUGCGAAGUUAUUUUUACAAAAUUACGAUUUUUUAAGUAAAUGUUAUUUCGGUAAAAUUUUGUUAUAUGAGUUUAUUUGAUAAACUAUAUAUAGACAUACAGUUGUAAAAUAUAGAUAUUGUAUUACAUGAUAAAAUUUUAAAAUUACAAUUUUAACAUUUCUUAUAUGAAAAUGAUAAGUGAUAUUACGUGUUUAUUUUUUAAACUAAUCAAAACAUUUCUAACUGUUUUCUUAGAGAUGUUCAAUCGGAUUUGGGUUUGGCUUUAGUUUGAAUUGUGUUAUGUGUAGUUUAGAAUGGAAACCCGUCCUGUUCCUUUCCGUCUCGUCCUGACCUGUCCCGUCCCUUCCCAUCUUCUAUCUGUCAUAAAAUUUUUGUUACAUAAUCGUUUCUUUUUAAAACAUAAUCAUUUGCCAAUGUUUAUUAUAAGAAACUUGGCAAAAGAUUUAGACGGGAUACUCAUAUUCCUCGUUUAAAUAUUUAUUUUUAUCAAACUAAUAAAAAUCUAAUUAUCAAUCUAAGUCACAUGCUCCCACCAUUUUCAUUCACAAUACACUGUCUGUAAUCCUAGNNNNNNNNNNNNNNNNNNNNNNNNNNNNNNNNNNNNNNNNNNNNNNNNNNNNNNNNNNNNNNNNNNNNNNNNNNNNNNNNNNNNNNNNNNNNNNNNNNNNUGAAAGUGAAUUUAACUUUAUGACCGUGUCUCAUAACAAUUAUAUCUAAUCAUGUUUUUUAUGUGAAAUAAUUCAGAUAAUGUUUGUUUCGAAUUAUAUGUUCCCGUCUCGUAUACAUUCCUAUAAGUUUAUAUAUUUUUUAAUAAAUAACACCAUUUACAUGUAACUAAAUAUAAUUUUAAUAUAUGUAAAAUUUCAUAUAAUCGUCCAAAAGUAGAGAUUUAUACGUCCCAAAGUUGAAUUUUGUUCAAUAUUUUGAGAUUUUAAGAAUUAAAUAUAACUACCAAUUUUUUUUUAUUUCAACCGGUUAUCCAAAACUUAUAUAUCAUAUUUGUCAAGGAUAGUUUAAAAUUGUACAUAUAUGUGAGAUAAUGUUUGUAGAUGUUUAUUUAUUAUAUCAUUUAUAUCAUACCAAUUUGACAUUUUAUUUGUUUUCAAUUAGAUUAAAUCAUUAAAAAUAUAAUCCAUUUAUUAGUUAAAAAUUGGUAAUAAGUUGUUAAAAUCAUUUAAAUGUGAUAUAUCCACUUGUUAUUUAGUUUUAAUCUUAAUAGAAAUUCUAUAUGUUUAUAAUCUCAAAAUGUAGUUUAUGAUUUGAUAAAACAAUUAUUUAAUNNNNNNNNNNNNNNNNNNNNNNNNNNNNNNNNNNNNNNNNNNNNNNNNNNNNNNNNNNNNNNNNNNNNNNNNNNNNNNNNNNNNNNNNNNNNNNNNNNNNAAGGUUUAUUUUGUUAAAAUUGUGUGAAAUUAAUAAGAAAAAAGAAGUUUAGAAUAAUCAUUAACUAAAGGUUUGACCAAAUAAAAAUCAUUAACUAAUUGAAUUAAUGAUAAACUUUGUAGAUAUCAUUUGUGCUAUAAUUGCUAGAUUGAUAUUUGAAUAUGAAUAUUUUUAUGUGAAAAUAAGAAAUUUAUGUGAUCUAGAAUGUUUAUUCGCAUGAUUUUAGCAAACAAAUAUUUAAUUAUUGAUUUAGUUAAAUUUUAUUUNNNNNNNNNNNNNNNNNNNNNNNNNNNNNNNNNNNNNNNNNNNNNNNNNNNNNNNNNNNNNNNNNNNNNNNNNNNNNNNNNNNNNNNNNNNNNNNNNNNNAAUUUUUUAAAAUUUGAUGAUAUGAUCAGUUAUGUAUAUAUACUAUGUAGAAUUUGAUUAGUUGAUUAUUUCAUAUGCUAACAUAUUUUUUUAUCUUUUUUUAUUUUUCUAAAAAAAGUUAUCUUUGUUAUUUUAGAUAUGAUGAUUUUGUUUUAUUAGAUUUCAUUCUAUAUAAAUUAUUAAUUUCGAAAUUAUAUUAACAUAAUAAAUUAAUAAUAAAUAUGUUUAUGUAUAUUCAAAAUAUAUUUGUUUACAUAUAUUUAGUUUUGAAUUUAAUUGUCCACUUUUUAUGGUAAAAGAUUAUUAUGAUUUCCAUAAAUAUAUAUUGUUUUUGUUUUUGUUUUGGUUUUUUUUUUUGCUGUCAUUAAUUCUGUUUGGCAACUGGUUUUAUUUUCAUGAAAUGUUUUUUUAAAAUUAUGGGGUGUUUGGCUUUAAGUUGUACUUCCCAAUUAAUAGUAUAGAUGCAGAUGUGGAUCUUGAUUAUGACAUAAUAAUAAUACUAGCCCAACCUACUAAAUUACAAAAUAUGGUCCAUUAGUAUGAGUUUAAAAUAUAUUUUUAUUAUGUGAUUGUGAUUGUGAUUGUGAUUUUGAAUAAAUUCUUGGGCCCAAUUUUAUUGCGUUAAUGGGCCAGAUAUCAAUUCAAUGUUCCAUAACUUACCAGACCCAAAUAUAAAUCACCUUUGCAAUUAUAUUCGAAUUUAUCUACAAUGCGGGGCUGAAUUGUCGUUCUCAAGGACCUCAGCUAAGCUGCUAAUCACAAAAACGUUUUUAAUUAACGUCUCACUCUCAAACAAAAUAAGUUCGUGUACCUUCUCUAUUCAUAUAUUUAUAUCUCUCUCUUUUUUUUUUUUGGUAAAUAAUAGAUGAAAAUUUUGUCUAAUGCUCACGUUUAUCUUAAAGCCCCAUCAGAAAUUAAUUAAACGCAUCAUCCCUAUAAUCUCUUUUUUUGGGUGCCAUCUAAAAUAUCAUGAUCGGAGACUUGAGAUGAGUUUUUUUUUUUUUUUUCUAAAUGUAAUUGUCAUUUCUUGAAUAACCCACAUGGAAAACAAAAUUCCACGUACCACAUGUUUCAUGAAAAAAUAAUAUGAAUCAGUAAUGUAUAUAUGAAGAAAGAAACCCCAAUCAGUUAUGUAGUCAUUUAUAGACUUUGUAAUUCAUAUGAAAAUAUAUAUAUUAGUCCAAACAUUUUUAUACAGAAUUAGUUUGGUAGGCAGCGAGUUAUGGCGCCGGGUAUCAAAAAAAUUUUGUUAGACAUGUUGUUAUGGCCCUUAUGAGUAUCAAAUCUUCAUAUCAAAUCACUAUUUAAUUUUCUGUUUGAUUCUUACGUACCCUCUCUGUAACCGCACAUAUACAUUUCGCACACUAUAAAUUUACCAACUACCCAUCCAAAAAUAUGUCACUGGUGAAAAAUAUAUGCCUGCGUCUAGCGAAUCUAGCUAGUCAUCUAGACGACGCAACUAAGCUUUAUUCAAAGUAUAAGUAGAAGUGUAUAGAACAAUACGUACGUUUUCACACCUUGAUCGAUGUUGGUGAUUACCAUACCACUGGGUUUUGAAGAUGGAAUCGGUGAUUUAACAAUUGUUGAUCGCAUAACUUUAAAUAUCAAUAAACUAAACUGUCAUGUGGGUACCAACUAGCCGACAAAUGAUGAAAGAAACUAGCUUGUGUAAUAAAACACAAGCCAAUAGGCAAUAAGGAAGGUAGCAAUUAAUAACCAGCAUUGUUAUUGAUGUAGUUUGUUAUACAAUCGAAAAGAUCACUUGGUGUCACUUCUUUUCUUUUCUUUUCUUGCCUUGCUUAUAAAUGAUGUAAAAAAGUUAUACACAUCACUUACGAAAAUGAUUAUGCAAUUUUUUUGAAUCAAUUGUUUUAAACUUCUUAUCCUUUAUGGUUACUUAAUUGAUGUUAGAAUGUGACGACGAUAAAAGAAAUAUGAUGUUUAACGACAUGCACCAUAUGUAUAAUGGCUUUGCUAGAAUAGUUCACACGCUUUUAUGAUCAGUGUUAAAAGUUAAAUUUAAACUGUGCAUUGGUAAAAGUGUGGUGCAUGCAGUCAAAAUAAUAGUAAAAACCAACUAUCAUCAGUGAUUUCAACUUAAUUAAAAUAAAGUAUAAAUUGAAAUAGCUAGAAAAUCAACUCUAUCCACAUAAAAUUUCUAUAUACACGUACUUAAAUUACUAGGGUUUACAUUCUCUCUUUUUUUUUUUGUCGGUAUUACACACCUAUCUCUAUCUUGGACCUGUUUUGGUAUCUAACAAGAGUUAAAAUAGUAGCGAUCAAAACAACGUGUAAUAUCUGCGAUAUUGUAUCAAAAUUGUGUAUUCUAUUAUAUAUACAUAUAGACUUGUAUUUUUUUUUUUUUGUUCUCGAGCUAUUAACAUGUGAGAAUAGCCGACAACUGUAGGAGCUAUAGGGUGAUAAUGCAAUUAAAUAGAGUAGGUUGAUUUACAAUUAAGGGCAUAAAUCCAUCGUUUUCAUUUCUUUGAUCGUACAUUUAAUCUAGAGCUUCCACGUGUGCGCAACACAUCUUAUGCCAUCAUCACUCAUUAACUUAAGUACUCCAUAUCGAAAUCUGCUACUAGCUAAAAAAAGUCUCAACAAUGUUCGUUCACUCGCGAGUCGGCUCUUGUAGACUUGUAGUUAUAAUAUACAGUAGUCACUACAAAAAAAAGGUUGUAUAACAUCAUUUAUUUUUAAUAUUUGUAUUAGUUAUAAAUGAUGCAAAAAUCUUUUGCAUCGCUUUAACAAAUGAUUUUAAAUGUGUUGAUGCAAAUAAUUUACAUCAUUUAGUUGAUAACCGAUGCCAAUAUACAAAAUAUUUACAUCAAUUAAUAUAAUUGAUAUGAAUAUAUGUCAUUUUUAAAAAAUGAUGUUAAUUGUUACGUCAAUUUAAUUAAGUGAUGAUAGUAUUAGUGUCGAUUAAAAUAACUGAUGUAAAUUAUUUAUAUCAAUUAGAAAACUGUCGAUGCCAUAAUUAACAUAAUUAAUUCAAAAUAAAUAAAUCUCAUUUUUAAUAUAUUUCGAAUUAUGAUUCAUUUGUAAUUAUUUUUAAUAUAGCAAGAUACUCUCCUAAAAUUACUCGUUGCAAUAUCUAUUUAAAUCUUAUUAUGUUUUUAUAAAUGACAUCAAAUGAGCAAUAAAUCUUUGUUUACAACCGAAAAAUCACAAUUGGGUUUUGAUCUUAGUUUCUUCAUCUUCUUUCUUUUACAUGCUUUUUGCUUACAUUUUUUUUCCUUCUUGAAAACUUCAAUUCUUAUUAUAUGCCAUCUAUCUGCCAUAAGUGAAAUAAAGAUCAUGAUUUAGUUAUGACUUGCAAUCCAUUGAAUCAUCAUAGAAAUUUUGCUCUAUAAAAAUUUUGAUUUAAAAAAACUAAAACAAUAAUUGUAUGAAAAUUUAUAGAAAGUUUUGGUUAGAAUCAGAAUAACCAAGUAUAUUUAACAUAAAUUAAGUGAUGGAGUACCUUUAUUUUACGUUUUCCAAGCUUUACAGAAAAACACACACUCAAUAUUUUCAGUUCUCACAGUUUUUNNNNNNNNNNNNNNNNNNNNNNNNNNNNNNNNNNNNNNNNNNNNNNNNNNNNNNNNNNNNNNNNNNNNNNNNNNNNNNNNNNNNNNNNNNNNNNNNNNNNNNNNNNNNNNNNNNNNNNNNNNNNNNNNNNNNNNNNNNNNNNNNNNNNNNNNNNNNNNNNNNNNNNNNNNNNNNNAUUCAUUGUUGAUUUUGAAGAAAAAUCGAAAUUAAUUAUAAAAGAUAAAUCGAAUAUGGUUAUUUCAUUUCAAUUAGUUUCUAAUAAUUAAAAUAAAAUUCAACUAGUUUUUUAAUAAUUAAAAUAUAUAAAUUUAGCAUCACAUUUAAUUGAUGUAAAUUUUAUAUCAUUUUAAAAAGUGAUGUUAAUAAAAUUACGUGAAUACAUCGGUUAUCUUAAUUGAUUUAAAUAUAUAUUCUGAAUCAAUUUUUCUAAGUGAUGCAAACUGGUACAAAUUUGUAUCAAUUUUAAUGAACUGAUUUUAAAUAAAUUAAUUAACACAUCAUUUAUUACAUUUGAUGUUAAAUUAUUUAUUUUGUGUCAUUUGCUAAUAAGUAAUUUAAACUACUAUCAUUUAUAUUUUUGAUGCUAUUUAAUUGAUGAAAGAUAAGCCUUUUUUUGUAGUGAGUAUGUAAUAUAUGACUUGGUCUUAAAGUCUUAGCUAAAAGGGCCACAAAAGUAUACGUACUUACCCAUUAUUUAGGCAUAAUAUAUACUCCUAAUUGGAGAAUUAAGACGUACGUGUUCUGUAACAUUUCUAAAACUGGGGUGCACAUCUAUCGAUAAAUGUAUAUACGUAGCUAUCGUUCGUUAAAAGAAUAUGGCUUAUAAUAGUUUAUAUAUUCCGUGGAUAUGAUUUAUUUGGGAUAAAGUUUAUGAUGUUAACACAAUCUUCAAGUGUGAACUAACUAACUAUUGAUUUUCAUUGUUGUGUGGCUGUAGGAUUGGAUACUCCAACUACCAAAAUUUUGCAAGAAAUAAUAUAACUUAAACGUACAUUUAUUUCGUCAUAAAUCAAAUGAUAUGUGUAUAUUAAGAAGUGAAUCAUUGAAGCGAGGGAAAAAAACGCAUUUAUAUUUAUACAUGCAUAGAAGUAGACGAUAGGAAAACAAUUGAAAUAUAUAAUUGGACUAUUAGAGUACAAGACACAUAUUUAAACUCUCAAUCUUCAAAUAGCUUGGCUUGCUAAUAAUAAAAUAAUAACCAAAUUAUUUGGUGUGUUAUUUUAGAACUUGGCUUGGUUUUUUUUCUUUUUGGAUAUUUUAACUGGAUUAACCUAUGAUAAACCUAUUUUUAUUUUUAUUUGUUGAGGAAUGAUAAUCGUUACCAGUGCCAGAAAGACAUCCAACAUUAUUUUUUUUAAAUGUAAAAUUGAAAAAAAAAUUGCAUCUUCAACGACACUAUUUCAUCAUCAGAACACCAAAACAAUAUUCCCAAAAUGGAAAUAAAAUUAUAACGAGAAAUUUUCAAAAAAAAUUGAAAACAAAACAGAUUAAUUAACUAACUUAUAAGUUAUAACCAAUAUAUAUUCUAUAUUUGUGCAGUGUUUUGAACUAUUGUAACUUUAAAAGUUACAAAACAAUAAAUUACAUUCUUUUGCUGUGAUUAUAGUCAAGGUUGCUCUUUCUAAAUGCACUGAAUAGCAAAAAAAAAAUAUAGAUUUUUCUAUAUGCCUUAUAGGUAGUAAUCUAGAUUUUAGUCCAAAAUUAUUCCUUAAUUACUGAAAAUUGUAAAAAUAAUAAUAAUAAGAAAAAAAAUAUGAUAAGUAGAAAUGACGGUUUUAAAUGAAAAUUUAAAAUGUUAAAAAAUUUAACCAUAAAUUCAAUAUUUAAUUUUGAUAGAUGGACUUGACAUCGAAUAACGUAGUACUAGAAAAUGUCAUUUGAAAGUGGAUUAGACUCUUUUUUUUCUUCUCUUUAAUAAUUAACGUGGAUCAGAUUUUUCGAUAUAUUUAAAAGUAUACGUGGACGUUAUUAUGCCAAUCAUUAGGGAAACAUCCAACAAAAUAAAUUUAAUUAAAGUGAAAAAUACGUGAACUAGAUCUAGAUUUGAUAGGGUUUCUUUUAAAGGAUAUUUCAAAUGAGUAAAUGCUAUUUCUGAUCAUUAUUCAAAUGUUUUGGUAGACUAAUAUUAAUCGUAACUUUUCUUAAUUUUAUCAAAUACACAUAAUGUUGUAACACCGUCAUCUUUGUUACGACAUGAAUACAGCUGUCGCCUGUCGAUUAACGCUAUUAAUAACACUAUAGAGCAUGCCCAAUUUUAAUAAGACGUAAAGCUAUAUAGUAUAUAAUAUAUGAUAUGGAGUAUAUGUUUGGGUUAAUUAAUAGUAGUAUUUAUCAGGUCGUAUCACAUCGUGUUUCAUAUUUUAUUACGUUUCUUUAUAUAACUGGAUUAUCUGAAUAUAAGGUUCGAUUGCUGAUGAUGACACAAGCCGGUUAAACAAACGAAUUAUAUAGUUGUUAAUUAAAGAUUUAUAAAAACUGUAAAAAAUAAUGGUUUAAUUAUAAUUUUGAUUGGUAAAAGUUUUAUAGUACAAUUAAAAAAUGGUAACGGUGAUUCGGUGAAUGAUAUUCAAAUUAAUACUAUUAUUAAAUAGUUAGAAAGAACAUUUCAAACAUCUUCAGUGGCACUUUAAAUUAUACGAAAAAUAUGUUAGUUCUAGGGGCAAAUUUGCUCAUUUCGUCUGAUUUCUCUAGUUCAAUCUUCCAUCUGAUCUUUAUCUGUUAUAAACAUUGAUUUGAACUAUGAGAGAGUGAUAGAACUAUAUAUAGAAAGACUCGACUUGUAAUCUUUUUAAUUUGAUAAGGAGAAUCUGCGCGAAACAUUUGCCAAGAUGUUAUAUGGAAGGUAUCUUUAAAUAUAUAUACAAAAAAAAAGAUUUUUAAAAAAAGAAAAAAAAAACGUUUGGCAAGAUGGCUGGAUUUGGCACCGAACUUAAUUAUGAGCGAUAGUGCAUACUUGUUCUUCUUAUUUUUUUUUUGGUUCGUACGUGUGAAUAUCAAAAACCUAAAUUCUAAUGAUCUAUAGUCUAUAGUGAAUCUUUAGAGUCAAGAAAAAAAAGAAGGGGUGAUUGUGAUUCCUCAACACUAAGCAUAUAGAAGAAUCUCACUCUCACCUACAUAAUCGGUAUAUACUAAAUACUCGUAAUUGCAGAGCCAACCCUUUUGAUUAGUAUUGCCACGUUCCUGAAUUGAAGGGCUGACUUCUUUUUGAACAAGCAAACCAAAAUGAGUAAAUGCUCUUUGCUGUCUCUAUUGACUGACUCUAUUCCCCCCCUCCCUUUUUUUUUUGAUAUAAAUGUGAAUAUCAUUAAAAUAUGAAGGUUUAGGAAUUACAGAGGUAAAACCUAAAGAAUGCAGCCUUGCCAAAAAAAGAUAAAAAACAAGGUUACAAGCUAGUGCUGGAGUCAACAACACACAAAAAGAUUAUUUGAUCCAAAGGAUCAUCAAAUUUCUGAACUGCUUUCUAGAUCUUCUAGCGGUGAUAGUGUUUCUAAUCUCCCCUCCCUUUAAUCUAAGGCUUUCUUUUUCUGUUCGGGUUCAGCAUCCACGUUCAGUAAUUAUGUUUUAUACUGUAUAAUAUUUAUUUAUUGCGGUUAACUUUAUGAUAGUUCAUAUGUAAGCGUUUCAGACAGUCUUUUAUGGGUCAGAUCAAAAGUCAAAUUAAUGUUUGCAUAUAUGUUUAUAUGUUAAUAAGACAAAAGAAAUCAAUUAAGUUUUACAAAAGAAAAGAUAAAAUUGUCAUUCAAGCGCUAAUAGUGCUCCUCGCUGUUUAAAUAUGUGUGUAUGCCUUUAUUUCAAUGCAUAUAGAUCCAAAGAACAACCCACAUAACUCCUCCAUAAGACUUAGACGCUUGUCUUUCUCUCUUCAACACCCAAAGUCUUUUAAGUGUAUAUCCUCUCUUCUUAUAACCAGCCACAAAAAAAAAAAAAGAGAGAUUAAAAGAGAAAGGUUAAAAGAAAGAUCAGGAAGAUUCUUUCAAGUCCAAAAAAGUGAGAUUUUGAGAACACCCUCUUUGCAACAAAAAAUCCUAUCUUAAAGUCUAACUAGUUACUGUCCCUAGCUUCCACACACUACUAUACCAAAAAUCCAAUCUUAGAUCGUCUUACUGCGUCGAUGUAUAUACUAUACGGAGAAAAAAAAAAAAAAAAUUAAAGAAAAGGAAAACACAUAUAGGAGACGAUCAAGAACGUGUGUGUGAAUAUGGGUAGACCACCGUGUUGUGAGAAGAUCGAGGUGAAGAAAGGACCAUGGACUCCCGAAGAAGACAUAAUCUUGGUCUCUUAUAUUCAACAACACGGCCCUGGAAACUGGAGAUCUGUUCCGACAAACACCGGUCUUGAUCUUUCUUUUCACUUUCUUUCUUCUUCACGUUAGUUAUAUAUUAUGUAUUCCUUAAUAUAUAAAAAUGUAUGUUUGAACAGGUUUGCUAAGGUGUAGCAAGAGUUGUAGACUCAGAUGGACUAAUUAUCUUCGUCCUGGGAUCAGACGAGGAAAUUUCACUCCAUCCGAAGAGAAGAUGAUCAUCCAUCUCCAAGCUCUUUUGGGUAAUAGGUACAUGAUCAUACACUUCUUUAUUCCUCCUUUACGUAUAUACAAACAUGAUACACCCCUUGAUCAUCUCCAAUAAUAUCUGUGUUUGUCCCAUCUCCCCUAAUCUCCUAAUAAUAUUAUUAAGAUAGAAUUUACAUUCGUUUAUUAAUGAGUGUUUUUGUUAUUUUUUUUUAUCUUGACUUAAUCUUUCUUUAACAAUCAGAUGGGCAGCUAUAGCAUCAUAUCUACCUCAGAGGACCGACAAUGAUAUCAAGAACUUUUGGAACACGCAUCUUAAAAAGAAACUCGUGACGACGAAGCUUCAAAACGGUUUCAUCAACGAAGACAAAACUAAUAUGGCGACAGAGAUUUCAUCUUGUAAUAACAACAACAAUAGAUGUAAUCACAACAAAAGGAUCACCAACAAAGGACAAUGGGAGAAAAAGCUUCAAACAGACAUCAACAUGGCCAAACAAGCCUUAUUCCAAGCCUUAUCACUUGACCAACCAUCUUCAUCGAUCCCUCUCGAUCCGGACGACUCACCAAAAUCUAAUCAUCAUUCUGCCACUGAUACGUAUGCCUCAAAUACAGAGAACAUCUCUAAGUUACUUCAGAACUGGACAAGCUCAACAUCUUCAAGGCCCAACACUUCAUCACUAUCCAUUAAUAGGAGCUCAAGCACAGGUGAAGAAGGAGUUUUUGAUCAUCACUCUUUGUUCUCGUCGAACUCAGAAUCUGGAUCAGUUGAUGAGAAGCUGAAUUUGAUGCCGGAGACAAGUAUGCUCCAAGGUGAGAGCAAGACAAGCAUAGACAUGGAAGCUACUGCUGAUAACCAAGGCUCGUUGUCUUUGAUCGAGAAAUGGUUGUUUGAUGAUCAAGGCUUGGUUCAGUGUGGUGAUAAUCAAGAAGGUAUCAUCGAUGUGUCUUUAGAGGGUGAGAAGAAUGACAACAACAGUCCAGAUUUGUUCUAAGAAAAUAAUACAUGAAUUAAGCAACUGUAUAGGUUUACUUCUUUUUCUUUCUUUUGUCUGUUCGCUAUGAUUGUUAGUUACAUAUUAUUUUACAGUGUGGCUUGCUUCUUAUCAAGUCGAUGAAGAUAAAAACUGUUACUAUAUGAAAGUAAAGUUUAUUUAAUUAAUGUAGUACUUCAAUAAACAAAUCUAUAUAUAAAGUUUUUUUUUUUUUUUUUAAAGACUACGAGCAUUAAAUGACGUUUAUGCAUGCAUGUUACCUACAAAAUUGGCUAAUCAUCAUUAAAGAUAAGCAAACAUCACUCACAUAGAUAAUACAAUACAGUAUAAUAUGACUUCUUUUGGUCUUCCUAGAAUAGGAAUUGGUGAUAACAAACAACAAUUGAGUAUGACUUAAAGUAGAACAUAAUAAAUCCUUAGUUAUCUGUAUAACUAACCUUAUCAAUCUCACAAUGUAAAUCAAUUAUUGUAGUUAUUUGUAGUUUUUAUCCAAUUAAAAAGAUGGAGAGACAUUUGUAAUAGAGUUGAUUCGCCGCCAUAUGAAAUACAGUUUUUACAUUAAAGAGGAAAGGAUAUAGUAGUCUAGACAAAUCUCACUUCCUUUAGUUAUGAUCGUAUUCGUAUGCAUGGUUUAAUUUUUGUCAUAAAAGUUAAGCUGUUAUCAUAAUUAAUUUCUGUUAGAAUCAAAUUGCUAUUUGAUCUAGUCUUUUGUUUUUAUUUAGUAUAUGUAGUCUUCUGAAAUAAAUGAUUAUUUUUUUUUUUCUUUUCUUCACAAUAUCGAAUUUAAUCGACUGGCGAUUGGCGAACCGCAAACUCGUAAUCAUAUAAAAUUUAUAAAUCAUCGUAGCAUGUUUGUCUAACCUGUUUGUUUACGAUCUGGUACGUUUAUUCAAGCCCAUUUAAACUAAUGGGCCUCUCCAUUGUCCAAUACUAUUUUACUUCUACAAGUCCUUUUUUGGUUUUUUAUGGUUUAGCUGUUUAGGUAUGGUGUCCAUCUCAUGCACAAGAAUACAAGAUGCGUUGAUCUACAUGCACAAGUAUAUUUUAUCAUAAACUUUUCGUAUAACAGUCUGUUUUGUAUAUUAAUUCUAAUAAUGUAAAACAUAAAAUGUUGCAAAUUUCAUAUGGAAAGUUAGAUGUGACCUAAAAUAACAUUUUGAAAACGUAUAUCGAUCAAACUGAUUAAUUUUUUUGAUAAAAAAAAACUCAUCAAACUCACCAGAAAAAAAAAAAACAUGAAUUGAAUUAGAUGAUUAGCUGAGUAGUUUCAAGUAGCAUAAACUGAGUGCUUGUCUAAACUUAACGGAUUGGCUUAUAGGUACGAAGAUUAUCAUGAAUAUUGAUACUUAGAUAUAUGUAUAAGUACAGUUUAUACUAAUUAAGUACAUACUGUACUUAUACAAAUAUCUAAGUAUCAAUAUUCAUGAUAAAGAUCUAUUACCUAUAGUAGAGUAAACUGAAUAUAUCUAAUACUGCAUUUGAAUUAACAUAUCUCUCUAUCUCGCUCUCUUUUUUUGUCAUCGAUCGAUAACUUUGAUAGUAUUAUAGUAUGUAUACGCAUACGACACUGCGCAUGCAUGCUUUGAUCACGAUUAGAAUAGUUAUUUUUGGAAAGGGGAUGAGAAGAAAAAGAAAAUUAGGAAAGAAGAAGAGUGUGAAUCAGAGGAUUAAAAGGACAGAAGCAUGUGAGAUUACAAGGGCGGGCCUUUGGAAAUCACAUCGAUCCCAUGUAUCAAAAGGAAAGGAACUCUCAUCUUCACUUUCAAUCAUUUUCUCAAACCCAUCUCUCCAUUGUUAGAUAAGCCAAAGAUUUCUUUUCGCUGUCUUGGUCCACGUGUUUUGUUCAUUUUUGGUCCCUUCUUUUUUAUUCUUCUACAGGGAUUUAUUUUAAAUAAAUUAUUUCUUACAAAAUAUAUAAUAUAAUUGCCUUGUCAUUCCACUAUAUAUAUCAUGACCCCUUUUUAAUAUUGUAACAAUUCUUUUGAUUCAUUUAGUAAGGAGUUAUUUCUCUAGUACAUCAUCUUCUUAGUUUGUAAGUCGCACAUAAAGAUGUGUCCAAGAAGUUAAACUCUACAUUCGAACAAGUGCAUGUUUUGAUGAAAUUUAUAUAAAGAAAAGUCAUAUACCAUGGGCUUUAUUGAAUGGCCCCUAGCUAGGGCUUUUCACGUCGCUCUAUUACAAAACAAAAACAAAAAGAAUUCCUUGAUAAUAAUCAUAGUAAUUAGUGGGUGUGGGUCUUCUAAAACUUGCACACUUACGAAAGAGCCAAUCGUCAACAACAAUAAAAAUGUAGUUUUGUUCACCUUCACCCCAUAUAAAACCAAUUUGACUUGUUUUAGAAAAAUAUAAAUAUUGUCAUUGGUUUUGAGUGUCGAUUGAUUUGCCAAUAAUGGGCCUUCACCGAUUUCAACUUCAAGCUCUCUCUCUCCGACAAUUACAUGCCACCUAAUUGAAAAGAUGUUCCGAUUUUUAUAAAAACUUUGAAAAUCUUUUUACGAUCAUAAUGUUUAAUCUUCUCUAAUUUAGUUUUACACACUUCACGUUUUACGCUCGAGAAGAAACAAGAAAGAGAUUGAAGUUUAUGUAACAAUGUCUUGAGAAUUAUUUACUCUACAUUGCGAAUGAUUAGAAAUUUGUUGACUGGCGAAACGCGAACUUUCUUGCGGAAAUGUAUUAUUUGCGCAAUACAUUUUUCAAAGUGCCCACUAUAAAGAUGUGAUAUAAUUUGGUAAUGUUGCAUGUUUCUUUACCUAGCGGAGUCAUUUAAAUAUACGUGUCACGGUUUCAAUACAUUACUAAAAACUAAGUACAGUUCAGAACUUCUGGAGAUUCACAAUAUGCUUAAGUUUAAAAAGUUGGAAUAGAAAAUAUAUAAAGUUCUUUUCGUUUUGAAACGAUAAUAAUAAUAAUAAUUAAAACUACAGUGGUCUUUUCCAACAAAUUCGAGUGGCCACUUAGAUGAUGGCAAAAGCAGCCAAUACACCAUUUUUUAAUCACAAAACCAAAUCUUUUCCCAUGGCCAUAUAUUAACACUUAUUUAAUUGUAGUUGCUUCAGCCACUUCUUUUGAUUCUACUCCUAUAUAUUAUAGAUUUUUAAAAGAAAUAAGUAGACAAAAAACCAUUAACCUAGACGAUAAGAAAACAUGAUUCGAUAUGUGUGGGCCGUUCGUGGUAUCAAAGAAAUCGCGUACAUAAUUAUACAAAUAAAAUUUAUUGCUUUCAUACACACGCAAUAUAUGUAUGAUUAUUUGAUAAAUGGAAUUAGAUUCAAGAAGCCAGGCCAAAUAUACAAACGGAAUUAGAUUCAACUAUAUAUAUAUUUAUAUAUCUUCGAGAUAAAUAUCUAAUUUAUCAGGCUACGUCCACAUAUUCCUACUAAAUCAGUAUCUUAUUACUGGUCGUAUGAUUGCAAAUAUCAUUUGUUUUGUUGAAAGAAAAGAAGUAAGACGAUUCUUAAUUACUGAGGUUUACUAACAUUUCGUGAAACUUAAUUAUAUAUAAAUUCUACAUAUGUUUAAGGGAUCAGAGGUUCAAUGUCCAAAGAAAAGAGAGGGCUACAAAUGUAUUGGAACUUGUAUUCGAGUUUUAGACAGAACAAAAUAAGUUGUAUAGUCUUUUAACAAAGAUGCCUAGCUCCUAUACAAAUGAUCUCAUACAAGAAGAUGGAAGAAUGGUCAUCGAUACUUUAACAAAAAUAAAAUAAAUUGGUCAAUAUAUAUCGUGAUAGGUAAUUAAAGAUCAUAUCCUUCUUUUACUGCGUCUCUCAUCUUAAACUCAACUUGUUGAAGAAAAAAAAAUUCCACUAUCAUUCCCCAAAUUAAAUUUGAACCAAAAAAAUGUGAAAAUAGUUUCACAAUCCUUUAGUUUUUAAUCAGCAUAUACAAAUAUUUCGUCAAGCUAGCUCAUUUUUUGUAAAAAAAAAAAAAAAGACGAUGUAAAUUAAAAAUAAACUAUUGUUUACACAUCACACAAACAGAAGUAUACAAUAUGUCAAACCAGCAAGCUAUAUUUGUAAAUACAUAUAUAGAUAUAUAGAUGGGCGGUAUGUGAGCUGUUUGAUAUACACAUCAAUAUUCAUAUACAAAUAUCCUCUAAUAAAAUCCAUCUUUAAAAAUCAAUCGAUCAAUCCAAUCCAAACCAGAAAAAAAGAAAAAGAAAAAGGAAAGUAAAAAAUCCUCUGGAAACAAAAAAAAAUUCAAGCGUCAGGUGGAGAAUACUCACAAACAACCUCCGUAUCAACUUCCUUCCGGUGAAAAUUCCGGUGACAACCACAAGCGGCGCAUCUCAAAGCAUCGACGGUUCCUUCAACCCCGGCGGCCAUGAACUCACGGCAACCGUCGACGGCGUAACCUCCGAUGUUAGCAGCGUGGUUCUUCUGGCACUCGACGUAGCGGACGUUACUGAUGGCCGAGGAAGAAGAAGAAGAAGAAGUGGUAGUCCAAGAGGAAGAUGUGUUGGAGUUUCUUGAUCUCUGCUUGAUUACCAUCUGUCUCUUCUUCAUCUGUAGAAACCCUAGCUACUUUUAUUUAUCCCUCAAGUUGCAACUUGCAAGUGGCUCUUUGGGUCAUACGAAAGACUCUUUAUCAAAACGAAGUGAAGAAGAGACUAGAGAAGGGUGUGGACUAGCUUCUAACUUGUGAAUGCCCCUUUGUGCCCCUUUUUAUAAAAAAAUAGCUACAUUAUGCUGACUGUUUGUAAUCUAUCUAACCCUAGAGGAUUUUUAUUUUAUAUAUAUAUACCUACGGACUCGACAAAGUGACUUAAAAUAUGGGCUACUUUUUUUACAUAAUUGAUCUUUUUUCGUCUCCCUAUAUAGUCAUUUGCUGUAGUGUUUUAAAAUUAUAUUUAUGCAUACGACUAAAAAGCUAAUUUGUUUUUUUUUGAAGGGGGUUUUAAUAAGAAUCCGGAUAAAUUAUAACAUGUUUGAAAUAAUUGAUAUGUACACUAUAUGUAUAUUUAGUGAAGAUAUAAUUUAGAAUGAAAUAAAUGAAUAUGUAUGUGUGUGGUGAAAUGUACAGUAUAAUUAUUAAAAAAAGAUGGGGGGAUAUUGUCUCUCUGUCGAUAAAACGAUAUUCAUUCUCUUCCAUUAUUUCACGUAUUGUCAUAUUCAAACGCGACAUAAGAGUAUAGAAAAUUUAUUAUUCUCUUCCAUUAUAUAGCAUAUGGUCUUCGUGGUCUCAGAUCGGUAAUAGAAUUACGAGUGACAUGAUGAAAUAAUUAUCUUUUUUGGUUGAAAGAAGAAAGUAUCGGAGAAAAAAAUCAGUAGCCAGCCUUAUUUUACCGUCGAGAUCAUGUGCAUUGCAUUAUGUAUACACGAUGAUUUGUUUAUACAGAGAACAUAAUAAAAUAAAUUUUUUUUUUUUGAGUCAAUAAAUUAAUUGCGAAUCCGACUCAGUCCAACGGACCUGCUCCCACAAGCAAAGGGACAAUGACAGGUUAAUAUUGGAAUGCAAUCUCAUGAUCACUUUUUUUUAUACUAUUCCAAACUUCUUAUAUACAUUUAUGUUAGAGUUGCAACUUUUUUUUUUUUGUAUUAUCCAUUAUAUUAAUUUGAACUCAAAUGGCAUAUACAAUCCAUUAGUAUAUUUGUGCCAGUAUGAUAAAUAAAAAGCUUAGAAUUUGACACAACGAUACGUCUUUCAUACUUAUUUCUUUUUCAUGUGCCCACCUUGAAUAUUGCAAAAGAAAAAAAAUGGAAAAUAAAACUAUUCAAUAAAAAAUGAAUGAAACACGUAGCUUCCUUCGAUAUUAUAAGAGUACAAAUUAAAAAUGAAAAAGGAAGAUUUUGAUGACAAAUUUCAAAAGAAAAAGCAAAUGAAUUGACAGUAUUAUAUGUUUUCUAAUUGGAUUUUAAUAUACUGACUAAUUAGUCAAAUUGACUUCUUUACACGUGAAAUCAGCAAAACAUAGGCCCCGCUCUUUAUACACACAAAAGUCUCGACGACCAUAUAUCGUCCCACUCUUUUUUUAAUUCCCGUCGCUCAUAAUAAGAAAUUAACUUCUUUUUUUUUUUGGGUUUAUAGAAAUUAACUUUCUUAACUGUUGUAUGUAACCAAAAUAAAAUAAAAUAAAUAAUUAUUGCAUGUAUAAAUUAGAUAGGUAGUGUGUAAAUGGUAUUCUCUCUAUCAGGUCAAAAUAUCUAUAUACUAUAGGAAUUAUUAUAGGAUACAUCAAUAUUUAAUUUACAACGAAAACAACUCAACGAGUUUUUUUUUUCCUGACCACAAGAACUUUUCAUAAUGUAGGAAAAAGUAUCUUAACUUAAUAUAAAAAAAUUAUAGAUUCGAAUAUAGUGGCACUGAAGAAUGUGUAUUGCGUUUGGUGCUACACAAUAAUGCAAUGUAUAUGUACUAUUUUAAUACCAAAAAAUGCAAAUGCAAUUUAUUUUUACUCGUUACAUGCACAUGCAAAUACAAUUUAUUUUUACUCGUUACAUGCAAAUGCAAUGUAUAUGUACUAUUUUGAUACCAAAAAAUGUAAUUUAAUUACUUUUAUUAUACAUAACCAAUUAAAACGAAAAUAUACAGUGUAGUGACGAGUAAAAAAAAAGACAUUAGCGGAGGGUUUAACUAGUGAUUGCUUUGUCUUUGUGCCACAUCGACCAAGAAGAAAAACACAACAACCAUUUGGAUUAGGAAAAUGUCAUAAUUUGACGAUUAUACUAUAGAAAAAACAUAAUUAAGGUAUCCAAAAGCCAAAAAUCACGCAAGAAUGUCACGAAGUUGAUUGUCAAAUGAAUUGAAAAAGUAAGUGACUUCUUAAUGAAAUCUUUGACGACUACGAUGCCUUUUAAUUAUAUUUCUUUAGCUAGUUAACUCGGUUUAUUAGUCAGUAUCUAUCGUACUGUAGAGUUAAAAUUUCAUUAAUAAGAAAAUAAUCCAAAAAGUGGAAUUAGGUCUGCUUUUUAAUAAUAUUUUUAAAAGGGAUCGUAGUAACAUAUAAAAAUACAAUUAAGAACAAACAGAGAGAGAGAGAAAAGGGAAAGAUUAUUGAAAGGACUCUUUGUUUCUCACCAACCGUGCCCCUACUCGUGAAUUUCAUAAUUCACAUCAUCAACCCUCUAAUAAAAUCGACUUAAUUAAUUAUGUAUGUUUUAAAUAUAUAUAAGUCACAGUCACUAUGUUGUCUUUGCGUCAUUAAUUUUUUGAUCAGUAUCAGAGUGAGACUAGUUAAUUAUUAUGAUCCACAUUUUCUUUUAUAUCAAAACUAGCAGGCAGCAAUGAGAAAUCAGAAGAAUAAAAACGACCAAUACGAGAGAGAGAGAGAGGGACACCCAAAUGAUUAUUAAACAAUUGACUACGGUUAAUUAAAAAAAAAAAACUUAUUAAGCUAAACAUCAAAUCUAGGACUUAUUUGAAGUGUCUCUCUGUCUGUCACUUGUUGAAUAAAAAAACGAAAAAUCGCAAGACUAACCAAACACUAAUAAAGUUUUUCUUGUAUUUGAUUGCUCAUACAACAUGCCACUCUUGUGUUUCCAUGUUCUGUCACCGUUUGGGUGAUAUGGAUGGAUAUAUUAUGCAAACAGAUAUUGGGCUUCAGUGUCCUCUCUACGAAAGAUAUCUUCAAAGUUCUUCAAGUUUUCUGGAUCACUUCAGCUUGGGCCUUGUCCAUUCAUAUCAAGUCUGAGGUUUUCUUUCGUAAAGGGUUUAUCUUUAUCAUAUCAAGUAAGACGACUUAAGAUCUCUCAUUUUAAAACCAAACAUCAUAAAAUGUACAUAUAAUAUUUAAAAACAUACUAUGAAUAUCACAAUGAAACAAACCAAUAUCAUUUUCAAUCUAUUUAACUAACUAGUAGGACAAAGAUGAGGCUUAAAGUUAUGAACUUUUUUGCGGUGAUAUAAGAUAAUGCAGUAAAACGAAACAAACCUGGUACUAAAAUUUUACUGUUAUUACACGUAACAUUUAUCAUCAGUAUCCACUGUUACAUAAAAUCUUCUAUGUUUCUUACUUUCUUUCAUGUGUUUAUUUCUUUUGUUGUAAUUAUCAAUACAAGAAAUUUGUGUGGAGCUUCUAAUUCAGGAAUAUAUGAAAUUUUAGUAAUUAGUAAUUAUAUAAGAAUCUAGAUGUGAAUAAUUUUAGUAAUUUGUAUAUACGGACCUUCAAAUUUAGUGAUUAAUGAUAAUUAAUUUUAGUGAUUAAUUUUCCAAGGAUUCUUACUUUGGAUUCUUUUAGGACAAUCUAAUUUUUUAUAGUUUAUCACUCGGAAGUGUCUUCACCAAUUGUCCUGAGCAGAGAGGAAAGGUCUCUAGAGGCACACAGAAACGAAGACCAAAUAUAACGCAGAAAAUAAAAUAAAAAGUCACCCCUUGAGAAAUUUGAAGAUCCGAAAACCAAAUCGUGUAACUCGAAGUCUUGUCUGAUUCUUACAAGUUCGCUGGUAGUAUCAGCUAAGAAGACUGAGUCAUUGAUCAAAGUCUCUGUUCUCCUGCCAUGGCGUAAAACCUCGGAACCCCUAAUUCUUUCAGGUACUAGCUAUUUUUCCACAAUGGCUCUUCUAUCUAUGAUGGUCGAAAGCUGAAACCUUUUUUUCUGCGAAUCGAUUUACCCACAAGAAACUCGAACACUAUCCACUCACUUUGGUUCUGUUUGGAUGAUUGAGGUUCGACAAAAAUGUCGGAAAAGAGUUUGCUUUCCUCAAAAUUCCUGUUUUACACCAUCACUGUUUCGACGCUGCUCUUCAUCGUCUCCUCUCUCUUCUUCCUCCAACGCAACGAGUCUUCUUUCACUUCAAGUUUAGUUCGGAAGCUGAUGACUCCUCCAAUCAAGAACGAGGACUUGGGGAAAAUAGAUACCAAAUGCGAUCGAAACAGAGGUGUGUUGAAGGUCUUUAUGUACGAUUUGCCCUCUGAAUUUCACUUUGGGAUAUUGAAUUGGCAUAGCAAAGGAUCUGAGAUUUGGCCAGAUGUUGAGAACAUUAGCUUAGUCCCUUCUUAUCCUGGUGGGUUGAAUCGGCAACACAGUGUAGAGUAUUGGCUUACACUUGAUCUAUUAGCUUCAGAGAAACCUGAAAUCAAUAGACCAUGUAGUGCAGUUAGAGUGAAGAACUCGAUUGAAGCUGACAUAGUUUUUGUGCCCUUCUUUGCUUCUUUGAGUUACAAUCGGAAAUCUAAGCUCCGUGGGAACGAAACCGUUAGUGUUGAUAGAUUGUUGCAGGAAAGAUUAGUUGAGUACUUGAAAAGUCAAGAUGAGUGGAAAAGAUUUGAUGGCAAAGAUCAUUUGAUAACAGCUCAUCAUCCAAACAGUUUGCUCUAUGCAAGGAACUUUCUUGGAUCAGCAAUGUUUGUUCUCUCGGAUUUCGGAAGGUACCCUUCCGCGAUUGCCAGUCUUGAGAAAGACAUCAUCGCGCCUUACUUGCACGUCGUUAAGACUAUAUCUAACAAUGAGUCAGCUCCGUUUGAGAAGCGUCCUAUAUUGGCAUAUUUCCAAGGAGCAAUCUACAGAAAAGAUGUAAGUGUUUCUGAGUUUUCCUCUCUAAUCUAUCAGUUCUGUUGCUCUUUAUAGAUAAUCUCAACCGUCAGAUUGUUUUUCGUCUUAGGGUGGAACUAUUCGCCAAGAACUGUAUAACCUUCUCAAAGAUGAGAAAGACGUUCAUUUUGCAUUUGGAACUGUAAGAGGGAACGGGACUAAACAAACUGGUAAAGGAAUGGCUUCUUCAAAGUUUUGUCUCAACAUCGCUGGUGACACUCCUUCCUCUAAUCGUCUCUUCGAUGCCAUCGUGAGCCAUUGUGUUCCAGUUAUAAUCAGUGAUCAGAUUGAGCUCCCAUUUGAAGAUACUCUAGACUAUUCAAGUUUCUCUGUGUUUGUGCAUUCGUCUGAAGCUGUCAAGAAAGGGCUUUUGGUAAAUCUUCUGAGAGGGAUUAGAGAGGAUCAGUGGAGGAAGAAGUGGGAGAGACUGAAAGAGGUAGUUGGCUGUUUUGAGUAUCGGUUUCCUUCGCGUCCUGGAGACUCUGUGGAUAUGAUUUGGUCAGCGGUUUCUCACAAGCUUUCUUCACUUCAGUUUGAUGUUCAUAGAAAAAAUCGGUAUCGUAAAUCUGAAAUUUUUGAUAGAAGCCGAUCAAAUUAAGAUCAGAAAUAUGAAAGAUACUACUUAAUUCUUAAUGUCUGUUUUGUUUUCUUGAAUGGAAGAGCAUAGACAAGAAUCAGUUGAUAUAAGUCUUCACUCUGUAGUUUUGCCUGCGGCAACCUUGUAAGGCUUAAAAAGAACAAACAUAAAUGUAUAAUCUUAACCAUAUUCCUCUUUUAGUAGUCAUUACGUCAUCCAAAAGGUUGUCUUGUAAAUGAUGAAGGAUACCAUUCUAAAAUCAUCACAGAGUUAUACACCUAACACCUCUGUACACAGCAAAAAGAUAGAUGAUGAUUGACUAGUGUAUCAUAGGUAGAAUCAUCACCAAUGACAAGCAGAAUUCAAAGAAUCCGCCCUUGCAUAUAAUAUCUAAGGAAAUGUCACAAGUGUCCCCAAAAAUCUAUCACAGCUUUAAAGAAAUUGAUCACUUCUUUGUGAAAUGUUAUGAAUUCAUCAUUAUAUAAAGAAGAAGGGCAGGCAGGGUCAAUCAUUGGUCGGAGCGGCGUUAAUAGCAGUAGGCAGCUGCUGGGGAUCCUCUUGUUGUUGUAGGUAGAGUUGAACAAGUGUGGAGUCGACGUUGUCUUGAGGCUCCCAGGUGGCAUCAGCCAUAUCAGUCCAUUUGACAAGAUACUCGAUGGUCUUGCCAUCGUCUCCCAUCCUCUUACCAAUGACACUCUCCGCUACAGCGUACUCCAGCCCAUCCUCGUAGUCCUUGGCGACAUCCUCCGCCACGUGUACACCUUUGACCCACUCGCAAUCUCCACCGUCCUUCCACCGGACAAGAUACUCAACGUCUUUGCCUUUCCCUCGUUUCUCUACAACCUCAUCCACCUCGGCGUACUCGAACACUUGUCCUUCCAAAACACUGAUCACUCUCUCCAGCCCCAGUCUCCUCCCGAACUGCAUCGGGUUCCCCUUAGGCGUCGUCUUCAGAAUCUCCCUGGCUAGUUCCAGCGCCGUUAAACCUCUCUCGUCUUCCAAUUCGAAAUCAGCGCCGAGCUCCACCAACGCAGCCACCACGUCCGGCUUCACGUAGCCAGCCGCCAUGUGCAGCGCCGUCAAGCCGCCCCUGGUGUCUCGGUGGUCAAGAUCGGCUCCAGCCUCCGCCAGAAGCCUAACGCACUUGUCCGAACCCAGACCUGCCACGAAAAGCAGAGCCGUCCUGCCGUUUUCGUCCACGGCGUUGACGUCGCGGUCCUGGUCCUCGAGAAGCUGUGACAGGGCCUGCUCGUCGGCUUUCCUAGCGGCGGUCCACCAGGGGGUCUCGUACUCCGACACCACGUCAGCUGCGAUGUAGCUGGAUGGAACCCACGAGGGAGAAUGCCCGUCCUUCCACUCGAUUAGGUACUCCAUGGCUCCUACUUCCGCCGCCCUUCGGCUUCCAAUGAUCUUGUUCACUUCUCCGUAUGAUGACGACUCCUCAUCAUCCUCGUCUUCCACUGAGGGGAUCGUUUCUUCGUAGUUUCUUUGUACGGCGGCAUAUAUACUAGCUCCUCGGAAACACUGUUGCUGCUUCUGAAUCCGUCUGAUCGCUAUGGAGAAACCAAAAGAAGAAGAUUUGGGAGGGGAAAGUUUGACGCGAGGCAGAGACUGAGGAAUCACUAGAGCACAACUAUCCAUGGCCAAGAAGUAGACUUUUGGCAUCGUAAUAGAAGAAGAGACUAGUGCCGCUUAGCUACGGUAGUUCGCUUCACAGGAGACCAAAGAGAUGACAAGAGAUCACUUAACUCGAUUUUCUUUUGGAUAAGGAAUCUUAGCCACCCAAUCAUUUUCUUUCAUUUAAGAAAUUUGUCUAUAUUAUUUGGUGCCGCAAAUUUUACUUUCGGAAAAAAACUAAUUUUAACGUUGUUAUAUGUUUUUGCCUGCAUCAACCUUUGAAUGCUUAACAAGAACAAACGUAGAGGUAUAGUUGUUAACCUUUUUCCUCUUUCAAUUGUCAUUACUGAAUCCAAAAGGUUGUGUUGUAAAUGAUGAAAGAUACCAUAAAAUAAUCACAGAUUCAUAUAAACAAUAAAAAAGUUUAAAAUCUUGGAAGUAAUGUACGAUAAAACCAGAAUUAAAAGGAAGAAGAUCCAAAAGCCUUGUGACCCAACAUUUAUAGGCUCAGGACACACUCACAUUUGCAGAAACGUAGCGCCAACGAUAACACUUGGCCAGCAUAAAACACACACACAAUCACAGACUCAUUAUCUAAGCUUUUAAACAGAUAGAUAGUUGCGUUCUGGUGUUCAACUUUUUGCAGCAAUUUAUCACCUCUUGCGUUCUGCUGGAGUUGUCUUGGCUGCAAAAUCAACAACACAAUCGAGAGUAGUUAGAUGUAAGAGAAUGUGAAAUUUCUCUAGUAAUUUUCAGUAAGAUCAUCAGAUAAAGCAUUCAGGUAGAUUUGGAGAUUCUAGUUUGGUCUCAUUAAGCAUGUAGUAAAUUUUGGCACUAACCCGUUCCUUCUCGGGACGACGACAGAAGAGGUUUCUCCUUCUUAUUCCCUGUUUUGUCACCUGAGUUUGUGAGUCUCGUUGUUCUUGGAGAAUUAGAGGUGAUCCUACCAUUACCUGAAGAUGGUAGAGAAUGACGUCUAGGAACAUUGGCUUUCUCAGUUCCAUCUUGCUCAGCAGGCUUUGGUGAACCUUGCAGCCUCAGCUUUGCUUUCGCAGAUUUAGUUGCUUGCAUAUAACUUGGGAUUGAUGGGCUAGUCUGACUGUGCCCAUUAGUCUCUUCACGCUCCGUCUUGCUAGUAGCUGAACCCUUUUUCCUGGAUUUCUGGUUCUCUUUCCCCGCUGAAUUCUCUUUAUUCUUUGGUUUGGGAGUCUUUUCGUCUCUGGUAUCCUUUUCCAUUGAGGGGUUUUCCUCAACCAUGGCUCUUUCGUUGCUAUCAAUUUGGUUGACAAGUGAUGAAUCAAGUGCUUCAUUGCUUUCUAAUGGUCCAGGAGUAUGUAGUUCCACCUCGGGAAUAUGUACCUCCUCCUCAGGCUGUUCAGGCACAUCUUGGUUUCUCUUUUCGUCACAUACCUUCGCAGGUUCUUCUGCAGUUUUAUGUACCAGGGAAUAUGAUGACUCAGUUAUCCUCUCUACGCCAAGCUUUGGCUUCUCCACUUCCCUAUGAGGGGAUCGUUGAGGUUGGAUAGAGCUCUCAACUACAGGAUUAUGUACCUUCCUCAAGCUACGUUUAACCUUUUCAAGUUCAAUCUGAGGAUCCUCAACAGCGGGUGGCUCUAUUGACUGGCUUGAAACUUUCCGGAAACUUCGUUUAGGUUUCUCGAACUCAAAUGAUGUCUGUACUGAGGAGCUUUCAAAGUUUGCAGCAGGAACUUUACGGACACUCUUCUUGGGUUUAGCAGAUUCAGCCUCGACUAAAACCUUGUUCUGAGGUUUUCUGCCUAUUGUUUUCUUCGGUUGAGAAAUUGGUUUCCAGAAGCAUGAGGCUGACCAGUUCUCUAACCAGAUCAAGUUUGAGUUUGGAUUGGAUGAAUCAUAGGCGUGUACAGGUAUCACUUUUGGUGAUGUAGCGAGAAGCUGCAAACACAAUUAUCCAUCAAUAUUUUUAAUUGAAAGAAGGGACUCCAUAAUACAAACAAGAAGUUGUAUACAACAAACUUGGCUCCUUAUCUGUUUCUCCUAAUUUCUUUAUAACAAAUAGCUCUAUAGACAAGCAUACCUUCAGAGCAAAAGCAUUGGAUGUUAGUUUCUUGAUUCCAAGGUAAGCAUCUGUAGGGUUUGCAAGCUUGUUCCCCUGAUACAUAAAAAAAUCCAAUUCUAAUUUGAUGAGAAAAUAAACAUAUUUCUACACCAAUCCCAAGAACAAUAUUAUCCUGCACUAAGUUUGAAUUUAAGACCAAUCAUUCACAAUUAGCAAGGGAACUUAAAAUUACAAGGAAGAAAAAGUAUCGUUACCUGAAGCAGCUGCAAUCUGCAUUUCCUUUGAACUAGAACUCCAAUGUCAGACUUCCUGAUCUCUCUUCCUCGAGCAAAUGCUUGCAAUUUAACAAUUCCCAUGACAGAGAAAAGAGUAGCAACAGCUUGCCUCCUAACCAGGUGACCACGGAUAAGUGCUUGUAGCCUUAUUAUGCCUUUGAGUGCCCAAAAGGCGCGCCGAGCCUUCACACAAUGAGCUCAGAUCAGGAUAUACCGAAAAAAGAAGGAAAAACAAAUAGUAGCAAUCAAAAGAGCCAAGCCCACAACCCAAACAGCUGAAAAUAUUACCAGAUAACCUCUAAACGCAGCCUGCACAGACGUUGCUGCAAUCUCUUGUUGGAUUUUCUCUGCAUCAGAUAGUGAAUCAUCUUGAACAGGUGCAACAGUUUGAGAAUCUGUUGGUUUUCCCUCAGGAAGCUCUAUGUCAUCAUCUGAGAUCUCUUCAGGUUGUACAUUUUGUGUCUCUAACAUACCACCGCUUCUAUCAACGGCAUUGGUUGCUGCAGUUGCAAAAGAAGGAAGAUCUGAUACCACAUCUGAUUCUUCUACCUUGGCAGUAACCAAUACCUCUUUUCCACUCACAACUCUCUGUGCGUUAUAACAAAAACGAAAAAAAAAAAAAAACUCAUGCAAUUGUAUAAACUAUAAAGCAACAAAGUAGCCUAAAACCAUUCCACACACAAAAAAAAAAAUCGAGUGUGAUCCAAAUUCCAGACAUAUUUAGACUAGCAAUCAUCACAUACGAAACAUUACCUCUUUUCCCUUGGAACCACUAGAUUUAGAGGUCUUUUUGCCAAGCAAUACACUCUUUAACCACUUUGUAGGCUUCCCCAUGAUGUAUAUGGAACUCAAAUACCUGCAUUGUCCAAGCUUAUGGUUACCACAACCAAUAAUUAAAAUGAAGAGAAUAGACAAUAAAUGAUUAGUUUAUUAAUUAGUUGAAGGGUAACAUCAUUUUGUUUAGAAUCAACUCUAAUAAUUAGCUUUGAAAAGAUAAAGAGUAAAUCAUUAACGAAAUGGAAGAAUCAAGAAAGAACACCAAUGAUUAUCCAUAUAAUUUUGGGAUUUAAAUAAAAACUCAGGAAUUGAAUAAAUUACUAAUGUGUGCACACAAAAAAAAAAAAAAAAAAAAAAAAACCAGAUCUGGAACUCACACUGUAAGCAGAAGAACCCUAAGGACUCAAAAUGAACAUUUCCAAAAUGAACAACAAACAAACAAAAAACACCGACAUAGUCUGUCAAACAACAAAACCCAAAACAGAGAGAUCUCUCUAAAAUCCAACACUACUCGAACAAUGUCCUUAAAAAUUGUCGGUUUUUCUACUUCGAGUAACCGUUCGGAUCUCUUGUUCUAAAUCCGAGUCCGAUUCAAACCAAAAACAAUGAAGAAGACAAUAAAAAUAUACCCGUGAAUUAGAGGCGAUGUGUUAACUGAAUGCUUCCAUAAGCGUCUCUCUCUCGAUUCCUCUUCCCGGAGCUUGAUGCUCUGAGAGAAACUGUUCCUCUUUGGUGGUAUAGUUCCAGUGACCAGAAGGAAAGAGAAAAUAUAAUUUUUAUAUAUAUUUCUAAUUUUAACCCAAAACAAAAAAGUAAGCGCAUCUCCAUAACUCUAAUCUUACGCCGUUGAUUUCUAGCCGUCCGAUCAUCUCCGAAAUAUUUAGUUUAACUAAAUUUACUUUUUACAGAAUAAUUCGGAAUUCGAAAGAGGGAAAAAUCAAUAAAUAAAGAGAGUAAUAAAGCUGUGAAAACAUUAAAUGCGAUUAGAUUAGACAAAGAAAAAUUAUUAAAGUCGUCUAAAAAUUAAUAAUAAUACUAUACAUUUCAGAUAUAUUAAUUGAAAUUGCUCAGAUUUUGUGUAUGUAUAGUCGUCGUCGAGGUUACUUCGAAAACAAGUGUAACAAUGCUGCUACGUUCAUAUGAAGCAUUCAUGUUAAUUUACUUUUGUACCCUUCCACUGUCGUUGAAUGCGAAAGACUAAUCACUUUUGUGCGAGUCAGGCACGUGCCAAUUUUCUUUGUGCUUCCACGCGCGCGAAUCAAACCGCUCUAUCUCGUUAACCGUUAAUGGGCCUAAGCCCGGUCCACUACUAAUUUCAUCAUACACUUUGUGAGACAUUUCAUCGAACACUUGGUGCUCAAUUCCUGAGGAGAAGUUCAAAGUAAGGAGAACGAAAGUCACAGGCAAAAUUCGAUAAACCCACAAGGGACGGUGAGAAUGGAGAAGAAGAAGGCAAUGCAAAUCGAAGGGUACCCUAUCGAGGGAUUAUCGAUUGGAGGGCACGAGACGUGUAUCAUAUUCCCAUCUCUUCGGAUAGCUUUCGACAUUGGUCGUUGCCCACAUCGCGCAAUUUCACAGGACUUCCUCUUCAUCUCUCAUUCUCACAUGGAUCAUAUCGUAAGUAUAAUAUUGAACUUUCUGAAAAAAAAGAUUUAAAACUUUCCGAUUGGGUUUGCAAAGAUCGUACUUUGACUUUGAAUUUGAAUUUGAAUAUUGAGAGCAAUUUAGAUACACCCUUGUUGAGCCACCUUGUUUUUAUUAUCAUUAGCCUAUCGCUCUGUUACUGUUAUGGUGUCACAUUCUCGAAUUGUAAGCUAAACUGUUCGUGUUGUUAUGCUAGGGUGGAUUGCCAAUGUAUGUUGCAACUAGAGGCUUGUACAAAAUGAAGCCUCCAACGAUUAUAGUGCCCAAAUCGAUUAAAGAAACUGUCGAGAGUUUGUUUGAGGUUCACAGAAAGUUAGAUUCUUCAGAGCUAAAGCACAAUCUUGUUGGCUUGGACAUAGGUAAUUCAACCUCUUGUAUUCAUUGCAGCUGAUGAUUUUGUGUUUUGUUUUAACCUCGGGAACUUCAUGGUGUCUAGGGGAGGAGUUUAUUAUUAGGAAAGAUCUCAAAGUUAAAGCCUUUAAGACAUACCAUGUCAUCCAAAGCCAGGUUUCUUUUAUUAACGCCACUUGAGCUUGCUUUUUGAUAUCUUAGUGUUAUAUGUGUCUUCGUUGAAUUUAUGCUUUUUGUGUGAUAAUUGCAGGGUUAUGUAGUGUAUUCAACUAAACAUAAACUAAAGCAGGAGUAUAUUGGCCUAUCUGGGAAUGAAAUUAAGAACUUGAAGGCUUCAGGUGUUGAGGUUAGUCUCUGAUUUCCCGUAAAUUGCUUGUCAAAAUUUUUUUAUGCGUCUGAUUCAAUAACUUUGAUAUGGUUUUUCCAAUAUACAAGCCUGUUUAAUGAUUUUGGAUUGUAGAUAACAAACAGCAUAACAACUCCUGAAGUCGCUUUUACGGGAGAUACAACAUCGGAUUUUGUAGUUGAUGAAAAUAAUGAUGAUGCUCUCAAGGCAAAGGUUCUCGUCAUGGAGGUGAAUAUUUGCUGCUGAUAUGAAUUAGGACAAUGUGCGUGAUUCUUAAUGAUAUUCUUUUUCCUGGUCAAGUUUCAUGGCUUUGUACUAAAGGGAAGCUGUCUUGUCUCUAUUUCUUCUUGCACAGAGCACAUUUCUUGAUGAUUCCGUAUCCGUAGAGCAUGCAAGGGAUUAUGGACAUAUCCAUUUAUCUGAGGUCAGGGUCUUCAUUUAUUUGAAAUCCCUUGUUACUUUCUGUCUCUUGAUGCUCAUAAAAAGUUUUCUUGGUUCUUCAAAUUGCAGAUAGUAAAUCAUGCUGAAAAGUUUCAAAACAAAGCAAUCCUACUGAUCCACUUUUCGGCUCGGUAUACAGUGAAGGUGUGUUUUCUUAUCCAAUCUGAUUAUGGAACAGUUGAAAAGUAGUUACUUUCUUCCUUGUAGUCGUGUUAAGUCAGCUUCGCGAGUUUUCACAGGAAAUCGAAGAUGCGGUUUCUGCAUUGCCUCCACCUCUAGAGGGACGUGUGUUUGCACUAACACAAGGAUUCUAAACGGGACAGUUUACACACUUAUGUUUGUGUAGGCCAAGUUUUUCCAUUGCACAUGUGAACAUUGUAUUUUCGUGUUGAAAUUUCUACCCCGAUGCAAUGGAAGUAGCAAAUACAGAGUGCAUUCGAGGACCACAAAAUCAGAUAAAUAGAGACACUCUCGUUUGUUAUUUUUUCCUUUGCAACAAGAUUGCUAUGUAAAUCAAAGUAACGUGCAUGAGGUCAACCAUUGAGUUCACAAUCAAGGUUUCUCUUAGAAGGGCCCAGAGGUGUCAAAAACAGGGUUAGACAGAUUGAGCCCACAAUCACAGUGGCAUGUGGGAUUGGCUGGUUUUUUCCCACAGAUCUUAAUACAAAAAUCAAUUAUUUAUAAAUAAAUAUAUGUACCGUAUCAACUAUAUAUUGUUUUUAUAAAUAUAAGGAAUAUAUGAUACUGUUAUAAAAACAAUAAAAAUGGAAACUGAUAAUUUCUAUAAAAGAAAAUUAUUGCCUCAUUGGAUUUAUUCAUAAUUAUUAAAUUUCAAAAGCUUCAAUUAAUUUUAAAAUCAUUAAAAUAUAGGCAGCGGACGAGACCUUUGAAAAUUGAACUAUUCAUUCAUUCACAGAGGGGAUUUGUGAUUCAUGGCCACGACACGAACCUUGUAACCAAAACUAAACCAGACGAUAUUUUAAAAAUGUAAAAACGUUUUGUCCCAUAUGACUGAUCGCGUCACUAAGAUUUUAUAUAUAUUUUUGUCUGGUUUGCAAGCUUCUGCCGCGUAAGGUAAGCUAAUCUCAAUCGCAUUGUCCAUUUCUUAUAGUUUUAUAUUCUGACCCAGCGAUCAUAAAAAGUUUGGGAUUUGGACAACUUGUAGUAUAGUGUAGUUUAAAUGGACUUAUUAUGUCCCAAGUUGUCUAACCACGCCCACCUCAUGCAUAGGGUUCAACUCUUUUUAGUCGAUCACCUUGUACUAUAAGUUAAUUUUGGCCUUACGUACUAAGUUGUCAAAUCUAUACAAGAAUUUAAAAGUUUGGACUUUUUUUUUUUAAUGGAGUGUGAACACUUGAAUUAUAGGUUUAGUCGUAGAGUAAUUAUUUUAUAAUCAUAUUUAUCCUAAUUUACGUUCACUUUCUGUUUAACUCUUGAUUUUAUGUGUUUAUCACUUUUAAAGUUGUUAAUUCUCUUAUCGGUUAAUUUUUUUCUAGCUAAAAAUAACCAUUUCUGUUUUCUUAUUUUAUCGUUUUUAGAUUAAAAACAUGUAAAUAACUUUUGCAAGUAAUAGAAUUAUCUUUCGUCAAAAACUUCAAACUCUAGAUAUUUGACUUUCUUUUUUUUUCCAAUAUUUUUAUACUCGUAGCAGUAAAUUAUCAAUGCUUUGGCACACAAAUAUACAUAUAUAUAUAUACAUGCAUGAAUUUAAAAAAACAAUUGUUACAAGAUCACAUCAUUCGUACGUAAUGAAGAAUUCUAUGUGAAAACAAGAAAUACUACCCUUCAACUUUUAUAUAGUAUGGAUUGUGAGUAAAAUUGUACAUUAAGGUUAUAUAGAUUCAACUAACCUUUUUCUAGUUAUUUGAUUAAGAAAGUUAAAGUAAAAUCUCCGUUUGGAAAAAAAAUGUUAAGUGUACAUUCAAAAAUAGUCAUGUAUUUACAAAAUAGUCUAGCUUUCAGACUUGAGUAAAUGCAGAAAAUUUCGUAGCAUCUACAAACACACAUUAAUUCAAAGUCUCGAAUAACAAUAAAAUUAUGUUCAUAGAUUAAUAAUGUGACCGCGUCCACCAAUUUUAAUAAUAUCAAAGUCAUACUAUAAUAUCGCAGAUGAACGUGUAGUUAGUUACAGUUUAUUCAGUUCUACGUCACACGACGCUUGUUUGAAUUAUGGAUUCGUUCCACUGGAGAGACUAUUUGAAAGACUUGGUUUAAUUUUUAAUAGCUUCGUUAUAAUUAAUGAUAAAACAACAAUUUGACUUGUAAAGUCUAGUCUUUUAUAGUCUUAAGAUAAUUCUUUUUGACCACUUUGAUAUUCAGCCCGACAAAACAAACAAAAAAAUCUAAUAACAAAGAAUAAUCGUCUUCUCGAACAACCGGUGAACACUCUUAAUCAUCCAUAUGGAAUUUAUAAAAAUGUGUUUGUUUUUCGUUAUUUCAGGGAAAUUUUGGUGGAAAUUGCUCAAGUUUCUUCACUCUUCCCACUUCUUUGGUCUCUUUGUUUUUGACUCAUAAUGUAAAGAAGAAAAUUAAAACAAGUUUUCUUUUCCUUAUUUGACAUUAGAAAUUGUGAAUCGGGAUGAUGCUCAAAAAGCCAAGGUGAGUUUCCCAGCAAAGAAGAUAUUCAAAGGAUCAUUGACUCUUCAAUUACUCGGUUUUUAUUCUUCCAAAUUUAGUUUGCAUGGGACUUUGAAUUCAUGUAGUCUGACACAGUUACGACCAACUAAUUAAUGCAAAACUCAUAUAUUAGUAGUAUCUUUAUAAUACAGUACUCCUAUUUUAAGGGUUGUUUUAUUGCAGUGAAAGUGAUAUAUAUAUAUAUAUAUAUAUAUAUAUAUAUACAUGUCCAAUUUUAAACACUAAAUGAACGGCGUAAUCCUGAUAUAUAGUUUUGUACAAAUAUAAUUAUAUUAUAACAUUAAAAUUAGUUGUAAUCGUUAAACCAAAAGAUGAACAUGAGUGAUUCUAAAUUAGUGAACUGGAGAUCAAAUGCAACUCCAACCCAUUCCCCUAAUUUUUUUCUUUUCAAAAUAGAAUAAUUCUGUUUCCAUGUUGGAGUUAAGAAACUCUAUUUUCAUCAAUAGUGAAAUAUACAGAUUUAAUGUAAACUGAGGAAAAAGAUUCCUAGAUAUAGAGAAAAUAGAUAUUUCUAAAUAUAUAAGAAAAAAAGAGAUAAAGUUAGGGGUUGGAGAUAGUCUAAAGUACAGCUAAUAACAACAAUUCGCAUACUUUUUUUAUCUCGAAAUGAACACCCAUCAACUAUUUAUUACAUUCUAAAUCUUUAUUAGUAAUUAGUUUCAAUCUUAAAAACUAAUUUUCUUAUAGCAUGCAAAAUGGUUUAUACUAGAAAUAUUUUUACUAUUAUAGUCUCAUUAUCUUAUUCAUAUGCUUUGUCAUGAAUGUCUAACGAACGAACUUGUAUUUGUUUGAUAUCAAUUGUAAUUACAAACAAUUACUAUAGACUUGUAUGGAAUUAGAAAAUGUGUCAGAAUUUAAAGGAGUAUGCGUGGGGAUGCCAUGCCACUGCCAUAUGCUUUUUUGAUCGACGAGGUCAGCUUCUUCUUUUAUGCGUUUGGCGCUUCCGCAUCAAACGAGAUCAGUCGACGAGAGAGUGCUCGUUUCUGAUCAUUUGAAAUCCCGCUACUUUAAACAUAAUAUAUAUAUAUAUAUAUAUAUAUAUAUACUUGCACUCAACACAAAACGAUUAUGAGAUAAAGAUCUUUGGUUGACAAAAAAAAACACAAACGAUAAAACAUAUAAAUUUUGUUUUAAGCUAUUUCUUUAUUUAGUUUCUAUAUAUAUCUAUAUAUAUUGGUGUUUGUUUAAACUAAUACUUAAGUAUUAGAGCAACCAAAUUACUGAAAUAUUCAACAGUAGACCAAUAAAAUGAUUUAUGAAAGAAAAAAAAUAUUAAAAUGUUAGACCAACUGUGGAAAAAUAUUCUUUGAGUAACGGAAGAAGAAAUAAAAGUAGAAGAAUUAGGAAGCACAAAAGAAAAGAUAAGAGCAAAAAAAUAAAUUCAGAAGUACGUAUAGAUAGUUUACAGAGAAAUUACAGAGAAAUUUAAAAAGUGAGAAGAUGAAUUGAAUCUUCAAAAAGAAGUGGGCCCCAGCACACAAUGUAUACUCAUCUUUAGUCAUCUGUAUAUAUAUCUCUCAUCCAUUCCUUCAAAUCUCUCAAACAAACCCAAAAAAACUUAAAACAGAGAAAAGCAAUCUUUCUCUCUAAUUUCGCUCCUCCUACCAAACACCAAAAUUCAAAACCCCAAAAACAAACUAACUCUCUCUCUCUCUCUCUCUCUAGCUAAGAAUGGCGUCGAUCCAAUUCUCUUCUCAUUUCCUGGGCUCUAACACUACCAAAUCACAAAGCUCCAUUAUUUCUAUCUCUCUCAAUCAUUACUCCCCAACUCCAAUCACUAGACUCUCUCGCAAGGUCCUUUUUAAAAAAAUAAUCUUUCACUCUGUUUUUGUUUUCCUUAAAUCAACGUAAAACAAGAUUAUAACAUAAUUGUUGGAUAAAUUUAUACAGAAGUACGAGUCAUGUUCGAUGUCAAUGAAUGGCUGUGAGGGAGAUUUCAACAAGCCACUUGGCACCGUCGAGACAAGGACUAUGACCUCUGUUUUAUCUCCAUCAGCCGCCACUGACAGCCUUCUCUCCGCCGUCUCUCAACUCAAAUCUCAACCUCCGCCCUUUUCUUCCGGCGUCGUCCGUUUUCAGGUAACCAACCAACACACCCGACGACCUCUCUCUGUUUUUUCUUCUUUUCUCUUACAAGAGACAUAAUCCGAUUUGCUGCAAAGUGAAAGAAUGGGAUCACGCCACGUGGUGUUCUCACAUUGGUCUCUGUUGAUAUCGUUCCAUUGCUUCCUCGUUCCCCUUACCGUAUCACUCUGCUCCCUAAUAAUAUCAUUUCCGGAUGAUUUCUUUUUUCUUUGAUUUAUACUACUAAUUAUUUAGUUUAUUAAAAAAAAAAACUCAAUACUACUUUUUUUGUUUGGAAGUUUUAUUUUAAAAGUAAUUAUAUAUUUUAAGGAAAAAAAGAAAUGGACGUGAUCAGAAUUUACAUAUAAUGUACCAAGUGGUUUUCUUUAUUUGUUGAAUCUCCAAUCCAAGUGGUUCCUUAUCUUUUCUAUAAAAUUGUAGUAAAUUACGUAGAAUAUAUAACAAUAUAGUUUUCCUUGACAAAAAUAAAUAAAAAAUAUAACAAUAAAGUUUUUUGACAGGUGACUUUGGGUCGAUGACAUAAGUCUGAUAAUACUUUCUCACUAUUAUCAUAUAAUCGUUGUUGCUUUUCUUUGUCAACAACAUACAUUAUUUAUUUAUAUAUACGAUAAAGAAGAUAUGGUUAUUAUUAUACUCGCUAAUUCUAGUAGUAUUAGUUUUAUGAAUAGGGUCGUACUAGAUUCCCCCUAUUAAAUUGAAUCUUUUCAUUUAGUCAAUCUGAGGUAGACCAAGUUUUUAUUUAUUUUUUAAUAUAAUAGUCAAUUUAUUAAACCAUUUUGAGAAAAAAGAAAGUUUUCUGGAAAGAAUAAUUGUCUUGUUUCCAAUUCUUUAAUCUAAUUUUCUCUUUACUUGAAAAUAUUCAAUUUUGUUUUAGCAAAUACUGAAUCUGAUAACAGUUGGCUAAGUCUAGUGCAUAAUUAGUAAAACAUUUAAGAUAGAAAAGAGGUAAUAAUGAUUUUUUCUUUGGUGGGUCAAAACUCCAUUUUAGUGUAAAGGCGGCGAUCACAUACACUCACUCACACAUUAACACCUUGCAUCUUUUUUUUCUUCUUUUUCACCUAAAAAUUAAAAAUAAAAACACAAAAACCGAAUUUUCCCGCCCGAUUCUAAAAAACCCUAAAUUGGAUUUGGUUGGCAGGUACCAAUUGACCAGCAAAUCGGAGCAAUUGAUUGGCUUCAAGCCCAGAAUGAGAUCCAGCCUCGCUGUUUCUUCUCUCGUCGCAGUGACGUUGGUCGUCCCGAUCUUCUCCUCGAUCUAGCCAGUGAGAACGGCAACGGAAAUGGAUCUGUUUCAUCUGAACGCAAUCUUGUUAGCGUUGCUGGUAUCGGUUCUGCAGUUUUCUUCCGUGACCUUGAUCCUUUCUCUCAUGAUGAUUGGAGAUCCAUCCGAAGGUAACCAAACUUUUCUGGAUUUGCUACUUCGAUUUUUUUGGGAAGAUAAGAUUCAUAAAAUUGAGAUGCUUUUGUUUGUCUUUUGAAGGUUUUUGUCCUCAAAGUCACCUCUGAUUCGUGCCUAUGGUGGUAUGCGAUUUGAUCCUAAUGGCAAGAUUGCUGUCGAAUGGGAACCUUUCGGUGCAUUUUACUUUUCAGUUCCUCAGGUAAUUUUUUUAAGAAUUUGGAUUUUCUUUUUUAAAGAGGAUUGUGGAGUAUGAGCUGUUGUGUGACUCGAGUGAUAUACGUACAGGUUGAAUUUAAUGAGUUUGGGGGAAGCUCAAUGUUGGCUGCAACUGUUGCUUGGGAUGAUGAACUCUCUUGGACACUGGAAAAUGCUAUUGAAGCACUUCAGGAGACUAUGCUUCAGGUUUCUUCUGUUGUGAUGAAGUUACGAAACACAUCUCUUGGAGUGUCUGUUUUAAGCAAGAAUCAUGUUCCUACCAAAGGAGCCUACUUCCCUGCUGUUGAGAAGGCUUUGGAGAUGAUUAAGCUUAAAAGUUCAUCCCUUAACAAGGUAGUUUUGAGACCAUUUUCGUAUCUCUUCUUACAACAAUUAUUGUUUUUUUUUUUUUUUUUUGCUUAACUGAUGGAUUUUGGGUCGCGAAAUCAGGUUGUGCUUGCUCGCAACAGCAGGAUAAUUACCGAUACCGACAUUGAUCCCAUUGCUUGGCUAGCACAGUUGCAGGUGUGUUCUUAUCUCUGGAUAUAUUAUAUAGUUGUCAAUUUCCAGAUUAAAGCAAUUUUUAGACUUAGAGCUGACACUUAAUUAUCGUGUGACAGCGUGAAGGACAGGAUGCAUAUCAGUUCUGUCUUCAACCACCAGGUGCACCAGCUUUUAUUGGAAACACGGUAGGUUAUCACUAGUCUGUUGGUACAUUCUCGACCAAAAAAUUGCUAUUGAUAAAGAUGUGCACCUUCGUUUUUACCUUCUAACCUUUGACAUACAUUUUUAUGACACAGCCUGAGAGACUUUUCCAAAGGAAGCAAUUAGGUGUCUGCAGCGAAGCCUUGGCUGCAACUAGGCCUAGAUCUGCUUCAAGUGCGCGUGAUAUGGAGAUUGAGCGUGACUUACUAACCAGGUCAAUUUUUACUCUAGUGCUUUGAACAAUUAUAGAAUCGAUUUCUCCAAUCUCCAUUGAAAUUUUCGGUAUACUGAUGUGAUUUGCUAAACUGUUGCAGUCCGAAAGACGACCUUGAGUUCUCCAUUGUACGAGAGAAUAUAAGAGAAAAGUUAGAUGUAAGUUCAAUCUUGAUGUUCUGCACCUUUAAUCCUUCCUCUCUUGGAUAAUCCGUUUGAUAUAUGGUUUCUUAUUAUCCUUCCUUCUCCUUUACAGGGUAUCUGUGACAGAGUCGUUGUUAAGCCCCAAAAAACUGUGAGAAAGCUUGCACGAGUGCAGCACCUAUAUUCUCAAUUGGCUGGGAAACUUAGGAGGGAAGAUGAUGAGGUGAGAUAAUAAUUUUCUAUUUUUUGUUGCAAAUGUUAUCUCCACUAUCUUCAUUUCUUCGGAUUAGGUCUAACCAUUGGUCUUAUACUAUCUACAGUUUGACAUCUUGGCUGCUCUGCAUCCAACUCCCGCUGUCUGUGGGCUUCCCGCAGAAGAAGCUAGGCUUUUGAUUAAGGAAAUAGGUAAAUUAUCUAUCUGCCUUAGUUCAACUAUCUCCUAGUAACUAUAAAUACCUAUGCUUUCUUAGAGGUAAGCAAUGGUGCUUACACAAACAUUUUGCUUCUUCCAGAAUCAUUCGAUAGAGGAAUGUAUGCUGGACCUGUCGGGUUUUUUGGUGGAGAGGAGAGUGAAUUUGCAGUGGGAAUCAGAUCAGCCCUAGUCGAAAAGGUGAGCUUAUUUGAUCUAUCUCUCCCAAUAUAAAGAAGCACAGCUGCACUAAACUAAAAAUCAAAGCAAAACCCAUCAGUGCGCUUUGGCUACAACUGUACAAAUGCUAAAUUGUUAAUUUAUUUUAUUUACAGGGUCUUGGGGCGCUGAUCUAUGCUGGGACAGGGAUAGUAGCAGGAAGUGACCCAUCUUCGGAGUGGAAUGAGCUUGAUCUUAAGAUAUCUCAGGUGCGAGUUUGUUUCUAAAUAAAAAUUAAGUAACCUCAAACAUCACACUUCUUCAUUUCCAAAACGGCAAAACCUUAAAUUUUUUGUUGUUUGUUUUUAACAGUUCACCAAGUCGAUUGAAUAUGAACCAACAACAGCUCUGCAGGCGAUUAAUUGAAGAAAGCGUAACAACAAGAUUUGUAUAAUUUGAUUGUUUGUGUGGGGAUGAUGAUGACGGGUUUCACAAUAGAAAGCAAUGUUGUCUCUCUUGUAUAUAAAAGGAAUAAUUAAUUGCUUUUAUCUGAUUGUUAAUUUGGGCCGAGCCUUUUUGGGUUGUAACUAGGUCAGGCCUUUUAUGAAUAUGUUAAUCUGCCGAUCCUCUUUAUAUGAUUAUUAAUAAAAGAUUCUUCUAUCUUUCGUGUGUUUCGUCCGAAACAGAUGUUCCAUGAUAUGGUUCUAAGACUUGAACUGAAAUAACUGACAUGACAACCGAAUCAAAUUGAAAAUGUUUUUACUUUUCAAUCUUCACACAGCCAAAUAACUCAAAAUCGAAACGAAACCAAACAAAGAGGUAAUAAGAUUGUCUUAAAUUAUUCUCUAACACACAUAUAAAGUAAAGGGAAUCUUGUUUUGGUUCUAAAGAGGAUUUGGGAUGAUCAUUUCCGCAUCUACACGCUCUUUGAAAGGAGGGCUCAAGUGAUAAAGGAGAGAAGAUGUUCGUGAAAAAAUAUACUACUAUAUAUGACUUUGAUGAAAACGAUGAUGCUUUUUUCAGUUUUAUUAAAACGAGGAAUUUCGGAACAUAUACUAUAGCUAAUGCACUAUUUGGAGAAGUAUAUAUAUCCAUUUGAGUGUUUUGUAACUUUAUCGUUGUCCUUAACAAAGCCAGGUUUUUACACGCUCUUAUGAUUUCUAUUAUAGGGACUCAAGGUUGUGACUUGUGAAAAUGAGUUAAAACUUGCAGCCACCACUUGAAUUCUUAUAAGUAUAUGAGUCUGUUUCUCCAGGAGCUUCAGAAGAAGUAGAUUACUUAGAUAUCUUUGAGGCAAGUGAAGCCAAUUGUAGUAUGUAGUAGUAGCAUAUGUUGGUUGAAACAUUGAAGAAUAAAAGAAGAACACGAGGGGGCUAAUCUCUUUAUCUUCUUGUAAGGGUGUGUGCGUGUUGGUUGGUGGGAUGCAUAAUGAGCAUAAGAGCCCCUGCCUACACCACUUAUUACAUUAAAUGUUAGUAUUCAUUUACGUAUCAUCAUAACGCAGUAAAAAACAAAAAUUUCAUUGGCUUUUUUUUGGUAUUGUAUAAGAAACAAACUAGUGCAUAGUAAACCUAAAUGUUUUCAGAAAAAUGUCUACGUUUUGAUGUGAAAGUCUUAUAACCAUUUACUGAUCCUCCUCACAUGUAAUAACCAAAUAAAUUCGAUCUCAAUGUUUUCGAAAUGAAAAAACAAAGUAGAAUCAUCGUGAACUAUAUAUAUCUUUAGAAUUUUAAUGUAGACUGUUGUUAGCUAAAAUAAAAAUGUAGUAUUUCCAUGCUCGGAAUAGAACAGAAGCCAAACUUGUGUUUAGGAAAUUUUUGAAAUAUGGUAAUCUUAAUUAGUUAGAACUUAGAAGUUAAUACCUCGAUUAACAAGAAAAAAAGAAAAAGACAAGCAAAAAUCGGCGGGGAGAGUUUGGAUCUUGUAGAAGGAUGGUGUGGGAAUCGGCGUUUAUGCUGCAAAUGGUAAGAUAUUAAUAUGGUCCUUUAUAGUUAGCGUUAUGAUAAAUUGGUCUUUAAUUAUACAAGAUUAAGAAACUAGUUUAUCCCAUUAAAUAAAUUAUAAAAUUCUCACCAUCCAACAACAACCUUACUCCUCCGCCCAAAUGUUUUCUUUUCAUGUAGUGUCUCUCUAUAGGAACAUCGGAAAGUACCCUUAUUAUAAAGAAAAGUAAAGAAUCAACACGUCGACAUAUCCAAAGCAUAUAAGAUAGUACAUUAAAAUUAAAAUUAUAUGGGAGAGCACAGAGCAGAGAGCAUGUAAUAAUAAUAAAAAGUGUGUAGAAUAAAACGAAGGCUUGACGAUAGAGAAUGGAAUCAGAUUUCCCCAUUAUCUCCUCCCCCAUCUUCAUAUACUUACUAUUUAUUCCUUCCCCUUUAUGCCCUCCCACCUCUAUACUUCAUUAACCAUCCCAUUCUUACUUUACUCUAGUACUAAUCACAAUGCUUUGGCCUCUUUACAUUUAUUUACCUUUAUUUCUAGUUUGUCACACAAAUAUGAACCUCUUAUUUAGAAACACAUUUUAUCUAAAAAUAUCUAUUGAAAAAGAUUAGUGUAGUAGUGAUCGUAUUUUUGUUUUUUUAGUACUAAUUUUAAUGAAGUUGAAUUAGUACUAAAAAAUAAAAAUACGAUUAAAGAAGGAAUAGAUUCAAAUAAAUAAAGCAAAGAAGACCUCGAACCAAAAAAAGAAAGGAAAAAUAAUUUUCUGUAUUAUCUCUCUCUCUCUUCCGCGAUUACCGUAAUCUCUGUCACACAAAGAACCAAAACACUCUCUCUUUCUCUUCCCUCUUCCUCUGAGAGACAUUCUCGAGAUAUGAGAACAACACUCCUGCGAUGAACACGACGCCGUUUCACUCUGAUCCUCCUCCUCCUCCUUCCAGGAUCCAGCGUAGGCUCGUCGUCGAGGUUGUCGAAGCUCGCAAUAUCCUCCCUAAAGAUGGCCAAGGCAGCUCUAGCGCCUACGUCGUUGUCGAUUUCGAUGCUCAGAAGAAACGUACCUCCACCAAGUUCCGCGACCUUAACCCUGUCUGGAACGAGAUGCUCGAUUUCUCCGUCUCCGAUCCCAAAAACAUGGACUACGACGAGCUCGAUGUCGAGGUUUACAACGACAAGCGAUUCGGCAACGGAGGUGGCCGCAAAAAUCAUUUUCUCGGUAGGGUUAAGAUCUACGGAAGCCAGUUCUCUAGGAGAGGCGAGGAAGGUCUUGUGUAUUUCCCCUUGGAGAAGAAGAGUGUUUUCAGCUGGAUUCGCGGCGAGAUUGGACUCAAAAUCUACUAUUACGACGAAGCCGCCGCCGACGAUAUGGCCGUUGGAGGCGGAGACCAGCAACAACAACAACAACAGCACUUUCAUCAGCAGCAACAAGAUGAUGCUGAUGAACAACAUCAACGCCAUCAUCAUCAACAACAACAGCAACAGUUUCAUCCUCCGCCGCAGCAGAUGAUGAAUUUACCACCGGAGAAACCUAAUGUAGUUGUCGUUGAAGAAGGUAGGGUUUUCGAAUCGGCUCAGAGUCAUAGCUAUCCGGAGACUCAUCAGCAACCUCCGGUGGUUAUCGUUGAAGAGUCACAACCUCAGCAGGUAAUGCAAGGUCCAAAUGAUAACCACCCUCAACGGCCGCCGUCUCCGCCGCCACCUCCAUCGGCGGGGGAUGUACAUUAUUAUCCUCCCGAAGUGAGGAAGAUGCAGGUAGGCAGACCUCCCGGCGGCGAUAGAAUUAGGGUUACGAAGAGGCCACAGAAUGGGGAUUACUCGCCUAGGGUUAUCAACAGCAAAAUUGGAGGAGGAGAGACGACGAUGGAGAAGAAGACUCACCAUCCUUACAAUCUCGUUGAGCCAAUGCAGUAUCUCUUCGUUCGGAUUGUGAAGGCGCGUGGCUUACCGCCUAACGAGAGCGCGUAUGUUAAGGUACGGACGUCCAACCAUUUCGUCAGGUCUAAACCGGCCGUUAACCGGCCCGGCGAAUCGGUUGAUUCUCCGGAGUGGAAUCAGGUUUUUGCUCUUGGUCAUAACCGGUCCGACUCUGCUGUAACCGGUGCGACUCUUGAGAUCUCUGCUUGGGAUGCUUCGUCGGAGAGUUUCCUCGGUGGAGUGUGUUUUGAUUUAUCUGAGGUUCCUGUUCGUGACCCGCCGGAUAGUCCGCUUGCUCCUCAGUGGUAUCGGCUUGAAGGCUCCGCUGCGGAUCAGAACUCUGGGAGAGUUUCCGGUGAUAUUCAGCUCUCUGUUUGGAUUGGUACUCAGGUAGAUGAAGCUUUUCCGGAGGCGUGGAGCUCCGACGCUCCGCAUGUAGCUCACACGCGUUCGAAGGUGUAUCAAUCACCGAAGCUUUGGUACUUGAGAGUGACGGUUCUUGAGGCACAGGAUUUACACAUUGCCCCCAACCUUCCGCCAUUGACUGCGCCUGAGGUCCGUGUGAAAGCUCAAUUAGGCUUUCAGUCUGCGCGUACAAGACGAGGCUCAAUGAAUAACCACAGUGGUUCCUUUCAUUGGCAUGAGGAUAUGAUCUUCGUAGCCGGAGAGCCAUUGGAAGAUUGCUUGGUUCUGAUGGUAGAAGACAGGACGACUAAAGAAGCAACUAUGUUAGGACACGCCAUGAUCCCAGUGAGCUCCAUCGAGCAGCGUAUUGAUGAGCGUUUUGUGCCGUCAAAAUGGCACACUUUGGAAGUAGAAGGUGGAGGAGGUGGAGGAGGACCAGGAGGUGGACCUUAUUGUGGAAGGAUUAGCCUAAGACUUUGUCUAGAAGGUGGGUAUCACGUGCUUGAAGAGGCAGCGCAUGUGUGCAGCGAUUUCCGCCCGACAGCUAAGCAGCUCUGGAAACCGCCAAUUGGAAUACUUGAGUUGGGUAUUCUUGGAGCUCGUGGGUUGUUGCCGAUGAAAGCUAAAAAUGGAGGGAAAGGUUCCACUGAUGCUUAUUGUGUUGCUAAGUAUGGCAAGAAAUGGGUCCGAACUCGAACCAUAACAGACAGUUUCGACCCGAGAUGGCACGAGCAGUACACAUGGCAGGUUUAUGAUCCUUGCACCGUGCUAACAGUUGGUGUCUUCGACAAUUGGAGAAUGUUCUCUGACGUCUCUGAUGACAGACCCGAUACACGGAUUGGGAAAAUACGGAUCCGGGUCUCGACGUUAGAGAGCAACAAAGUGUACACCAAUUCAUAUCCUUUAUUGGUCUUGUUACCUAGCGGUCUGAAGAAAAUGGGUGAGAUCGAAGUGGCAGUCCGGUUCGCAUGCCCGUCGUUGCUUCCUGAUGUUUGUGCAGCUUAUGGACAGCCGCUUCUGCCUCGGAUGCACUACAUAAGGCCUCUAGGUGUAGCACAACAGGAUGCAUUAAGAGGAGCAGCCACGAAAAUGGUAGCAGCUUGGCUGGCUCGAGCAGAACCACCAUUGGGACCUGAGGUGGUGCGGUAUAUGUUGGAUGCAGAUUCGCAUGCGUGGAGCAUGAGAAAGAGCAAAGCAAAUUGGUAUAGAAUUGUUGGUGUUUUAGCUUGGGCAGUGGGUUUAGCUAAAUGGUUGGAUAAUAUACGGCGGUGGAGGAAUCCUGUGACAACGGUGCUAGUCCAUAUUCUAUAUCUGGUUCUUGUUUGGUAUCCUGAUUUGGUAGUUCCGACUGCAUUCUUGUACGUGGUGAUGAUUGGCGUUUGGUAUUACCGGUUUAGACCCAAGAUUCCGGCUGGUAUGGAUAUCCGCUUAUCACAAGCCGAAACUGUUGAUCCUGAUGAGCUAGAUGAAGAAUUCGAUACCAUACCAAGCUCAAGGCGACCAGAAGUAAUCCGAGCUAGGUACGACCGGUUAAGGAUCUUAGCGGUAAGGGUUCAGACCAUUCUAGGCGAUUUUGCAGCGCAAGGCGAACGGAUUCAGGCGCUGGUUAGCUGGAGAGAUCCAAGAGCGACCAAACUCUUCAUAGCAAUAUGUUUGGUGAUCACAAUAGUUCUUUAUGCGGUUCCAGCGAAAAUGGUGGCAGUGGCUCUAGGGUUUUAUUAUCUUCGGCAUCCGAUGUUCAGAGACACAAUGCCAACGGCGAGUCUCAAUUUUUUCCGGCGGUUGCCAAGCUUGUCAGAUCGGCUCAUAUAAGGAGGAGAAAGAAGUGAAGAGAGUAAAUUUACUACUAAAAGUUAGGUGUUUUUGAGUAUCUAGCAGUUUCUUAUGAUACAUGAGCUGAGGAGGAGAUAGAAUAAAGAUUCAUUAUGCGUUAAGAUUUUUAUCAUAUUAUCAUAUGAUUCGUUACACUCCAUUUUAUUAUUCGUAUAUGCUGUCGAAAUUCAUAAUCAGAUGGUAUGUGUUUGAGAAUUGAGACCUGACCUUGACUGUAAUAUUUUGAAGCAAGUGAGAGAUUUCGGAAUAAAGUGGUAUAAAAAGAAGUCACACUGACACGUUUGACCACUGAUUUGCUUAUAUAGUUAAAAGUUAACUCUCUCUGUAAUUUAUACGUUUUUAAUUCGUCAAUGUUAUUUUAACAAUUAUUUACGACAUACACUACUUUUACAAAUAUUUUGGUUUAACUUUUCGUCUUUUACUAUCUAUGCAAGUGAAAAACCGGAGAUAAAGCGCUAACGAAUAUGAUUGGUUGAAAUUACAAAGACAUCAUCUGACGUGGCAGUUUCUCUGUCUCCCAGUGUUCCAGAUAGUGUGCGAACGGCGAAACAAACAACACACGAAAAGAAAAAUCUCGAAAGAAACUUUUUUCAUCGCUUCGAUUUGAUCUUUACUCCAAUGGCUGUCGUCGGCGCUCCUAUAUCGUCUCCGGCGGCUCAUCUCCAAACACGUUUUCUCUCUAAUCCCGUUAUUCCCCGCUUUCGCCGGUCUUUCUCCGCCGGUAAAUCACCAGCUUCUUUCUCUGUCGUGUCCAUGGCUCCUCAGAAAAAGGUAACGCUAUACUUUGUUUUAAUUUCUGAGACCUUUCUUCGCCCUUCAUGAAUCACUAUUAAAGCUUCAUAAAGUAUGAAUCUUUUAGGUUCUCAACACAUAACUAGAGAGUACUCUUUAUAAACAUGAAUAAGCAGAACUUGUUCUUUGGUUUUAGUUAGUUAAUAUUUCAGUGUUUUUACAUUAGUUUUACGGCAAUUGAUCUAUAGAGAUAUUAGGUCCAAAUUUCGACAAUUGAUUAAUGAAACAAAGACAUGGCAUCUUUUUAAAUCUCUGUAUAGUAUUCUUGUAGAGUUUUAUAUGAUUUGUGUAACUGUGAUCACUGAAUUGGAUUAAAAAUAGGUGAACAAAUAUGAUGCCAAAUGGAAGAAACAAUGGUACGGAGCUGGAUUGUUCUUCGAAGGUAGUGAGCAAGUAAACGUAGACGUUUUCAAGAAGCUGGAGAAGCGAAAAGUUCUGAGCAACGUUGAGAAAUCUGGCCUGCUCUCAAAAGCAGAGGAGUUGGGACUUACAUUGUCAUCACUUGAGAAGCUUAAAGUCUUCUCCAAAGCAGAGGAGCUUGGUCUUCUCAGUCUCCUCGAAAAUUUAGCCGGAACAUCGCCUGCGGUCUUAGCCUCGGCUGCAUUACCUGCUUUGACGGCUGCAAUUGUAGCCAUUGUGGUGAUCCCGGAUGACUCAACAACUCUGGUGGUAGCUCAGACGGUUUUGGCUGGUGCUCUUGCGCUUACAGGCGUUGUUUUGUUGGUUGGAUCUGUUGUUUUGGAUGGACUUCAAGAAGCUGACUGAUUCUUUCUUUGUAAACCAAACACACAAAAAAAAACUUUUGCCUGUUGACUUUGUCAGUUGCUGAAAAUCAUAACUGUAAUGUUCAGAACAAGCCAUAAGUUGAGUGAAAUAUAAAAAAAAACUUAAGUAAGAAAGAAAGCUUUAUAACAAUUAAACAAACAUUACAUACAAAUACAUUCAUUCUCCAGUGAAAAAGCCUAACUACUCCCACAAAUUACAAAUUUCCAAUUUCCCCAAAACCAUAGAAAAAUAAUGUGUAGAAGCAAAGUGAAGUAAGCCAAAAAUCACAUCUGAAAAAAGCCCCAAAAAAAACCUUCUUGAACGUGUAAAAAAGCAGCCAUCAGAUUGCUUCUGUUUGGUUGAUAGACAAGUUUAAAGAUCAAACUGCAAUAGUUUGUCCAGUGAGUGCGUCGUGUAGAUGCAUUGAACCGUCUUUCAUCAAGUUUAAGCUUAAGCUUUUAAACCUCUCUCUUGAGUAUUGUCUUGAUGCCUUCCUCCAAUCAGUUCCAGCUUUCAUCAUCACCACAAACUCAUCGUAGUUUAUUCGUCCAUCCUGCAAAAUCAAACAUUAUGAUUACCCCAAGUAAUAAUCUUUCUAUAAGAAGAGACUUUAGGGAAAAUAAAGUUUUAGAAAAACCUUGUCAGUGUCAACUUCACGCAUGAUAUCGAUUAUAACGCUGUUGUCCGGUUCACCUAACUCGUCGGUCAAAGCUUCUCGUAGUUCUUCUGAUUCGAUGUAUCCACUUCCAUCUUUGUCAAAGAACAUAAAAGCUUGUCUGAAAUGUUCAUCAUUCUCCAUCUUCUGCAAGUGAAUUAUCACUGCUACAAACUCUCCAUAGUCCAGGCAUCCAUUUCCGUUUACAUCGGCCUGCAUCAAACAUCAUAAAUGUUAGUACCAGAAAGGAUGAACAUUUCCUAAUCUUUUGAUCAAGAAAAGUAUACUGAUGAGAGAAGGGUAUUUGGUCAAUGUUUACCACUUCCAUCAACAAUUUGAUCUCUGCUUCACCCAGUUGUGAACCAACUUUCUUGAGUCCAGCUCUGAGUUCUAGGUAUGAUAUUUUACCGUCGUUGUCAUCAUCCAUCAAUGUAAACAUGUUUCUGAUCACUUCAACUUCUUGAAUAGACAAGUGCUCGGCGAUUACCUGAAAGAAUAAAAAGAGAGAAACUCAGUGAAACCAAUCAAAGCUCCAAACAUAAGUACAAUCUCCUCUGAAAAAAAGAUAAGAGGCAUGGCAACACUUACACGCAGAGCUUUCUUUUUCAAUCUAUUCAUCAUGGAGAAUUGCUUCAACCUUGACCUAACAAUAUCUCCUAAAGGAACAUUUGGGGCUUUCUUAGCAUUCUGUAUCCAUGGGUGAUCUGCAAAGAAGGAAACGGAAACCGUCUUCGCAUCAGUAGCAUUUUCUCAACUUCAAAUUCAACACAAGACACAAGUAGCAAAGAUGAUGAAUAAGAACAAAUGAGAUAAGAUCAUUUCAUUACCAAGAACUUGCUGAGCAGUCAAACGCUUAGUGGGAUCAGGUUCCAACAUCUGCUUCACAAGGCUCUUUGCGCUCUCUGAUAUCUGUGACCAAGGAUCUCUUUUAAAAUCAAGAACUCCCCUCAAGAUUGCAAGAGCCACACCUUGUUCAGUCUCUGUAAUCAAAACCUUGCAUCACUCAGUUACUCUUUAAUCUGCAUCUGCAACUUCUCACAAGAAUCAAAGCUGCUUUUACCUGCCCAAAACGGAGGAACACCACAAAGCAAGAUAUAGAGGAUAACUCCAGCACUCCACACAUCAACCUCUGGUCCAUAAUUUCUCUUCAACACUUCUGGAGCCAUAUAAUAAGGACUUCCCACAAUCUCUGUAAACCUCUCUCCUGCAAAUGCAUCAAAAUUCGAUCUUUAUGUAACCAGACUCAAAGGAACACACAAUUUUCAACAAAACUCUAAAACAGUGAGACCUCUUUAGCUCAAUGAAGAUGAAAGAUUCUAAAUUUAGCAAAAAAAAAAUCCUCUUUCUAGGGAAAUUACCAGGUUUGAACAGCACAGAUAAGCCAAAAUCAAUGGCCUUAAGUGCAGAGUUCUCCUUCUUGUUAGCAAACAAGAAAUUCUCAGGCUUCAAAUCUCUAUGCAUAACACCAUUGAUAUGACACAUCCUCACAACCUCAGCGAUCGUCCUGGCAACUGUAGCCGCCGCACGCUCUGUAUAGUGUCCCCUGGCAACGAUCCGGUCAAAAAGCUCGCCUCCUUCACAAAGCUCCAUCACAAGAUGCACGUUCUCGUUGUCCUCGUAAGUCGCCUUGAGUUUCACAACGUUCGGGUGUUCCGGGAUAGUUGACAUGAUCGUCACCUCACGGCGGACGUCUUCCACGUCGACGGCGGUACGGAGCUUUCUCUUGGAGAUAGAUUUGCAGGCUAAAGCUUGACGAGUCUCUCGGUCAGUACAGAGGUAAGUGAUUCCGAAUUCGCCGCGACCGAGCUCUCUUCCUAGGAUAUACUUGUCGCUGAUCUGAGAUUGAUGGCUCAUAGGGAUCACACGUAACGGUGCGUGGGAUCUUAAACCAUCGGGAUCGUCGUAUAAGUUGCGUUUCCGUUCCCGUGGAGUCUUCUUCUUCUGGUUUUGUUUAGAGUCUUCUGGGUCAAACUUAACGCAGGCGAUACAAUUACCCAUGAUGGCUCUGAGAGUUUUCAAAACUCAAGUAUGAAGAGAGACUAGUUUUGAAGAAGCUUCUUCAAUGGUAACUCCGGUGACGCCGCACUAGUCUUUUUUGUUCCGGCGAACCGGUGAGUUGCAGAGAAGAGGAAACGCGGGUUUAGCUGAAGAAAGGUUCGACCUUUUCGUAAAUUUUCAUUUUGAUCAGAAAUGGUAUUAAAAAAUAUUGUAUUUAUAUCAAUCACAACUUGAUGAUCCAUCGGACCAUCUCUAAUAAGUAAUUACUAAAACAAAUAAAAUCACAUAUAGAAAUGAGCGAUGUUCUAAGUUAAUAUUAUAUAACCUAUGAUUUAUAAAAAUUGUCAAAAACUUUUUUCUGUGAAUUUAGCGGUUUAAAAUUAUGUGACAGAAACAAGUUUUGUACUCUCUCUUGGUCUGGUGUAAUCUAAUAAAAGAGUAAGUAAAUUACACAUAAAAUAUUCAGAAGAAAAUUAUGAACCGUCGAUUUGUUGAUGUGGUGAAACGAAGGGAUGGGAUUUAUUAGCUAGUAGCAAACGUGGAAGGGGGAGAUGUUUGAUGAAGUUGUUGACCAUAGUCCCAUACAAUACAUAGGAGAGAUGAGAGAAGUGGAUACGGUGACAUUGUCAAAAAGUGUGACGUUGGUUUCAUUUGAGUUGGUGUCAGCAAAGUACUUUUGUUUUGUUUUUAAAAUCGAGAGUUUAAUUGUUAGAGUUGUCUUGUCUUGUCUUGUCUUGUCUUGUUUAACUACACUUGUAUACCAUUUACCUAAAUUACCCGCUUUGUUGGAUCUACGUUACAUUUUUUUUCUUUCUUCGUAAUUUAGAUUCUUAACUAAAACCAUAGAAAAACUGGUUGGUUUUACCAUAUAUUUAAAUUAUAAACCCUAGUAGUAAGUAAUGUGAGCUUUGAAAAUUUCUGCAAAAGAUUUGGUGAAGAUAGUUUCAAAAGCAAUCAGAUUUGUGUUUAAGAUAAGAGGAUAUUAUUAGGUGUAGACUUUGUCAAUCUUAAGGAGCUAAUCAGCUAACUAUCGGACUUUGUUUAGUGGGAAUUUUAUAUUUUUUUUAUCAAAAGUAAAAAAAUACAUAUAUAUAUAUGAAGAUUCCAAUAUGAAUCAAAGUCAACAAAAAUGCAAACAAAUGCGAACGUCUUGUUGUUUUCUCUAAUAAGUGCAUUUGCAAAACUAAUUGACAAGUAUUGUAGUUUACAUUCGGAAAGUGGUUCAUCAUUUUUUUUUUUUCUUGGAAGUAUCAACGACUAAAUUGGAAGUUCAAAAACCGUAACUCUAUUUCCAUCAAAUGGUAUAUAUGAUAUUUUUGUGCAUAUGAAUAGAAAUUUUUUUUUGUGUUGUAUGUGUCACUCAUCAGACUGAUGUUAGUAGGUAAAAAGAAGUUCUUUAAUUUAUUUCCCGGUUAUACUUUCAACCGACAAUUUUUGCAUUUGGCAAAAAAGAGAGUGAAAAAAAGUUGAAAGUCAUGCAAACAUAAACGAGUCUUUUUUUUGUUUUUGUGUAAAUCAAAACAUUUACAUUGAGAAAAAAUAGAUAUACAAUCCCCAACAUGAGUUUGGGAACUUUGUAACAUUUAGUAUAAUUUUUAAUAAAGAUUUUGAUAUUCCAUAAACAUGACAAGGAAGUAUGAUCAUGGGGUAGUAUACUAUCUAAUUAUCUAUGAUAUUACUUUUCACACACCCAAAAAAAGAAAAAAAAAAGAGAUAGAGGAAAUGAUGGAUCAUGUUUUAGCUUGUGCAACUUUUUAGCUGGCAAAAUGAUCUAUAAAGAAAAACUAUAUAUAACAACUGGAAGAAAAAUGUUUAACAAAAAAAAAAAAAACAACUGGAAGAAAAAUAUAUUAGAAAAGUGACUUUCUUGAAUGAGGGAGAAAACAUGAGAUUGUGUAUGAAAUGAUGGGAUCAACUCAAAUGUUUUCAGAUUGCAUGUGUAUGUGGCGUUGUCAUUGCCAACUAUUCGAGUUCUUGAAGCCCCCCUCCAUCACUUUUCUUUUUUUCUUUGCAUAAUGCUCUUUCUUAUCUACAAACCUAUAUAAAGUAUAUAUCUAUUUUAUGGGAAUAUUAUUAAAGUGUAAAUAUGAUAACAAUAUUCAGCUUAAAUAUUAAGAGGUAUACAAUAUAGAUAACCAAAACUAAACCAAUAUGAAUAUAUGAAUUUUCUGCCUUCGCCUUUGAAUGGAGAUGCUGGCGGCCGCUUGGUUUAUGUUUAUCAUCUAUAUGAUUUUAUCGCUGUUAUUUGUUAGUCGAUCUCUUUUAAGUUUCUAUUAGUCUUGGUUCGUCGUAAGAAAAAAGAUUAGUUUAGAUUCAUUCUAAUUUCUAUUGUGUUAUAAAGAGCAAAAAAAAUAAAAAAUUUAGCAAAUUGAAUAGACAUAUAGAUCAAGUGAUCAGACUGUAGUAGUUGCAGCCUGCAUGGAUCAGAGUACUCCCCUGAAUAACUUAGGUUUAGUUUAAGAUUUUAGACCAUCCUUGACCAUGGUAUCUUAGUCUAAAAUUUUUGUGAAGGAAUGUAACAAGGCUAUUCUUUCUACUUUCUAUUAUUACAGUUUUACUUUUACAGUGUUAGUAUAUAUAAGCCGAGAGUUCGACAGCUAGUUGGGCUGGAAAACAAAAUGUCUUAAACGGACUAAAGACUACCUAACUCUUAUCCGAAAAGCCCAUUGUUGUAUAUUUUAGCUUAACAUUGUAAUAAUGCUCUGUUAAAGGGCUCACGAGUAUACUAAUGGCACGUACAAUACAGUAUUUGCAUCUGCCUCCAACUAAAUUAUCUCAUAUCUGUUACACAAGUUAGAAUUUAGUAAUCAGUAAAUCUCUUACUUAUUUUAAAUUUUCAUUUUUCCAAAAACUGUAUGUUCAACCAUUUAAAUAAUUUUUCAUUAUCUUUUUGGGAUUAAGAACGUUAUAAAAUCGAAAUUUAAGACGCAUACACGUAAAUUUUUAGUUAAGGUCGAAUCAUAUACUCACCAAAAUCUCUCUCUAUCUAAACUCUAACUAAAGUCACAAAACAUUCAUAGUUCAAAGACAUGAAAGUAACGCCACGUGUACAACGAAACUUGAGGAGGACAGAACCGAAACGUUUGCUCCAAAGCCAAAAAGUAAAAAGAAACAAGUAUCACUCGCCUUUUUAUUAGUUAAAUCCAAAGAUUCUUAUUAUUCUCACAAAUCAGCCACUAACUUUUAAAAGUAAAAACUCGACACCACAUUCAUUAAACCAGGAUAUCGAAUUUUACAUAAUAAUGGCAGUAUUGGAUUUUAAGGAAUCACUGAAACUUAAAGAUGGUAAUCAAAUCGAUCAGAUAUAAAUCUUGAGUUGCCUAUUUUUCAUAACAGGAAACGAAAUAUUUAUGUUGAGGUUACUUUAAUAAAUACAAAUAUUUAGGGGCCAUAGUUGAAAAGGUAGGUAGGUUAAAAAGGAAACAUUUUUUUUAAUAUAUAUAUAUUUUUUUAAAGAGACAGUAAAAGCAAAAAAAAAAAAAAAAGUCGUAACCUUUGCAAAGGGUCGUAAUUUGGUUGUGUGUGCCCAAUUUGCUUGGAGAGCAAAACAAACUUGAAGCUUCCAUUUUUGACGGCCACAGAGGGAGAAGGCCAAAUUCGCCUUCUAUCUCUCUCGUUUUCUUUCUCAUUUUCUCCUUAAGAUUUAUUUUGUGUUUUGUUGUCUGGGGAAAACGAAGCAGACGGAGGAAGUCCAACACCACCGUUUUGAAGGUGACUUCGUUGUCUCUGUGAUCUCUCUCGCUUCUCUUCUUUACUUUCUCCGAUAUAUCUUUUUUGCUUCUUUCUUUGCAGUAAAUGCUGUUUUUGUUUUCUGGGCUACUCUGUUUUUUUUUUUUUUUUCUGCUUUUGGUGAUAUUGAUCGAGCUUGGAACUUGGGUUGUUCUCAGUUUAAUGAGAGUGAAUUUUGAGAUUGAACGUAUUUAAACGUUUGACUGUAUGUUCUAAUUGUUGACUCUAAUUUAGAGUUGGUCAAUGUUUUUGCAAUUUGAAUGUUUCUAACAGAGGGUCAGUUUUGCUGCACAUGUUUCUGAGCAACUGGUCUGAAUGCAUCUCGAAAAUGGUGAUGGUCUGUUUCAGCUCUGUCAAUAGACAUUGUUUUUUAUCCUAGUUUUGGUAAUUUUGGGAUUCUUGGUAUGUGAAAGGAUGAUCCUUUAUGGAGGAGCUGAAAAAUAUAUAUGAAAAGCUCAGUUUUUUAGGUGUUAAAUGGUUUAAUCUGAGUAAUGUACAGAAUUUCUCAGUUUGUUGUAACUUUUAAGGGAUAAAGAAGUGUAUACUGCUUUGUGGACAAGAGAGCUAGAUGGCUAUUAAAAUGUAAUUUUGCUUUGUAAUUCAUGGAUUGGUUACAUGACCAAGUGUUGAACCUUGAUUACUACGUUGGUGGCUCAGUUGACAUAAGUCUGGUGAGAUAAAUCAGGUAGUGUAAUAGGUUGUUAAGAUAGUUUAAGGGAACGCUCUUUCUUUUAUUUGCUGGAUCUUUUUUAAUCUAUAUUAGUCUUUCCUGAGUUUCUGCUUCAUUUCUUUUUGCAGACAAUGAUUCGUGCAAAGCACAUUAGUAAUCUUUCCAGUUCAGCCAGAUCCUUUUUUCUUAGUGGAACGAGACCUAGUGCAGCUGAUGGAAAUUCUUGUACAGGCGCUGAGGAUGAAAGUUGCGUCUCAAAACGCCAGCAAAUUAGGACUGAAGUUGUACAGACUGGUAAAAGAGCAUCAAAUUUAGCAGCUGGACUAGCUGGAAAUAUAUUACCUGCAGAGGCUGGUAAACCGCUGGUGGUCCCAAAGACGGUUGAGCAUUUCACCCGCACAACUCUUCUUCCGCAGCAUGUAUCCUCUCCUGCUUUGCCGGGGAAAGCAGAUUCUCUAAAUCAUGCUUCUGCUAUUAUUAAAGAUGAUGUGGGUGCACCUAUUGGGGAUCAGAUAUUCAAUGCUGGUAGUGGAACUGUAAAUUUAUUGUCAGAUGUAGGAAACUAUAAGAUCCCUUUAUCAGAUGGAACUAAAGUCAUUGGUUUGCCUAAAAGCUCUAUGGUUGAUCCUACUCGGCCUAUUUUGAGUGUUAAGUCUUCAAAUGUGAAAGUCAACAGAAGGGAGCACCUUGCCAAAGUCUACCCUAGGUCCACUUCCAAAGAUUCAUCAGACCGAGUUCCUAUAAAUAGCUCUCCAGGUACUAAGCAAGCAUCAAAUGACGUUGCGGAGAAUUCUUUUGAACCUUAUGAUUUACUCUCAAACACUACCUCUGGAAAAAGGAAAAGCAUGCCACAAAGACACAAUAUUGAUUCGACUAGGUAUGCAUCGGGUGAUUGUGACUAUAAUGUGCAUUCUUCUGGUGACAGGACGAUGAUAUCUUCUGGUAAGCCUUCAACGGAAAUGAUGAGAGUGACUGCUCCAACACCUAGGCAGUAUUGUAACCCUGGCUACAUUGUAGAAAAUGUUUCUAGUAUAUUGCGGAGAUUCAAAUGGGGACAUGCUACUGAAGAGGCCCUUCACAAUUUUGGUUUCAGGAUGGAUGCAUACCAAGCAAACCAAAUUCUUAAGCAGAUGGAUAAUUAUGUGAAUGCGCUUGGUUUCUUCUAUUGGCUGAAAAGGCAACCUGGGUUUAAGCAUGAUGGGCAUACUUAUACCACCAUGGUAGGUAAUCUUGGUCGUGCAAAGCAAUUUGGUGCAAUAAACAAGCUCCUUGAUGAGAUGGUUGGAGAUGGAUGUCAGCCAAACACUGUUACAUAUAAUCGACUUAUUCAUAGCUAUGGUCGCGCAAAUUAUCUCAGUGAAGCUAUGAAUGUUUUUAAUCAAAUGCAAGAGGCUGGAUGUGAGCCUGAUCGAGUAACUUACUGUACCCUUAUAGACAUCCACGCUAAAGCUGGAUUUCUUGACAUUGCCAUGGACAUGUACCAGAGGAUGCAAGCAGCGGGGCUUUCUCCUGAUACUUUCACCUACAGUGUUAUAAUAAAUUGUCUUGGAAAAGCAGGCCAUUUACCUGCUGCCCAUAGACUCUUUUGUGAAAUGGUUGGUCAAGGUUGUACCCCUAAUUUGGUCACAUUCAACAUCAUGAUAGCUUUGCAUGCCAAGGCACGGAAUUAUCAGACUGCGUUGAAGCUCUACCGAGACAUGCAAAAUGCCGGGUUUCAACCUGACAAAGUGACAUACAGUAUAGUUAUGGAGGUGCUUGGACACUGUGGAUUUCUCGAGGAAGCAGAGGGUGUUUUCGCUGAGAUGCAACGUAAGAACUGGGUUCCUGAUGAACCGGUUUACGGUCUUUUAGUGGACUUGUGGGGAAAAGCUGGCAAUGUGGAAAAAGCUUGGCAAUGGUAUCAAGCAAUGCUUCACGCUGGUCUUCGACCUAAUGUUCCCACUUGUAAUUCCCUUCUCAGCACUUUCCUUAGGGUUCACAGGAUGUCUGAAGCCUAUAACUUAUUACAAAGCAUGCUGGUGCUUGGUCUACAUCCUUCUUUGCAGACAUACACGUUGCUAUUGAGUUGUUGCACAGAUGCUCGUUCAAAAUUUGACAUGGGAUUUUGUGGUCAGCUAAUGGCAGUCUCUGGUCAUCCGGCUCACAUGUUUCUCCUCAAAAUGCCACCUGCAGGUCCUGAUGGCCAAAAUGUGCGUGAUCAUGUCAGCAACUUUCUGGAUUUUAUGCACAGUGAGGAUAGAGAGAGCAAGCGGGGACUCAUGGACGCAGUAGUGGAUUUUCUCCACAAGUCAGGUCUAAAAGAAGAGGCUGGCUCAGUAUGGGAAGUGGCUGCAGUUAAGAAUGUGUAUCCAGAUGCAUUGAGGGAGAAAAGCUGCAGCUAUUGGCUUAUCAAUCUUCAUGUAAUGUCAGAAGGAACUGCAGUCAUCGCACUUUCUAGGACACUUGCGUGGUUCCGUAAGCAGAUGUUGGUUUCAGGUGACUGUCCUUCACGGAUUGAUAUAGUAACUGGUUGGGGAAGGCGAAGUAGAGUCACUGGCACGUCGAUGGUAAGACAAGCAGUUGAAGAAUUGCUCAACAUCUUCAACUUCCCGUUUUUCACUGAGAAUGGGAACUCAGGCUGUUUUGUAGGAUGCGGAGAGCCUCUCAAGAAGUGGUUGCUUGAAUCAUAUGUUGAGAGAAUGCAUUUGCUCUAGUUGUAGAUCAGUUGUUUUGUUUUAUUUUUUCAAGGCCUCUUGAAUUUUUUUUAUACUCUAGCAGUAUCUCAAUGGUCUGGUUUUGUAAUAUCAUAAGUUUAAGGUUAGUGAUGGCUGGAACUUAUCUCCAGAUUUUGUCCUCAGGUCAAAACAUUCUCCUCUUGCAAUUGGUUGUAUUGGUGGGAGUAUAUAAAUCAAUAUUUGGGGUGAUACGACCCUAAUUUAUUAAUACUUGGAAUAGUUUUUGUAUGUUUUUAUUUUUGUACAACAUCAAAUGUUACAAAAAUGCUUUCUUACCAGCAAUGUACUACAGAUAUUGCUAAUGGUACAAUAAUGUAAAUGUAAAUUGAAAAUUGGAGAAAGAUCUAAAGGAGCCUCGAAUUGUAGGAGCCACAGGUUGUGCAUUUGUGGUAGAGCCAAUGAUAAGGAACAUUUCCUUUUCUUCCACAGUCAUUACACAGUAUUAUCUGCACCAAACCAUUUUACCAGUUACCAUUCAGUUUAUUCUUUCAUCUCAGUACUCUAUAUGGGAGAGAGACAGAGAGAGAUGCUCUCUCUGUACUAUGAAACAAUAUCGAGAAAGAGAGAGAUAAACCUGAGUUUUGUUGGAGUAUUCAUCAGGCAUCUUCUCUUCUGCAAGUAAUGCGUCUAGCAUCUUAAAAUAGACCUGUUUGGGACGGUUCUUUGUUCAGUUUGGACUUUGGAGUAUCACUAAUCUUCUGAGGGGAAAAAAAAAUAUAUGAAUGGUAACUGACCUGCAUAUCUCCUAGCGACUUGCUGCAGAUAGGGCAUGUGUAGUGGGAACAUGUGUACUCCUACCACCAUAUUCAAAAACCAAGCUUAGAAACGUGCUUCAGGUUAUCACUGUUACCCGAAAACAGAUUUUGACAGAGUUAAGUACCUGAAAGCAUGAGGAGUGCAUCAAGUGCCCGCAAGGAAGAGCCUUGACUGGGGAGUUGGAGGUAAAAAUGUACUCAUGGCAAAUAGGACAAUUAUCUUCUAAACACUUUUCCCUGCAAACAUGCUCUGCUAAGGUACGCGACAUGCAGGCAUUGCAUUUCAUGCAAUGGAAGUAGUCAAUUCCCAAUCCUUUCCCAACUCGGCAGAGAUUGCAGUAAGGACAGUGAUAAAUUUUCCUGUUACAAAGAACUAAUAACUCUCAGCCUCUAAUGAUACUGAGUCCAACAAGAAAGCACAACAAGUCAUGAAUUAAAGAUAACUUGAUUUAGUAUUUUUAAUAAGUACCUUUCAUCGUCAUAUAAUUUGCAUAUUUUGCAGAAGUAUUUUCCCAUUGACGACUUGCACGAAGUAUUUGAGCAAUUUGCACCAAUUGGCUGAAUCAAGAGGCAUUUCAUGCACAUCAUCUUUGUUAUCUGUUUCCUGCAUAAAAAUUCAAGAUAAACAAAAAAAAAGACAAACGCAAUAUGAUUUUUGGAAGCUCCUUGCAAGAAUGUUGAAGAUGGAUGUUACUACCUAUCUACUGAGUGAUCAGCCUCUUCAUCAUGACAUCGUAUACAUGUGAAGAGUUUGUCGCAACAAGGAGCAAGAAGCUUGCAAUUCCUCUUGUAGUGAUUGCAGCCGAAAAUCAAACUGUGAGGAUCUCGAUAUGAUGGAUGUUGACCAGGAACUGUUUCCAUGUCGCUUAAGAGAGAGGAUGGUUCCAGACUGUAUGCCCGUUGUGAGAUAUUCCACCGACUGAAAAAAAACAAAAUACAUGAUCUUACGUAAGUCUCAAUAUCUAUAAGAAAGACACCUAUUUUGACUAUGAUCUUGUAAACUUAACCACCAGACGAAUAAGUUAUUUGUACAAGUACAACAUCUUUCUGUUAAUAGGACAUGUACAAGACUAAAUAGAUUUCUCAGCUUAUAAAAUUUAAGUUUCAACAUGAAACCAAAAGAGAGGUAGCCAAGGAUUACCUCAUUAACAAGUUCUGCUUGAUAUAAGAUUUCUUCCGAGGAUCCAUGGAAGAGUCGCAUGAUAUUUUCUUAAUCACAGCCACCAGUUCUUCUUCACUUAUUGUUAACAGUUGUUCAUAUUUCUUGGAUUGACCAAACCGACUAACCUUCUGAGACAUUCGGAAAGUCUGAGCAGGACUUCUUGUCUGGUAAUUGAUGUCAGUUUUUUCGUUGUCCUCCAUUUUGUCAGCUCCUCUACAUAUCUUCUUACUUUCUGAGCAUUCCAGAUCUUUUUUCUCUUUGUUUCCAACCUCGACAUUGUUAUCAGAAGGUGACUUAUUCAUAUUACCUGUCAAGUAUGUCUCUGGAAGUUCGACAAGGUAGCUUCCAAUGCUCCCUCUAUCCCCAUCAGCAUUUGUUUCAAAGAGAUACUUCCAGACAAUCUCCAAUGGAUCUGAAUCCUCAAAUGGAUCAUUGUUUGCUUCUCCGACUUCAUCUUGUAUAACAUGACCGUUAUACCAUUCUGUUAGCCAUUCGACAAACAUUGUUUUCCUUGUUACUUGGCGCCAUAAGGACAUCGCUGCAAGCUGUUCAUCAGAGGAUAAAGAUUCCAUUAACCAGGGUAUCAUAUCCUGCAAUAUUUCCCCACUUAUUCUCCCAAGCAUGCAUCCUAUGAUUUUUUCUUGCUCUUCAAUAGCAAAACAGUUCCUGAAUAGACCCCAGAGUUCAGUUUCUUCAUGCUGGAUAUGCUCAGACAAUAGCUUGUGCAUAGAUUUGCCAAUCUCUUGGAGACUCAAACACAACCGCUCAUACUUCAUCUUUCGGUGGUCUGCUGCUCUGGGAUUGAUAGUAGAAACUAACAUGUUCAGCUCUGACAUCUCAUUCAAUAUGAAUGAAACUUUAUCGAAGUGUUUAGUUUCUAGCUCAUGAUCAAUGCUAAAUGAGUGACUAAUGUUUCUAAGUCGUCCCUUGGCCUCCAAUGCUGGAAAUGCAAUCUCAUCCUCUGCAUCAGAAUGUAUCUGAUACAAAAACUUUAUCAUCUGGAAUCGCUGUUGAAACUCAGUGAGAAAACAAAAGUCGGCUGCCAAUCUUGCUGAUCCACAAACAAGGUAGUCCAAAUCCAUCUUCAUUGCCUUAUGGAAGAAGAAAAGGAGGUCAAUUGGUUUAACGUUCAUAAUAAGUGGAUCAUCCAUAUUCUUCUCACCAAAAAACUCUGGAAGAUGGAGUGGAGGCUUAUGUUUCCCUGAGAAAAUCAUUUGCUGAUUCAUUCGACUUGAGUAAGGUGUCUCGUACAUAUCUCCAGCGCCUAAAUCCCUUGACAGUAAGCAGGUUGAAGACUUGUUUUUCUUCCAAGGACAAACAAGCAAAUCAUCUUUAGAUCCUUUGCACAGUUCCAGCUGUGCUUGGUCGGAAAAUGAUCCAGAUGCUUCUUUAGUGUUGUUCUCCUUUUGGCAGGAGCAUCUUACUUUAAACAUUACAGCCAGUUGUUUCCAAAAACUUUCAACAGAUGUUUUGCCUGAGUAACCAAAGCGAAGCCACUGCAACAAGAGGCAUGCAAAUGAUUUUUUGGAAGAAAAAUCUUCCAAACUUAAGAACUGAAGAAUGGAUUGAGAUUCCUCUUCUGACAAGUGAGCAGAAAACCAAAGUAUAACACACUUUAGCAAUCCAAGAGGUAAGACAUGAAUGCUUGUGUAUAGGAGCUGCUUCUGCAUUUCAUGGUUGCAAUUCUUGGUGAUGAAUGGGAAUACCUGGAGAACAAUGAGAGUAAAUAUGUUGGAUAUAAUAUUCACAAAACUUGCAUGGAAGUUAUAGAAAUGAAACUUUUUUAGACGAGUAUCAAUGUAUCAUAAGCUUACCUUGGUUCUCUGUAAAGAAAAUUGCUUGGUUACUUGGACUAUAAGGUUCUCAAGUUCCUCUUGGAGCUGAAACAGAAAAUUAGCCGUCCUUGAUUUAUCAUCAGCACUUUUGUAUAGUAAUCUCUGAAAAUUCUCGAGACAGCCAUCUAUGGUGAAUUGUGCGGUAUUUGAAGAGCGGCGAUCUGUCAUUUCUUCCAACACCGGGUGAAGGAACCUUUUGAAUGCAUUGCUGCAACAAAGCAAAUCAUGCUGUAACUCACAUAGAGAAAGAAAAGGAAGGGAAACGAAAAAUGAUUUAAGAGAGUAGCUAGGCAUCAUACAAAAGAGAAAAAUCAAGUUAUCCAACAAACUAUUACCUAUAAGAAACAAGGACAUCAGCAAGGAAGUUUAAUCGAGCCAUCAGUACGUCAAGGUCUAAACUAAGGCUUGGGAAUUUUGCUUGGCUUAAUCCUUCCCGAAUGUCUCUCAAAUCUUUUUCGAUAGCAUUUUGAAAAAGAUGAAGACCAUGAAUCGGGCUGUGUCCUCCUACAUUUGGAAUAUGAAGGGACUUUUUACUCCACUGCCAAAAGCGUUGAAAACAUCCACUGGACUCAUGUGUCUGAGGUAACUUCUUCAUAUUCUUAGACACGUCUACAUAGUGGACUCCUUUCAUGAUCUCUGUAGGAAUCCCACCACAAGAUUGGCCCUUGUCAUCAAGUAGCCAAGAG
Molecule: long non-coding RNA, 89269 nt
Filed under: Capsella rubella
Lineage: Eukaryota; Viridiplantae; Streptophyta; Magnoliopsida; Brassicales; Brassicaceae
Description: long non-coding RNA (CRUB_LNC004441)
Rfam family: tRNA (bases 23478-23558)
Source: RNAcentral